ACUAAGCUUAGUUUAGUGGGUUUUUUUUUUGUGAGGAGAGCAAUUAGUUCAGUAAAGAUGCAACCAGACCUCGAAACUGGCCAAAUCUAAUGAUACUGAAAGUCCUUCCUGUUUAGCAAUCCUAAUAGCUUCAAUAAUCUGUUCCAUGUUCUGUUGUGCAUAUCUCACAACAAGCCACUGCAUCAAAAUAAAUAGCAAUGAAAAUUCAGACUUAACAAAAACAUGUGCUAGGAUGUUUUUUAUAAGAAGAAUAAUAUAUCACGAAACGGAUGUGCACCAAAGAGGGAAAAGGAAAGCACCUUGGAGCCUUUGAAGUCCUCCUCUCUAAACUCAUUGGCCUGUUAGAUGGACAAAUGAUCUCACCAAUCAUAAGAUUGUUAAGAGAUGUAAAUUUAACACUGCAUCAGACAAGGGUAUACCUGCAGCUUGACUGCACUAGAUAGGCAUGGCCGCAUGGUGCGAUUGCCGCUUGCAUCAACCAAGCACGCACACUAUAACAGGUAUGCUUUUCAGCCUUAUCCACUAUGCAGUAAAAUAAGGGCAAAAAAGAUAAAUUCUGGCUUCUGUUAGGCUACCUGAGCGGUGUGCCCUUUUUUGGGCCUUAAUCUUGUGAGAUCUACACCACUAAAACUCAUAUUGUCGACAAACAAAAUGGCCUGGUUAUCAUCUCCACAAGCUCCAAUUAUUCCAGUUGAUAUCCCAAAACCAGCUGAGAGCCCACGGAUUGUGUUGGCAACGCUUCCACCAGCCAUUGUAGUUAUUGGAGUGAGAUCAUUGCGGGAAGGAAGGAUGUGGGCAUUCACUUCAGUAAGAAUAUGAUUCAGCUCCUCAAUGGACACCUGUACAUAAAACUAUUGUCAGAUGAAAUGCAGAACCCAACCCAAUGACACAAAGUUUUGAUUCCCCUUGUAAGCGAUGCCAGGUUAGUUGCAUUAUCUUGAUGCAAAACAACUCAAGGUUCAGAAAAUAUUUCAUAAUGCAAAUGCAACCACAAAAAACAACAAUAAAACACACUGGAUGUGUGAUUCUUCAACAGUUCAACAUCCAUGCGAUAACUAAAAAGGUUGUAGACAGUUUUCAACUAGCAUAACAUAUAUUUCCACUUUUCUUGGUAGCUUUGAUUCCAAAUUUCUUUUAUGUUGCAUUAAAGAAAAAUCUUAUGAUAGAAUGGAAUUGUUCCUGCACAUGUAUGCAUGUGCCUUUUGCUUUGUUUAGAAGCUAAAGCCAAAUGUUGCCUUCUUGGAAUUAUGCUAGUAUGAUGGGAAGGAAAAUGAUAACAUUUCAGCAUGUUCAACUGAAGAAUCUCUGACUGUCAGUUCGUAUAUAAGAGAGUAGGUUGAUUUGAUAGAUAGAGGGACUCUAACCUAUUGCACAUAAUCCAGAAGAUACAGGUACAAAGUAUGACAUUUUAAAAUCUAGGUUGGAAUCUAACUGCUACCAAUUUAUAAUUUCAUCUAUCAAAAAAAAAUGCAUUAUAGACUAUCUUGGGAGCAUACACUACUUCCUUACACAAGGGCAGCAGUCACAUCAUAAAGGUGGCAGGUGCUAAUUAAGAUUCAAGAUCAUUGCAAGUACUACUUUUCUCUCUUGACAAUUACGGGGAACUCCUGUGUGGAGAUCAAAUAUGACAGGGAGAAAAUAAGUAAUUAGAAUUUGACAAGAUGCUGAGCCUGCAAUCAUGUAUCUUUGCAUAGAAAAGUCAAGAAUGUCUGACGACCAUAACUAGCAUGGUGGUUUCUUUCACUACAAACUUUCACUGAGUCUGGGGCAUAAAUAGUUAGGUGCCCGCAGACCAAUCAGUUCAAGAAACGUUAGGCCAUGCUUGACCAUUCCUGAAGUGUGCAGUGCAGAGCAUGCCAAACCAUCAGGCAAGCACUUUCUCAAUGAAAGCAACACCAAAUCUAAUCAAUAUAGCUGCAUUUAACCAAAGCAAAGUAUAGACCACUUCAAAUAUAGGAAAUAUCUGUCUCUACGCCCACCAAAAGUACUUGAACUGUUCUGUUCAAGUACAGGAAGAGUGGAACCAUGUGGAACAAAAGAACAGGCAAUUUCUUGACAAUCCGAGGAGACAUAACAUAAGUCAGUAGGGCAUUCAUUCAUGAAAGCAUGUGUCUUAUAAAAUAUGAAACAAAAUUAGCUGCACAAACCAUUUCAAGAAUAAAGAGUGCAUCAUAAUCAUAAUAUACAAAAUUCGGAAUGAGAUUCAACAAGUUACUUCUGAUGCAGCACUUAGGGUUCUUUUUCUCAGAAAAAAUACAGAGGUCACAAAAUUGAGUACAUUAGAAUAUUGAAGAACAAGAGAUCCAAACGUCACAUGGCCGGCGGACAGCUAGAAAAGGAACAUGGAGGGGACGCCAAUUGAAGCUAGAAUUCGGCCAGUGAUGCAACAGCCUACCUCUAAAUAACCACGUGAUGGCAAAUGAUUCACCCGAAAAUUCAAACAGGAAAAGAAACGGAGGGGACGGGGGAAGAAUUCCGAGGGUGUUGGACCUCGAAACAGGAACGAAUUUCCAACGACGAACAACAUUGCAAACAUCUGGCAAUCAAUACAGCAUAAGUGGUUACUGGCUCCAUCAGACCGGCCCUUGCAGGGUAUAAUUGGGGUUGCGAUUUCAAUUCGCAAAUUGAACGGAAGAGUGCGCUUGGAACUGUCGAAGUGAAUUACAACCAUACGGGCCGCGUUGCGCGCGGAGGGAGAGGGGAGGAGCGCGAAGUACCUGCUGCGAGCCGCCGCGGUCGCCGGGGACGCGGUCGAGGAGGGACCAGUCGACGCGGGCGACGUGGUCGAUCAGCGCCGAGAGCUGGAGCCCCAGCACCGCGGGCGCCGCCGCCGCCGCCGCCUCCCAGCCGGGCCGGAGGGAGGACGGAGGCUGCUGCGGGUGCUCUGCCUCGGCGCCCAUAUGGGUCGGUCCAGGUGAAUUGGCCGGUCUCCCUCCGCUGGCCCUCUCCUCGAGCGGAGGAGGAGGAGGAAACGGUCGCCGGCGCCGGCGGUGCGGGGGGCUGCUGGGCCCGUGUCGGGAGCAGAUGGGAUUGCAAAGCCUCCAAGGGGAGGGCUUCUUCGCCGCCGUUUUAUAGGAGGUGGAAGAGGGGGCAACCUUCUUCGGCACUGUUCAUCACUGCCCUUGCACGGAUCUCGAUGCAUCUUGCUCGAUUACGUGGAUUAUUGUCUCCGUCAUUAAUCACCUCAUUAUUAUUAUUAUUGACUUAUUUUCGAUGGGUGAUGCAUGGAGUAUGUACCACUACCACACCACGACUUACACAACCGCGCCGGCGCACCUACUGUAUAACAUGAGUCUAUUUUAAGAAAACGUUUCAUGGAUUAUUUUUAAAAAACAUGGAUUAUUUAUUCAUGUGUAUGUCAAAUUAUGGGCACCGAGAUUCAAACCAAAAACAUUCCAAUCAUUUCAUGAUGAUUUUAUUGUGUCUCAAGGAGUUACGUGUCUCAGAUAGACGACAUAGUACUGGGUCAUGCCUAUCCACUAUGGAUUAAACCCUAUAUGACUCUUUGUGUGUCUCAUUAAUCACUAGUAUGGUUAUUUAUCUACAUAAUAGAUGAUGUACCCAUCGGCAAAAGACUGGACUAUGUGUUUUAUGAAAUUUUACCAAAAUACAAUGAUCUACCACCCCAUUGAUGUUUAAGUCUUUAUAUGGAAUGAUACUUUGGUGUUAUAUUGACGGAUGCCCACUUCAAAAGAAUCUUUGGCUCUGCUCCUGUAGCGAAGUGAUUCCAGUGACUUCGUCUAGUCUCUCGUAAGCAUUUGUAUGAGUAAGCAUUUGUAUGAGUAGGGUACAUUAAUGAAAUAUAAAGUACGUACCCUCUCUGUUCCAAAUUAUAAGUUAUUUUUAUUUUUUUAAAAUUUAUAGAUUUUGCUAUGCACCUAUAUAUAUAUUGUGCUUUGAUAUAAACAUAUAAAACCUAAAAUGAUCUAUAAUUUAGGAUAAAAGGAGCACCUAGGAUUCGAUACCUAGUGAGUAGAAGGUACAGUCAACUCCGCUAGCCAUGCAAAGCAACACUUGACUCUUCCAUAUUUCUGAAUUAUAAUUGUAUGAAAUUAUGUGGCUAGGUACAGAUCCAUCCAUGGCUUCUCCAAUUAUACAUUUUGUGCAAGUGUGCAUACAAUUCGUGAUUGCGGGUUAUGGCCUAGGAACCACCUUUUUCACCCUGCGGGUAAAUGACGAUAGUAAGACUGCACUGGUCAAAGUUUAAAACCGUCACUAAAUUGGUACAGAUAUAUGGAACGUAUAUGAUGCAAACCAUCUAUCCCGUGCAGCCUUGGAAACUAUGAAUCAAGAUCACAAGAUGCUAAUCCAAUGGAUAGGAUUAGUAGUGGGGUUAUUUUGCAGUUAAGCCCCUUCACCCGCUGGCCACUUUUGAUGCAGCACCUUUUCCAUGAUAUGCAAAAUUAAACCUAAUUAAUUCAUAAUUAGCACAUGUUUACUGUAGCAUCACAUGGGCUAAUCAUGAACUAAUUAAGCUUAAUAGAUUCAUCUCAUGAAUUAACCCUCAUUUUUAUCAUUAGAUUAUAUUUAAUACUUCUAAUUAGUGUGCAAACAUCCGAUGUGAUAUGGAUUAAAGUUUAGUUGGGGUAUCAAGCACCCCCUAACUUGCACAUUGGAGCGACAUCUCGGAUCUUUCACCCAUCAUUCACGCUAGCUACUAGUAGUAUUUUGUUGCAAUAAUAAUACUCCCUCUAACAGCCGUUCGUUCUUUAGGCUAGUGGCGCAUAUUCAGUCUGACGAAGAAACCCCUUUUCUUUUCUUUUUUCGCGGGUAAAACCCCUUUUCUUUUGUAUCGUAGUGCUCUGUUUUCCUUUCCUUCGUAGUGCUUUGUUGUUCUUUUGAAUCACCGGAGCACACAUGCACACACACACAAAACAAAACAAAACAAAAAAGAAAAAAGGAAAAAAAAACUAUGAUGGCACGGUGCAGUUGCGCUGCAAAUUUGGGUCCCUGCAACUUUUGCUUAAAGAAGGCACAAGGGAACAAAAGGUGCCGGCUGAAAAUGAGAAUGACAAAGUGAUUAGGAUAUGAUUAUAAAGUUGACGGAGGCCGCGCCUCUGUGGUUGCUCCAGUGCUUCGUGGAGUUCAGAGGAAAUAACCGGUCGUUGCCGUUCGUGCGUCCGAUUUGGCUCGCGUCAGCUGGCCAACGAGGCAGCGAUCUCCGUCUCGCGCAGUCGCGCGGUAGAGCCACUGGCAUUCGCCAUUCGCUCGCGCUGCCGGUUGGCCAUUGACUCGCGUCAGCUCCCGUCAAGGAGGUCAAGAACAGCCUAGCAGCGGCCGAUCCGAUUGAUCCACGGGAAUUUUCUCGGCAGCUUCCCGUUCCGGCAGACGGGGACAAAUCCGUCGGCCGGCUCGGUGUGGUACCCAGCUUCCGUCAGGUACAGUACACAAGUGGGUGACACGAUUUGCGCGUGCCAGGAAACUACACGUAUGGGGGUGGUGAAGCCGUGGUAAUAAAUUGAGGACAAAUCAAUCACAGUCACGUAGAUGUUCCACUCGGUUAAUUAUUGUACCAGUACCGUAUACCAGGUCGCACGCUGGGAGAAGAGAAAAUUCCUUAUAUGCCAUCAGAAAUUAUACCCAUCCUUUUGAUACUAUAAAAAACUAGUAGCUAGGUGCCACUGCCCACUGCCAUUAAUUUUUCUUGGAGCUCACCGGUCGCCGUUACGGCACACUUGUAGCUCUGGUUCCAAUUGAACCGCAUAGCGUUGAGCUCGGUAUAUGUAAAGAAAAGAAAAAUCGUUGGCCGCUACCUCCAGUUCUCCUUCUCUCCCUCUUUCCCCUUGCAGGUACUGGAGUACCACUGCAACUGCUCGAAUCAACAGCUGCCGCUAGCCCAGUAGCCAAAUCUUUCAACAAAAAUGAGUUGCGCGCCCCUUCUUGAGCCUAGAUCUAGCGUCGCAACUUCCGAUUGUAGCAUAAAGGAGCUUGAUUUUGGUGACGAGGGUCUCGUUUGUGGCGGCGUCUACUCCUCUACUACUUGCGCACCUCCAUGGCCGCCGUCUCAUGUAGCCAUCUGCUGGUGUGCUACUUCCCUCUGCUGCUGCACUCCCUUCCUCCUCUACUGCUCGCUGCUGCAUGCCCCACCUCCGUGUUCCUGCCCGCUGCAGAGGGUGGCGUUGGGGGCGGUUGGACAGAUAGGGCGUGUCGAAUCGGGCCGCUAGGUGCAGCAGACCAGGUGGGCGCCGGCGCGCCGUCCAGCGGUUGAAGGGAGGGUCACAUGAUGAUUUUUUCUUUUCCUUUUUCUCCCCAAGUUUUGAUCUUUAUUAUAUGCAUAUAGAUGAUUACACACUUUAUCCAUCUAUAUUCUUAUUAAAUUUUUUUCAUGCACGUUUAGAUAGUGUUUGGUUCAGCAAAAUGUAAUGUAACCUAUCUACACUGUUAAUUGAUUACGUUAUAUCUUGUUUGUUUCACCGCCGCCUGUAAACGAGUCCCACGUAAUCAGAUACCGGCCAAUAGAAAUCUGAUACCCCUCCUUCUCCCCCGUAACGAGAUAUCAGUUCUCUUUCCUAGGAAAAGUGAGCUUUGUGCAUGAUGUAUUAAUCGAUACCGUUGCAUCCGCUGUAGAACCAAACAAAACAGGGAAACAGUGAUCUCACUGCCAAUGGCAGUGUAAUCCAUUUCCCGUACCGUUUGUGUUACCAGAUGGUGAAACAAACACUAUCUUAGUGUGCUGAACCAGCCAAAUGGUCCUACCAUUACAGCACUAAUCACGUCACUUGCCAUGAUUAGUGACAUUGAUGUGUGGAGCCUUUGCUACGAGGUGAGCAGGCAGCACGUGCACUAUGGCCACGAUUAUGUCCGUAAUCACAUGCCCUUCUCUUUAUCUCCUUUCACAUGGAGACGACGGGGCCUCUCCGAUCGCUUGGAAAAAGGAUGAAUUUAACAUCACUAGGAUGGAAAAGCUUACAAAUACAUGGGCGAUCUCGAUAAAUGGUUAAACCUGAGUUGUAUGCAAAAUGUUUACACCCAAAUGUCCGUCACUUACAGAGUGCUAUGCCUAUGCCAAAAAUGGUUAAAUUAUCUAGCAAAGGUUGUGCCUAAAAAGCUCGCAAGCCGACACGGCGGGGAGUAUCUGAUUGGGAAUCGUGGGAUCCAGGCCGCCCAAUGGCGGGACGACAGCUUAGCCCCCGUCCAAGCACAUGGCCCCCGCGGACAGUGACGAGUGACCACCCAGAUAGAUACUCUGCGCGCGCUCCAGCGUCCGGCCCAGGCCCAAUUCAUGCAUGCUAGCACACCACUUGAGUAUAGUAGCCCUGCUGCAGCAGCAGCUAUGCUGUGGUAGGAUGACACAACUGCUCGUCUGCUCCUCCCGUUCACGAGUAGCAAAGCAUGUCGCAGUGUCGCAGUGUUUUCAAAAAAAAAAAAAAGCAUGUCGCAGUGUCAUGUUGGCGUGCCGCUGGGAUUUGUUCGUCAGAAUACCAGACCACGAGAGAAAGAAAAGGAGAGGAGAGGAGGCAUGAAUCAUGGUGAUGCAUACUCGCCCCCCCCCCCCCCCCUCUCUCUCUCUUAGCCCUUCCUCUAAAGUGUGUUCCAAUAGGCAUUUGAGAAAUGGCAAUCCGACGUGGCAAACGGCUAGGUGCUGUUAACUGGGCCCUGGUGGCGGCGGGUGCACAUGAUGAUGGAAAAGGGGCACCACGCCUGGCCGAAUACGACGAGCGGUAGUAGCUCCCAGCCUCGCGGCAGGCGCAGGCGCAGGCGCAUCUCAUGGCUACUGCCGGCGAAAACAAACAGAGCAAGAUGCCCCGUACGUGACGGAGUGAGCGAGUGACAUCAAUCAGCCGGAGUAGGCGCGUGACAGCCGGUGAGAAGGGGACGGGAGGAAGACCGAAGACGCACUCCGAAAAACACGUGAACGAGAGGGGGUUUCUGGGCGGCUUUUGUUUGUUCCGGCUGGACGGCCGGCGGCCGGGGCUCCACCGGCCGAAAGUGACAAACCGGCGAUCCGAGAAUGAUACUCGGUGCCCCCACGCGCGCAUGAUUGCGUCUUGUUUCUUAAAGAUUUUGCCUGCUGCUGUGGCUCCUCGUCACGGCAAUGGUUCGACGGCAAAGGUCCCGUUGCCCCGAGACGAUCGUGCAACGGCUCGCAAAAUCGCAGUGCGCGCGGCGCAGGCCGGAGCACUUUUUCUUUCUUUUCUCCGUUUCUUUUCCUUUUCUUUUUCCAACGAACCGCUGAGCAGGCGAGCACGAACUGCUACUGUGUGAGGCAGUGAGGGCUAGUGUAGGCUAGCUGAACAACAAACAAAUGGACCGAGCCAACAACAAGGCCGGAAUUUGAUGCGCCUGCCAGCCUACACCCGUAGGCUAGCUCCUCUGCGGCGGCACUGCGUGUGGCAGGUAGUGCUGGGGGACGGUGGUGACUGGUGAGUAGCGCCCACCGCAGCAUCCAUGCGUUCCUCUCGUCUCUCUCGCGCAUCCGGCCGAGCCGGCAGCGCAGCGGCCUCACACGCAAGUGGAUCGUCUGGUCGACACGGCACCGCGCGGCGGCGGGGCCCGCUCGCAGUAGCAGCCCACGGCCCACGCGCAAUAUUGUUUGUAGCAGAUGAAAACUCUCGUUGACGUAGGGCAUUGACCUCCCAACCGGUCCGCCGGCAUCGAUUCGUGAUCGAUCCACAGUUCCACACACUCUCUCGGAGUCUCCCGCAAGCGCUUUCAUGUAUCGCCCGGAAGAGCAUUCCAGCACGCAGCAGCAGGCCGGCAGCACUAGUCCAGCAGAGGAGAAGUACCGGGCCGCGGACCGAUUUUGAUCUGGGCCUUUCACUAGGGUUAGCUUGAGCAGCCCACGACGGUCCAGAGCUUACUUCCUGUCUGGCCCAAGGUCCAGAGGAUUCACAGAUUUGAUCUGGGCCUCUUGAGGCUAAAGAAGGUCAGCUCAGCCCACGCUUCAGAACUUCCUUCCUUGCCUGCGCAGUAAUUUUGUUGUGAGCGGCCGUUUAAAACAGAAAAAGAACAGCCCAGUCCAUAGGCAGUAUUGGGCUAUCUAUUUCGGCCUAGGUCUCUUCUCACAUCGGCUCUUUUUUGGGCCAGUCCAUAUUGCGUCAGAAGGUUAACUGGGAAUUACUGUAUGUGCGUUUUCGUUUCUUUUUGCAUGGCCCCAUUCAAACGAGAAUCAGUUCAUACAUGACACAACAGCACAACAUUACAAAAAUUUUCUUGAUUUGGAUUGGAAGUUGUGUGCAAAUGGAAGCAAAACCAUAUGAUCCGUUACCUUAAAUUAGUGUUGUUGACGGACUGUGUCAAAUUGUUGAUUCAGAUUAGUUUUUUUUUCUAAGUCUAGAUUCUAAAAGGCAAACUUCUAUGUAAAUAUGAUGCUAGAAGUCAUUUUGCACAGAGCGUAGAAGUCAAGUUGAACAUAAGCUACUUCAAUUCGUGUAAAUUGGAUGCUUGGAAUCAAUUUGAGCAUAGCCUAUUUUCUAGAUAAAAAUAGCAAUAAGUUAAUUGUAACAUAAGCUAUUUUAAACUGUGCAAAUUGGAUGCUGGAAAUUAGAGCAUAUUUUUUUUAUAAAAUAGCUAGGAAUCAAUUUGAGAGUAAGCUAUUUUAUAGAUAAACCAAUACAGGAGUUGUAACAAUAUGUUUAAUAAAUGAGUUGUUAGUUAGACUUCAUAUUCCCUAUCCAAUGGAAAGGUUGGAUGGCUUCUUAUGUUGGAGAAGAGAAAAGGAGCAUCGCACUAACACACAAUUGGCAAUAAAGGGCUAGUGACGCCAAGGGAGGAGCACCUCAACAAUUGCCUACAUGCGCACCUGAUAUUUUCCGUACUAGUCCAUCAACCCAUGCAUCCACAUGAGUUUUAAACCUUCUUACUUGCAAACAAAAGAAAAUUAUACUCUCAUGAUAAAAAACAAUAGCCUGUCUGACAAAUGGAUGAAAAGUUAAAAUUCGGCACUGUUUAUAAUGUUUUAUGUUUUGAGCAUCAUGCAAUUUUCUUAUUACAACUUUAUUUGAGAACAUUUUCAUUCAAUAAGUAGUUAUUUGAACUUCAAUCAUCAGAAGCUCUUUUUUAAUGUAAUGUACCUCCCUACGAUACUUAUAUUCCUAGGAAAAGAGAAGAGCUCGAAGAAUUACACUGCGAAUAUUAUUCAGUAGUGUAACCCCAUCCCGUGAUGUCAUCCCUUAACCACCAUGCAAACCACCUUUCGUGCAGGCUCUGCUUAUAACAUAGGUGGUCGUGUCAGCUUCAAUUGAGGACGACAUGACAUGGGUGUGUCUAAUCAGCAUGCGCGCCAGCAACGAAUGCAACCAUCGAUUUCCGACAAAGCGAGUUUCCCUGCCUUCGCGCGCGAUGACUUUCCGCACAUGCGCCCUAGACAUGGUUCCACCAGCGGUCACCCACUAUCCCCACGCCUAUCCAGCAGUGACCCCGACGCAUUUCUCUCUGUAACACAACUUUUGUAUAUAAUUUAUACACAUAAAUUUAUAUAAGACAAAAGUUAUGCACACAACAUUAAAGAAAACACAUUAAAACACACAAAAUAUAUGCAAACGUAUAUACAACAAAUUAUGUUGAAAACUUAUGCUAAAUAUAAUCAUAUAACAAACUUAUAGACAUAACUUUUUGCAAAAAAAAUAAUCAAUAUAACUUAUGAAAAAAAGAAAAACUUAUGAAAAUGUAUUUAUAUAUAUAAAUUAUAUGCAUAACUUUUCCAAAUUUAUCGAAUAAAAAAACAAGGAAGAAAAGAAAAAAAGAGGUUAACCGGCCUCGCCGGUGCUGGGUCACCAGUGCCGCGUCAUUGCCUCCCUGGAUUCACCCUCCCGCAAUGGGCAGGUGUCCUGUGGCGAAGAGGAAGAGGAAGCGCCACCGUCGCACCCUCCGGAGCCACUGCCGCAGCUCUACUUAUCGGAAGCACACGUCAGUCCUCAUCUCGCCGGCCACCACCGAACGCGAGGCUUCCGGAUCCGACCUCCUCUUCGGCGGCACGCGACGUGAGGAGCUCGAGCUGCCUGGUGACGAAGGGGAAUGGGAAGGGGAGUCCGCAUGGUUGCCACGCGCGGAGCUCGCAGCGGCUCCUCCCGAACCUGACAUGAUUUCAUAGAGGAGAGCGAAGAAAACAAACCCUAGUAUCCCGUUUCUAUCAUAGGGGCGGCGUACAAAUGGAUUUACCUGAGAGUGGGUAAAGACCCGAGUAAUGCAUGGGCAUCACAAAAGGAAAAAUAGGUAUUUUGAUCCCUGGACUUUGUACCGAGGGUCAACUUCGUCCCUCAACUUUCAAAUUGGUCAAUUUAGUCCCUCAACUUUUGUUUUUAUUUCAAACUCGUUCUUGUAUUGAUAUGUGGCUCCGUAUUGGCAUGAAACUAAUACGAAAAGUCCUUUUUACCUUGACUCUUUUCUCUCUUUAUUUUUCGCCUUUAGAACUACAAUAACGUGUAUAUUUGCCGAGGAACUAUGAGGAUGCAUAUAUUUACCAUGAGGAUGCAUAUAUUUACCGAGGAACUAUGAAUAUAUACAUGGAGCAUGUAUAACACACCACGAGUGUGUGAGCACAUGUUGAUUUUAGAGCAUGCGUACACACAUUAAGUUGUAUAUAUACUAAAAGAAUAUGAUUAAAUACUUGUUUGAGUAUAGACAUAUCGAAUGCGUAUGAGCACAUGAAUGACUUUAAAGAUUACGAGUAGAUACACUUUUUAGAAACCAUAUUUUGUGUUAGUUUAAAAAAUAUAUUAUUGUGUGUAUGUAUUAAGGGAGUAUGAGCACAUACAUGUUUGAUCUACAUGUUCAUGGGCAAACGGGAUAUUUUCGCAUUAGGCUUAUGCUAACAUAGAAUACUAUAUUAGCACAAGGAUUUGUUUGACCCAAAAAUGAAUGUCAAUAUGAAAGUUGAGGGACGAACUUGAUCCCGUAAAAUUUAAGGAUAAAGUGGCUAUUUUGCCUAAAAGAAAUAUUAAUGAUCAAAUUACGCAUUGGUUGCACAUGCGAUACAACCUAAACGAUUUUUGUUGUCAGUUCGUAACCUGAGACGGUAUUCUCUGACCGCAGGCACGGAACCAUAACCAUCGAGCAGGAGCAGGAUAGAAUCCUGAAUUUGGCGAGGACGGCAACGCCGCAACGGCAUAUGCCAACGGCGAGACCCAUCACUUUCUCAUCCGGUUAUCCCCCGCGCUCGAUCUGGCUGGCUGCUGGCCUGCUGCUUGAACGGAACGCCCACCAAGCAGCAAGUAAACGGCACCGACUCCCAACCGGAAGAGCCGAGCCGAGCCAAGUCUCCUCCUCGUCUCCUCCCCAACCUCCUCCCCUCCCCUCCCGUUCCCGACUCGACCCCCCUCGCCUCUGACCCAGCAGGCUAGGGUUCCGCCCCCACCCCACCCGACCCCACCCCGAUCCGAUCCCAUGGACGGCGGCGACUCCUCCGCCGCCGGCGCCGGCGGCGCCGUGGCCGCGGCGGCCAAGUGGCGGAGCGACGCGUCGCGGGCGUUCCAGUACUACCUGGACCGCUCGACGCCGCACGCCACGGGGCGGUGGCUAGGGACGCUCGCCGCCGCCGCCAUCUACGCUCUGCGGGUCUACAUGGUGCAGGGCUUCUACAUCGUCACCUACGGCCUCGGGAUCUACCUCCUCAACCUCCUCAUCGGCUUCCUCUCCCCCAUGGUCGACCCCGAGCUCGAUCCCUCCGCCGCCGCCGAGGGGCCGGCGCUGCCCACCAGGGGAUCCGACGAGUUCAAACCCUUCAUCAGGCGCCUCCCCGAGUUCAAGUUCUGGUCAGAUCCCGCCUCCCCUCCCCCAGAUCUGUUUCCGCUCCUCGCCAGAUCCGCGUUUUUUUAUUUCUUAUUACUGCACCUGCUCCGGCAAUUCGCUACUUGCCCGUAUGUAUUUGCCCACUGGAACGGGGCGAUCGGGUCGGUUAGAUAGCUACUUGACAGCUUCUCGUAAUUUAUAUAGAGCCGUGUUAAUCGGCAUUUUCAAAACCGAUUAGUUUCCUUUACUACUCAAGUUACUAUUUCUCAGCUACUGCUGAUCCCCCUCCACAGUAAAUAGGCAUUUUUCUCGACCGUCUGUGGCAACCCACUGCCCUCCAGGUUCUUCCACUGAAUCAAUCAAUGGAAGACAUCGUGCAGUUCAUUCGGUUGAUGAGAAACUGGCAGGAGAAAACUUUUAGCUUGUAGAGCACAAAUCCUGGAGUGUGUGUGAUCUAUCAACAAUUGCUUUAGUCAUAGAAGAAAAGGGUUGCAAAAUUUUUCUGUUGGGAAGUUCGUGUGUCACCUGAUUAUGGUUGUUUAGUUCCAAGUCAGCUGACCAUGCAUUUAGUUGCACAAUCAUUGUCAAUCAGUGCUUAUUUGUGCUGCAUACUGAUUUGCAUAUCCUCCAGCAACCCGAAAACCAAGCAUUGUUGCAUAUUGGUUACCUCUUAAACUACAAUCAGUUCCUGAAUAAAUCACUCAAGGCAUGUUGCAUCCCUUCAAUUCCACCAUACCGUUUGGAAUUCCAGUGGAUGAAAAUGAUAUAAACAUACUCUAAUGAUGUUGUUGCACCACCAUGUAGCAGAGAAAAUUGUCACUUAUUGCUUCUGGUCCUCCCAGUUGAAGCGGACCGUCAGGUAGGUGGCAAUAUCGUUGUAUGCAAUGCCCAUGUGCUUGGUAACAGGGGGUUUCUUCGUUGAAACUAGAAUUAUUCUGAAGCGCCUUCGUUUUAGUUAAAAUAUAUCUGCUUUAAAUGGUGUCUAUCUGGAUUAAUCGGAAUUUCUGAAAUUUUUGGUGAAAUCGUUGUGAGGAGUUCUCUUUCUUUUCUCUUUGUUAAUUUGUCUGGGUCACCAUCACUUGUGGUCUCUGAUCUGCCUGGUGCAUAAUCCAUAUUUUUCUUUUUCCAAAAGGUAGCCAGACAAUAGCUUUUCAAUUUCCUGAUUAUUGCACAUUCAAGAACCUGAAAUCUCUCUCAUUGCCUAGUUACUCAACUACCCCUGAGCCUUUGUAGAUUGGUGAUUAUGUCUGUCUAGGCAAUUAGGCAUUGCCCAUGUGCUUGGUGCGGUGUUUUAAGUUAUACCUUGUCUUUAUCCUCGAUGUCAUUGCAUGUGGGAUGGUUUUGUGGAAAUCUCUCUAGCUACAUCUACAUCUACAUGGGAUGGAUUUACUGUAUAGCUAAAUAUGACAACUUAUAAGUUCGUAUGUAAUUUGAAUCAUUUAUAGUUUCUGUGAGCUCUAGUGGUGGAUUUCUUUUUAGACAAGUUUGAAGUGUUCUCGCUUUGGUAAGAGGUCAGAUAGAUGGAUUCUUAUGUUUUCUUUUUGAACUAAUUGUAGUUUUUGAAAUUUAUAGUAAUGCUUUUCAGAAGUUAUCUGUGAGUGGUUCAAUUUUUCAUCAAUAGUUCACCCUCACUAGUGUCGAGUAUUCUUUUCUUCAUUUUGUGCGUGUUGAGUAAACUAUUGCCAUCUGCAAGGUUUUAUUUUGGAAAUGCUAUUGGGUAGUAUGCAUAAAAAUGCAACGUAUGAAGUACUUUGACUGCUUUCUAUGUUUUCCGUACUCAAGUUUCCUCCUUUUAGGGUGUCAUUCUGAGUGUCACCCAUGUAAUGUGAAUUUAGAUGCAGCACAGCAUGCAAAAAUAUAAUGCAUGCGUAUUUGCUCAUCCAUUUUCGAGUAUUUUCUAAAAUAGUUGUUUUGUUUUGUUAAAUCUUAAUGCUGAAGAUCUUUCUUAAAGUUCCAAUCCAGUAUACCCCCCAUAACAACCAUUUCUUUGUCUUUCAGGUAUGCAAUCACAAAAGCUUUUGUUAUAGCUUUUGUGAUGACUUUCUUCUCUGUGUUUGAUGUUCCUGUCUUCUGGCCCAUACUCCUUUGCUACUGGGUUGUUCUCUUCGUCCUUACAAUGAAGCGCCAGAUUGUGCAUAUGAUCAAGUACAAAUAUGUGCCCUUCAGUAUUGGGAAGCAGGUCAGUACUACUGUUUAAACUUGUUGACUUUUGUUUAUUCGCUAAAUGGUUAUGUGCUGAAAGUCUACUGCUGUGGGUACCAAGGGGGUUGCAUGUUUAAAAACACAUGGACAGUGGGGGUUUUCUAGCAUUUUCAUUAAACACCAUCAGUUAUGGUCCCCAGAUCAAUUUUAUCUUUAUUUUGUGAUGUUCAAGAAAUGCUUGUGUAGUAGCUGCAAGUUGUUGUUAGGUGAAGUGUCAGUUUUUUUUUUCCAUUCCUCAUGAUUUGCCCUGACUGAUGCCAGAAAUAUGGUGGGAAGAAGAGCGGCUCGAGCAGCAGUUCCCCAAGAGACUGAUCCCGUACCUACCCGUAGGAAGCAUGGCAGGGGAACAAGAUACGGUGGAUGAUGAUAUUUGAUGUGCUAAAUACCAAGUGUAAUACUUCAUUCAUAUCUAGAGGUAGACGGAUAUUCGCUCCUGUUUCUGACUUGGGUUCACGGUUUAAUUCGAUAUUGCGCUUAGAAAUGCUUCCUUAUGUGCGUGUAUAGCGUGUUUCACUCUGAUAAAUUAUUUCGUUUAGUUAAGGCACCCCAUAUCUCAGGAUCCCAGAAAUAAGUGGCACGCGAAACUGUCCCAAUGGGAGGCGUGCCACUAGCUUGUCUUUGUACCAAACCGGAGCAGAAUGCCAAACUUUGAGCACUAAACUAAAAUUCAUUUGACUUUACUAUGUCUUAUAAACUUUGCAUAUUCAGAAAAUUUAUGGUCCUUCGUGUCGUUUAGAUAUUUAACGUGAAACGGUGAAAAUGUACCUCGUGUUUUGCUGUCUGGGUGACAACCGUCGUUGGUAACACAGUCCCCAAGAUGUACGCAGCGUGCGCGAUGCCCAGCGCGAGAGGAGCCUCUGCAGAAUCGUUUUCUCAGGAAGAACCAGGCAGGUCAUGUUUAGUUCCUCAAAACUUCCAACUUUCCUAACUUUGACACUAAGUAAAAAGAAGAUUUCCCAUCACAUCAAACUUGCGGUACAUGCAUGGAGUACUAAAUGUCGACGAAAUUAAAAAUUAAUUGCACAGUUUUGUUGUACUUUGCGAGACGAAUCUUUUAAACCUAAUUAGUCAAUAUUUGGAUAAUAAUUCACAAAUACAAACAAAAUGUUACAAUAUGCUACAAUACUACAAUAGUAAUUUUGCACCUUCAAACUUUGAUCAACUAGGCGCGUACUGAAACCUCGGAUCAUCAAAAGAGCAAGCAAAGUGCACAACAUGCCAAGGGACCGAGCAGACAUGACUUCAUCCAUUGGGCCAGAAUAGCAGGCGUGCAGGCAGCCCACCAAAGUGCUGCCUAGCCCAAGAAUGAUUUAUCUUCAACCUCGUUCAAUGCACGCCCUGCAUGCUCGUCGGUUCGUGUGCGGCUGCGCUAGGGGGGAUGGCAACGGGGCUAUCCCCGUCGGAGUCCGGCGGAACAUUCUGCCCCUUGAGUAAACUGUAAACUAAGGUCCCAUUUGUUUGGGCUUCUGGCCAGCUUCUGAACCGCCGAAGCUGGAAGUCCAAAUAAAGAGCAGGCUUCUCAGCGCAGCUUUUGCAAUGUUAAAAAUUCACAGAAGCUGCCGUAGCAUGGAAAGGUCGAAAGCGAGCGAAAAUGAGCUUCCGCUGGCUUCUGACGUCCCACUUCACCUUAUUUACCUGCCUGCCAUCGUGAAUAUACGCGGAUCGUUAUUUUUCUUUUCUUCCGCUCCCCCUCCCCCCGACCCAACCGGCCAACCCUAUCCACUCACGGCUCGCCUCUCGCCUGACGCCCGACGCCUCCCCUCCAUCCCCAUCUCGCCCGCCGCCUCCCCUCCAUCCCAUCGAUCCCCACGCACCCGUCGCUACUACCGUCGCGGCAUACUCCGUCCGCCGAAGGCUACCCGGGGCCGCCGCCAUCCAAGGCCUCCCGGGGCCGCCGUCGUCCAAGGCCAACCGGCGCCUCCUGUUGAAGCCGGCUCAGCCCCCUUGCUCCGCUCACCGUCCGGGCAACCCUUGAAGCCAACGACCCUACCCCUGCAGAUCUGCGCCGAGCAGCUCCACACGAGCCAGUUCCGAGGUGAGCAGCCCUUCCCCUCCUCGAUCUUGAGUUGUUCUAGCCUUGAACCAUGGAUUAGGAUUUGGAUUCACUGAUUAGGAUUUGGAUGCCUUUAACCAGUCAUUCACUGAUUAGGAUUUGGAUUCACUGAUAUAUGUUCUGAUUUUAUUCAAUUAGCUUGCAUUUCAAUUGUACAUCUCAGUAAAAUAUGAUGUAUAUUAAAGGGUUGAAUAUUUGAAGUUAAUACUACUGUUAAAGUUCAACUCAUACUUUUGGUUUGAUAAGCGACAAAACAUUGUUUGAUCUGUUAAAUAGAGGUGUCUUUAGAGGCAGAUUUGUUGAACCAAUAUUCUUAAAACUCUAGCAUUCACUGUUUGGUAGAUGAAAUGUAUGAAAUCAUGAACAAACACCUCUCUGUUUAGAUGGAGAACAAUAGAAAGGGCAAGGAAAAGAGGAAUGAAAAGGAUAAGGUCGUAUGCAAGGUAGAUUGGGAUAAUCCUGAGAUGACCACAAUAUUUUUGUAAAAUUGUUGUUGACGAGAUCCAUGCUGGGAAUAGACCCCUGGGCACUCUGAAUCGAAGAGGUUAUAAGAACUUGCGGGAGAAGUUUUUUGAGCAAACAAGGAAAAACUAUACCUAGAAACAGCUGAAGAACCGUUGGGAUAACCUCAAGAUCUUGUAUACUUUUCGGAAAUCACUAUAGACACUACUGGGGAAUUGUAGCUUUCGUCCACUGCAUUAAUGCUCAUAUUAGUACCGGGUCUAACGGAUAGUUUCUCAGGAGCCCCCCGUGACCCCUUUAGUACCGGGUGGAGCUCCCACCCGGUAGUAAAGGAGCUCCCAUCCACCUUAUCCAUGCCGCCCAGCCCGCUACCCGCUCCCAUCUUAUCUUGGCCUCCCCCUAUCUCUCUCUCUCUCUCUCUCUCUCUCUCUCUCUCUCUCUCUCUCUCUCUCAGCACCACCCCCUCCCCCUUCCUCUCCUGCUGCCGGGACCUUCUCUGCCUCCCCCCGGCUAGCUCCUCACCGGCAGUGAGGAACAGCGGUGGGGCGAGGUGAGGCGGCAGCGAGAGGCAAGUGGCAGCGAGGGGCAAGGGCGGGGCUCGGGCUCGAGCUCGGGGAGGGGGGGGGGUUGCGGCUCGGGCGGGGUGGGAUUUGUUUUUAUUUUUUAUUUUUUAAUACCCUUUUAGUACCGGUUAUUUCAACCGGUACUAAAAGCUCCCCUUUAGUACUGAACUAGCAAUAUCGGUUGCGCAACCGGUACUAAAGGGGGUUCCCAACCGGUACUGAUGGGGCUUUCCCCAGUAGUGGGAUCAAUUCUAGGCUCAGGAGGAAUCCAGAGUUGGGGAUAGUGACAACAAGUGUCCAAUGGAGGGAGGCAAACACAACGGUUAGCAAUCUAUCUUGUGUAUAUUUUUUGUAAUUCUUUGAAGUGUAUAUGUGCAAGUGACCAAUCUGUUUGUGCUCUUCUGUUGUUUGUGCAGGAACACAUGCAGAGUGACCAUAUAUUAUUGCUAACACAUGUGCGAUAUAUAGGAAAGUACUACCUUAUUGACUCGGGCUAUCCUAACCAGAAGGGUUUCCUUUCACCAUACAAAGGAGAGAAGUACCAUUUACCUGAGUUUCAACAAGGUCCUAGGCCAAGAGGUAAAAAAGAAGUGUUCAAUCACUUGCACUCAUCACUACGGAAUGUGAUCGAACAGUCCUUUGGUGUUCUGAAAAUGAAGUGGAGAAUACUAUUGAAGUUGCCUAGUUAUCCAAUGGAAAAGCAAAUAAGGAUUAUAAUGCAUGUAUGGCGCUACACAACUUUAUUAGAGAGAGUGCUUUGAGUGAUGAGCAUUUUGACAUGUGUGAUCAAAAUGAAGACUUUGUUCCAAGUGUUGGUGAAUCAUCAUCCUCUCAGCCGCAAGCAAAUGGACAAGAGGAGAGUGACAUGAAUGCUUUUCGUGAUAGUAUUGCCGAUGCUUUGAUUGCAAGACUAGUGUAAUAUGUACUCAAGAUGUGUCCUAAUUAUAAUUUAUGACUUCACAUGUACUUCAAAAUUAAUGGAUAAUGACCGAUGCAAUUUAUUAGAAUUGUACUAAAAAAAUCUCUAGUAAUAGUUUACAACAAAAUUACAAAUAAUACAGACACAUAGGAAAUACAUGUUGUUGUACACCUCCUCAGCAUAUACAUCCUCAGAGAAGCUAGGUUGCCAAACGCCUCAGCUUUGGGAAAAUCUAGCUUUCAGAAAGCCACCCUUCCAAGAGCAAAAGACAAAAGCUAGCUUUUAGGAAAGUUGCAGCUCAAACAAACAACAAAUAGGUGUAAAUCACCUCGCUCCCCAUCCCCGACAUUGCACACAGGGGCAAUUUUCCCACAUCCCCGUCCCCGUUCCCUAGCGGGGAUUAGACCCCCAACGGGGAUCCCAACCUUGAAAAAUCCCCGAUAUUCGUAGCUAUUGAUUUCUUUCUCUGUUCAAUCUUAGUAUGCAAAGAAAACUUUGAAAGAAACAUCCCAAGGAUUAUGGAAAAACAAAACACAGAUCAAUCGCACAACCAUAUAUACAUCUAUUAUCUAUACAAUUUGCUAGCCUUCUCAGUUCUCACGGAGCAAACAAAAGGAAUAAGAAAAUCCCUGCAAUCUUCACGUUGUCCUCUGAUUGCCUUUAAGACUCACCGUGGCAAGGCAAUAAAUGUCAAUCAUUCACCGUGCAAGGGUGAAGGGUUCACUGUGUGGCGAGAGCAUGCAACUGCGACCUGCGCGGAGAUCGACAGAUCUUCACUUCUGCCAGCACUGGCUCGGUGGAGGUGUUGUAGGAUUCGGAGGAAGCGGACAGGUUAGAAGCCGCAAGGAUGUCCUAGCGGACGGAUUAGAGGCCACGAGGAUGUCCCGGCCGUAAAAAUCAGAGGGGCUGUGGAAGGUUGAACCUUUAGGACCACACCUUUAUUUAUAUAGGUGAUAAGAACCAUCAUCGUGGCAUGUACAAGAUCAGCCGGCGGCCAGCCAUGAGUUUAUUGGUAAUCUAAACUAACCCUAGAUUACAUACAACAACCUUCAAGAUAUACAUCAGGCUAACAACAAACUAUGGUCGGCCACCUAACUUGAGUGACACGUUGCAUUGUUUAACAACCCCCUCAAUCACAGCUUUCCUAAGCUUUCCUAAGUUGAGAUUGUACUUGAAGUUCUCCAAUUGUCUGACCGGGAGAGUCUUCGUAAAUCCAUCUACCACUUGAUCACCUGACGGAACAAAGUCAACUUCCAAGAGUUUUCUGGCGACCCAUUCCUUGACAAAGCCAUAGUCAACUUCAAUGUGCUUCAUUCUUGCAUAGAAGGCAAGAUUAGAAUUAAGAUAUUUAGCACCCAUAUUAUCACACCAAAUUCGUGCCAUUGGAGGACUCUGAAUGUGCAGUUGCUUCAAAAGAGUUUGCACCCACAUAACUUCAGCAGUAGCAUUAGCAAUGGAUUUAUACUCUGCUUCUGUACUUGACCUGGACACAAUUGCUUGUUUCUUAGCAUUCCAUGACACAAGAUUAUCUCCCAAGAAAAUAGAAAAUGCUCCUGUUGAUCUUCUAUCAUCUAGGCAUCCUACCCAAUCUGCAUCUGUAUAUGCACUUACCAGCAUGGAUGUAGACUUACACAACUUUAAACCGAGCUUGGAACAGGAUUUAAGGUACCUUAAUAUUCUUUUUUACAGCCACCCAGUGAACAAUUGUUGGAGCAUGUAGGAAUUGGCACACCUUGUUUACGGGGAAAGCAAUAUCAGGCCUGGUCAAUGUCAGAUAUUGGAGAGCACCUACCACACUUCUAUACUGAGUAGAAUCAUCUAGUCCCAAAGGAACUCCCUCAUGUAUUGAUAGCUUUUCACUAGUAGACAACGGUGUGCUUACCGGCUUGUAGUCUCCCAUACCAACCUUACCUUCUUUAGGAGAUCCAAGACAUAUUUUUGUGUUAAGAGAAUUCCAUUGUGUAACUUGUGUACCUCUAUACCAAGAAAAUAGUGUAGAUCACCAAGGUCCUUUAGAGCAAAGUCCUUCUGAAGAUCCAGUAAGAGAGUCGAGACAGCUUCCGGUUUGGAGCUCACUACAAUUAUGUCAUCAACAUAAAUAAGGACAAAUAUCACAACACUCCCUUGAUAAUAGAAAAACAAAGUGGUUUUUGCUUUAGAACCUUUAAAACCAAGAUCACACAGUCUCUUACUCAAGCGAGAGUACCACUCUCGGGGUUCUUGCUUCAGUCCGUAGAGUGCUUUAUCUAAUUUACACACAUAGUUUGGACAUGUCUUAUCCUCAUAUCUAGGUGGCUGCUUCAUGUAGACUUCUACUUCAAGGACACCAUGAAGGAAGGCAUUUUGUACAUCUAGUUGUCGAAGAGUCCAACCCCUGAAAAUAGCAAUAGAGAGAAUAAUCCUAAUAGUAGCUGCCUUUACUACAGGACUAAAGGUGUCUUCGUAAUCUAUUCCAUAUCUUUGCUUGAAUCCCUUUGCAAUCAGUCUAGCUUUAUAUCUAUCCAAGCUGGCAUCUUGUUUUCACUUGAUUUUAUAAACCCACUUACAAUCUAUGACAUUCCUACCUUUUUGAGGUGGAACAAGGUGCCAGGUUGCAUUCUUUUGCAGGGUCAUAAAUUCACUAUCCAUUGCACUUUUCCAAUUAUUAUCUUGCAAGGCAUUUUCUAAAUUAUAUGGCUCACCAGUUGCUGUAAGAAAACUGAACUUAUUGCUGUAUUUAAUGGUACCAUCAGUGUAAGUUUUCUCCUUACGAAUACCACUUUGUAGGCGUGUCUUCAGUCUUGUGUUCCCCUUGCCGAAGAGACCACAGGGGAUCCGGGCUCCAGAGUCGAGGCAGAUUCGCGAGGAGGCAGCGCAGGGGAAGAUUCACCUCCAGGCAGGGUGGAGCCGGUGGCAGUGUGAUGUGUGGCGGGAAGGACGCCAUCGUCCGCGCGCUCCCCAGUCGUCGGGCGCAUGGCUGGUGGAGGCUGGGCGACGUGGAAGGGGGCACUGCCGGAUGUCCCCGGAGCUCCGGACACGGUGCACGUGUCAGCUGGCGACGGGUGCACCAGUGGGGGAUCCACCCUAGCAGAGCCUGUUGAGCCUGGUUUAGUGCAGGGAGCAUAUCCCGAAGAAGAUGUUAGUGCAGGAGGAUCUGCUUCGAUUUUCGUGCCCAGACCUGUAUUCUCAGUAUUUGAUGUAGGAAGCUCCUGAAAAGCACCGGUUUCUUCACAAAAAUCAUUAGCAGAUAAAUUAGGGAAAUUAGUCACAUGAUUACUCAGUUGCGGGGCACCAUUGCCUAGAGUAUUUGGAUUUAAAAGAGAUGGAUCUAGAAAAGAAAUUUUUGUUUGUAAUCGCCUGCUUGUAUUGGAGUGGAGUUUAGAGAAAGGAAAUAUGGAUUCAUCAAAACGACAUCUCUAGAGAUAUAUACCCGACCAGAUGAAGGAUCAAGGCACUUAAACCUUUGUGCAAGCUGCUGUAACCCAAGAAAGUGCAUUGUGUAGAUCGAAAUUGAAGUUUCUGAGAGUUGUAGGGGCGUAGGUUGUGCCAACAUGCACAACCAAAGACUCGUAGAGAUGUGUAAUGUGGUUUCGGACGGAAUAGAUGCUCUAGGGGUGUUUCAUGCUGAAUAACUCGACUAGGAAUUCUGUUGAUUAGAUAGACAGCGGAGAGAAAAGCAUCACCCCAAAAUUUGAGCGGCAUGGAUGCAUAGGCUAGAAGAGCAAUAGCUACUUCUACAAUAUGGCAAUGCUUUCUUUCAGCGGAUCCAUUUUGUUGAUGCGCAUGAGGACAUGAGACAUGGUGUGUGAUGCCAAUUUGUGUAAAAAAUAAGUUUAAUUUUUUUGAUACUCCUUUCCCGAGUCAGUUUGCAUGGCAAUGAUCUUUCUAUCAAAAAAUCUUUCGACCAGAUUUUUAAACUCAUGAAUUCUUUGGAACACAUCAGAUUUGAACUUCAAAAGAUAGAUCCAGAUAAACUUCCUGUAAUCAUCAAUAAAACUAAUAGAAUAUUUUUGUCCUCCAACUGAAUUGGGUGCAGGGCCCCAUACAUCAGAAAAGACAAGUUUCAAAGGAUGAGAGGAAACACUAGAAGACUUGGGAUAGGGUAAUUGAUGGCUCUUGGCCAUUUGACAAGCACCACACACUGAUUGUUUAUUCAAAUCAAAAGAACAAGGAAGAUUAAAACUACUGAUAACUUUCUCCACAACUGGGAGAGAUGGAUGCCCAAGGAAACUAUGCCAUUGCUCAUCAGAUGGCCUAACAACUCCAAAGGCUUGCUUUAUUGAAUGUGUAGACAGCAGGGGAUACAAUUCUUUAUGGCAGCUCCCUCUAAGAAGAUUUUUCCUCGUGGCCUGAUCCUUGAUCAAAAAGAAAUCAGGGUGAAGUUCUAGAAAGGAAGAGUUAUCAGUAGCUAAUCUAUGAAUGGAAACAAGAUUUUUACUGGCUUCAGGAACAUAGAGAACAUUUUAAGGAUGAAGAUUGUGGCUAGGGGUUUUAACAACUGAAUGACCAAUGCGACAAAUUCCCAUACCUGCUCCACUCACAGUUUGGAUAUGAUCAUUCCCCUUGUAUCGGUCAUGGACAGUGAGCUUCUCAAGAUUGGUCGCCACAUGGUCAGUGGCACCACUAUUUCUGUACAAGUUGGUGUCCACCCUAUAUGAUAUGGUUGCUAUCCCUGCAUAUCUCUCAUCAGGUAUUUCCAUCAUACCUAUGCCAGCAAUCUGUCACCAUGUGACCCUUCUUGAGGCACAGCUAGCACCUGGGCCUGCUGUCAGGAUUGCCCCUACCACCAUUGUACUGGCGAGGGGCGUUGCCGUUGCUGCGGGUGUUGUUGUUGCCGGCGGCCAGCCAUGAGUUUGUUGGUAAUCUAAACUCACUCUAGAUUACAUACAACAACAUUCAAGAUAUACAUCAGCCUAACAACAAACUAUGGCUGGCCACCUAACUUGAAUGACAUGUUACAUUGUUUAACACCAGCGUCGGCGCCAGGGAGAUUGGGGAGGGGUUGAGGCUUGAGGAGAGAGGAGAUCAAUGAACGGCCGUCGCAGUCGCGCGCUCAAGUACUCGUAUUCGCGUCGUGAGGAAAGAGGGUGGCGGGCUGGCCGCUGAGUGACUGGAGGAGACGAGGGGAUGGGGAGAGCUAGGGUUAGCAGAUCGCUAGCCAAAUUUUAUAUCAACUUGUGGGCUUUACCAAAUUUUCUUUGCUGGGCUGAUUUCGGCCUAUAUCUAAUGCACAAGCACAUGAAUUCGAGGCUCCCGCUGGGGAUCGGGGACAGGGAGCCAGGGAAGUCUAUUCCUAUCUGGUUUCCGGUGGCCCGUUAGCUAUAUGGCUUCCAUUGUUUGAGAUUCGUGCAAAGAAAUCCCACCCCUUGGUUGCACCCAUCUUCCUCAACCCUAACUUAGCCGUGCCCCUGUCCAUGGCCGCCGCCUCGACCCCGAGCUUGUCGCUCCCCCACGACACCUCCACCGGCGGGCCUAUUGCACCGCCGCCCAUGACUCUCGGCGCCUCCGCGCCCCAUGGCUAUCGGCCUACUGCCCGCGACCCCAGCGUCGCCGCCGCGCCCCAUAGCGCCUUCACACGUGACUCCUGGCACCUCCGCGUUGGCCUGCUGCCCGCGCGUCCAAAACCUGCCGCCGCCGCUGCGUCUUGGCCGCCGACCUGCCACAGGCACCCCCUGGUCAUGCUGUGGCCACGGCCUACCACCGUGCACGCCCUUCCACCGCACUAGCCGGUGCCGACGCCAGCGCGCAGCCUGCCGGCUUGCCGUGUGCUGGCGUCGGCACCGGAGAAGAAGCCACGACUAUUUUUUUUAAAAUGUUGAUGCAUUUGUGGAUAAAUGUUGAAUCCUUUUUUCAAAAUGUUUAAACGGGUUGUGAAAAAUAUUGAAAAUGGUAUACAUUCCAAAAAUGUUGAAUGUAGUAUUUUUAAAUAUUGAUCUAUUUCUCUUAAAAUGUUGAAUGUAAUUUUUCAUUGAUGAAUUUGGGCCUAUUAGUUGGGUCCAUUAGUUGGUCCUAAUGGACUUUAAAGCCAUGUUGCUUAGCUAGCACAUGGAAGCUACAUAGGAGCCCCCGCCAGGUAACGUCCCCGCCCCCGUCUCACCAGACAGGGAUGAGUUUUGACCUGCUAAGCUCCCCGAGGGGAGUAAAAUCACCCUAUUUACAUCCCCUAAUGGAUGAAUUCCCCACUGGGGAUUGGGGCCCCAUUGCCAUCCCUAGGCUACGUGAAGCCUGAGCCCUCUAGGGCAAUGUUAUAAAUUGUUUGACUAAUCACGAUUAGUCACGAUUAAUCGCCCUUAUCGGUUUCCUACCACCGAUAAUGCCCAACGAUUCGAUUUGGUCGAUAUCGUACAUACAUCUAUGGCCCACCAGGAGGUUUGGAUAGUUCUAUAUAUGGGGCUGGACAUCGAGACACAUCUUACAUGGAGACCAUGGCGCGGGACGGUGUAGUCUACAUGGAAGGACAAGAACUAGUUGGGAAUUAGGAAAGUACUCAUUGUAAUAAGAGAAUAACUCCUCUAACCGUAUCCAACUAGUAUUCUUGUAACCAACCGACCUGUAACCCUGUGCCCGGCUAUAUAACGCAAGGCAGGGACCCCCUCCAAAGCAAUUCAAUCCAACCAACACACAGGACGUAAGGUAUUACGCAAUUUAGCGGUCCGAACCUGUCUAAAUCGUGUGUCUGCGUUUACCUUCGAGUUCUUGAUCUCGACGAGCUGCACUAACCAAAACACUCCCUCGGGUACCCCCCUCGAUAGGGUGCCGGGUCUAAACACCGACAGCUAGCGCGUCAGGUAGGGGUUCUCAUCGAGAAUCCGCUGGUGAACUCGAUGGUACAAGUCAUCAUCAAGCCAAUCAUUGCAUUUGAAGCAGGCGCGACAUUCUUGUAACGACUCAGGUUAAUCAGCCAAGUUAAUCUUACAAGUUCCCAAAUCUGCAGUUCAAUCAGCCCCGACCCCUGAAACUCAACCCAACCGCCGUUUCUCUCUAAGUCCCGAAACCAGGGUUCCUUCAAAAGUGGAGCUUUGGGAGAGCCAGAGACUGGAAGUUGGACCUAGAGAAAGGAUUCCCCGGAUCUAUUAGGCCAAGCGCGCCAGAGCAAGCGUGCGCCCUACUUCAGAGCCCCGUCGCCGUGUGGCAUGGUAUCCCCGACGAGCCCCGCCUCGCCCAGUCGCUAGCCGCAACAGGAUGGAUCAGCGCACCUCCUUCCCAAUCACGCGCGGAAGCGCCCUGCAUCCCUUUUCCACCUCGUCUCAUCUCGCCUGCAACCUCGCCGGCUGCGCCAGGCGCCCUGUCGCCGCUGCGACCAAGGAUUAGCUGCUGCCGCGUCAGUUCGCCUCGUCUCCCGCGCACAUCUCCUCACCUGGAUCCCUGGCCUCGCGUCUCAACGCCUUUUGGCUUUUCUGUCGCCCCUUAGUUGUGCUGCCCACGCGCGCUCCCCGCGACGAAACCGCCUUCGCCAACCACGGCUCCAGCAGUGACAACUCCUUUUCCCGUCUCGCCAGUAGCGUGCCCCGGCAAAGCUGCUGGUUCGGCGCUUGCUAGCGUCGCCGCUCGCCUUGUCACCUCACCUGCAGCGCCCUCGCCUGCAGUGCCCCUUCCUUCCUUCCUGCCGCACGCUAGCCAAGCCGCCGCACCCAAUCCGCCGCUUGACGCGACCAGACCCGCGCUCACCCUCGCCAAUCUUUCCCUCUGGCAAAACCAUGCCUGCUUAAGCUCUGUCUUCAGUGCCCAAUGACCGAAGACCCUAUCCCUGAAGCUCCGCUUCGCCGGCCAAUGGAGGCAUCGACCAAUCGCCGCCCCGGCAGAGCACUCCAUUCUCUUCGACCUGAUCCUCGGGCUGCCCGAACUCCUUCUCUUCCGCGCAGCUAUAAAAGGGAGUACCCGAGCCUCUACCGGAGUUUCCUUCGCCAUCGUUUCCUUGCCGCACCUUCCUCUGUUUCGCACUCAAGCGCUGCCGCAUAAGCUCUUGAAGAACUCCCCUCUCUGCUCAACACCCACCUUUCCCAACCCGCCAGCCGCUUGUUCCUCCGCACUGUGCUAGAGCUUACUUGUUGUCCACAAGAAGCACCGCCGCCGCCGGAGCACCGCCGGUCCCAGCCGCCGCCCAAGCCUUAGCGCCUUAAGUCUUUCCGCCUGAGUCUGUUCCUUCCCGACCCCAAGACUUCACCAGUAGGCCCAAGGGUAAGCCGCCGACCCCUUUCCGUCUUGCCCGACCCCUAUUUGUUUCGCCGACCCUUGUCCGCCUCGUCUGAGGGCUCGGCUGUAUCCUUUUCUGUUGACCAAGGAUAUCUGUGUAAAAUUUUAGGGACUUCUCUGUGUUAUGUCUAAGGACCCCGGUACAGUUAUUCCUUAGGUCUGAGGGUCAGAUCAUAAGUUUUUCCCGAUCCGACUCCUUUAUCUUGUUCUCUAUCAACAGAAGCUUAGGAUUUCACACCUUUCCUGUAGUUUUGCCACAAGUUUCUAAGCUUAAGCUUGCAAGUGUUGUUGAAAUAACCGUCUAAGUGUUUAACCCCUGCAUUUGCAUUUCGUGUAGAGCUCAACCUCGCCGAGGGCACCUACGAGCUGCACCCGGUGCCAGAAGAUGAAGUAGUAGCUGAGCUGCCGACCGUAGGAGCUGAAGCAGAGCACACUGAAGAUCAGUUUGCUUCCGCCCCACUCGAAGGCAAGCCCCGAAGCAUAACCCAACUUUUCUAAACUUGAGCAUGCCUUCCUUUGUAUGUAUGUGCAUUUAUGUUACAGGAGUUGUUUGAAACCAUAAAUGCAUGACUUAGUUCCCUUGAUCUGAACACUAGCAUGAUAAGUCCGAGUAGUUGCAGUGCUUAACAGGACCCGGUAAAAGUCGAGUGAUUUCCUAUCACUCGCGAGUUAUAGGAGUUGUUUGUUCUCCUUCUGGUUACAACUAUAAGGACGGUGGACGGAGCAGAGCCUUGUGAACUCUUUUGGUGGUCGGUGGAUCGCCCUGUCUGUCUAUAUGAAAUUGCUUAAGGUCGGAAAGUGUUGGUGUUCGUGAUCAAGUGUUUGAAAGUACUAAUCUCAUACCUAGUAUGGGAUGGGGAAGCCUAGUACCUGAUUGAACUAGGGCGUGGCUUAUACCCCUGCUGUCCCUGGAACGAGGUUCCCAUGGUGCAUCAUGUGGGUGCAAGUGCUGUCACAGUACGACAAGAGGUCGGGACUGUGGAGCAUUGCAUGCUAAGGGAAGUUUGGACCUGACACGUGCCUGGGAAUUGAUGGGGAUGGCCGACACAGGAAGCGACCCUCUGUGGUGUGUGGAUGUCGUGAGAUUAGGUUCACCAUGCAUGGUUAAGAAACUCAAAUCAAUUCAUCUGCCUCUCACAGUUUGAGACUGCUUGAUCGCUAUGCUACACUGAGUAAAGAUGGAACAUGAUGAUGAUAUGAACUUUGAGGCUUGUUCUAUACUUUUGUUUGGAAUCUAUGAUUGUUAGCAUAAGCUGCCAAUAUAGCCUGGUUAAUGAACUUAGAAUCUGAGCUAAAAUAUUGAAAGUAAGGACCUACUGUAGUUGCUUUUAGCAAAACAAACCCCUCAGCUAAAGAGCCUUGCAUGUCUAGAAGUUGGUGGAGUAGUUUUUCCCACCGGUCGGUUAAGUCUUGUUGAGCUUAGCAGCUUAGCCUUGCUUGUGGCAUCUCUUUCAGGUGAAGUUGAAGCUUCUGAGUGUGCUGCUGUUGGCACUUGGCCGCCCCAGCUUCCUCCUGGGUGGACGGUCGAGUGGGAUCCCUCCUCGGACGGUGAGGAGAGGGAUCAUUGAUGUCUUGAUCGGCCUCAUCAGGGACAUCCGACCCAGCGCUAGCUUCCGCAGUUCUGUUUUAUCUUUUUCCGCUGCUUGAACUCUGUAAAACUUUGGUAUUUCCGAACCGGUGUUGAUGAACUUAAUGUACUUGUUUAAGUGGAAGAUCUGUUGUAUUCUCUGGAACCACUCACUUUCGUGUGAGCUAUGCUAACUCGGUUUGUAUAGUGGUUUAUCGGAUGAAAUCCGACGGAUCGUCGAGUCAACUUGAUUAAAGCAUAUGAUCGCGUGUUAGGCAACUUAAAUGUGCUUUAGCUAAGUUAAUCCGAGGUGUUCCGCCACAGUUCCUCUUCGGCUCCUAGGUUUGCAUCGCAGACGGUGUUGGAAAUUUCUGCCGCUACAUUGCGUUGACCCCGAAGAAGAAGCAGCAAACCAUGAAGCUCCAGCGCCAAGAUCUAGAGGAUCUCGUCAAGAAUUUUGGUGAAUUUUUAUUUCUUGACCUAGUCAGAGGCUAGGGGGACGAGUCUGAGUACAGCUCGACUUCUUCCACCGGUCGGAUUGACUUGCACGAGCUGGUGCAUAAGCCAUCGUGUGAGUCGGAUUACCAUCUGAGUCGAUUCCUGUUUGGACUCCGCAAUGUGACCACUGUUUAUCAGGCGGCCCUAUCCAGAUAAGAAUCCGAUAUGGAUAUGAUCGAGGACCUCGACUACUACUCGGAUCCGGAUGAGGAGACUCCUUUAUCAAGUCUGCAGCAGGGCCUGGUAAUCACAUCAACUCCUCAAGGCAGAUUCUUCUACUGGCCCAACAUGAAGCCACCCGCUCUUGCCAAGGACGAAAAUUCAUGCCUCAUCGCCUACCUCGACACUUUCUCGUACCAGGAGGGAGCUUCUCUGUCGCCCAUCUACGAGGUAGGCGACACCAUAGAGGUCAUGACUUCAAGCUCGGGAAGCUACUCUCCAGAGUAAGAACUCUUCGCCGUCAUUGCUGGAGAAGAGGACGAAGAAGAAGAGCGGCGGGACAGAAACUCGCGACAUGAGCGUCACCCAGAUGAUGUCUUGCAGGAUGAGCUCACCGCCAACAUUGUCAGAGAAGAGACCGAAGCUCAAAGAACUCAACAACGAGCAAGAAACGCCGCAAGAGCAGAGCGCCCCCGCUGCCUUGCAGCGGACCUACCAAUCCAUAACUUGGAUAAUGCCUUUGAAGCAGUUCAAACGCGUCACCAUCAUACUCCCAUGGCUACCGUCAUGUCUAUUGAUCUCAUCACCCGCACGAUGCCCCAGAACAAGUACACUAGACAGUUGGUUGAACUCGCGUAUGAACAACUCGAUCAGCAGAAUCCGAUACAGCCAGUCCAAUACUCCGCAUCCCAGCGAAGUCAACAUGGUAGUAGCCAAAGAGGCACUCUGUUGAGACUGAGUCAACUCGGAGGCACCAGACGAAGCCAAGCUGGAGCUGAAGGUAGUCGGGCAGAACCCUCGGGAUGUCGUGGCCACCAUGGGGCUAACCCAAAGCCUAAACGCCCAGUAGGAGACCUCUACAACAAGAUCAUUGCCAGCCGCGACGCCCGUACCAUCAUCGAUGAACGGUGCCGCGAGCGCGAUCAAGAAGUCAAAUGCCUAGGAGAUGGUACUGACGGGUUCCCCGCCUUCUCCAGACGUGUGAGGAGGACAACUCUACCUGAAAAGUUCAAACCCCCAGGCAUCACCAAGUACAAUGGCAAGCAAGACCCAGUCCAAUGGCUCUGGUGCUACUCGCUGUCAGUACAAGCAGCUGGGGGAAACAACGACACCAAAGUCGUCUACUUCCCCAUCUGCAUGGAGGCGGCGCCACUCACAUGGCUCGAAUCGUUGGACAAGAACUCCAUCGACUCAUGCAAGGACCUCAAGGUGGUGUUCACCAACAACUACAUGGGGGCAAUGCAGCGUUCAGGCAACUGGAUCGACUUGUCUUAGGUGAAGCAACAAGAAAGCAAGACCCUGCGAAGCUACUUACAUUGCUUCUUCGACAAGAAGGCCACAAUCGUGGAUGUCAUGGAGCGUGACUUCGUUGACCGCUUCCAGAAUGGCCUCCACGACCGCUAGAUGUUUUAGGACAUCGGCAAAAGAUGCUUCGCUGAUGUGAAAUCUCUCAAGAUCAUGGCAUGGACGUGGGCAGAUGAAGAAGAUAGGGAGAUCGAAAGGUUCGAGUUCAAUCGCAACAAGGGCUAGAACAACAACAAUCAGAACAACGGCCAACGCAACAACAAGAACUGCAACGAUCGCCCCAGCAAUGACAACUGAAAUAACUACUUGGGAAGUAAGAACCACUUGCGUAAGCUAGACAAUACUGUCACGGAAAUCUCGCAGUCGUCCAAGAAAGGUGGCAGCAAGAACCAAGAUAAACCCUCAUUUAAUGAGCUCUUGAAGAAACAGUGCCCAUGGCACCCAUACCACAAGCAUGCUGCGUUAGACUGUUUCAGUCUACGCAGAGUCAUGAAGGACCUGCCAGAGCUAUCUGGUACCAAAGACAAGGGAAAGACCAAGAAAGACAAAGAUGAUGGUGACAAUGGUAAGUUCUAGAACCCAUCCAACACCAUCAACGUCAUCUUCGGUGGAACCCCGGGUACUGCCACUAAGCAGUUCUAGAAGCUGACUCUUCGAGAGAUAAUGUCCAUUGAACCUGCGGUGCCAACAUUCCUCAAAUGGUCCGAGGUGCCAAUUACCUUGUCCAGAAAGGACCAAUGGACUAGUUUCUCAGACCCAGGAUAGUAUCCCCUCGUCCUGGACCCGGUCGUCGCUGGCUCAAGACUUACCAAAGUACUCAUCGACGGCGACAACGGUCUCAAUAUCCUGUUCGCCAAUACACUGAAUAAGAUGGGCCUCGACAUCACCGAAUAUGAUCACACCAAGAAACUCUCCAUUUUAUGGGAUUGUCCCAGGCAACAUGGUUGUAGCCCUCGAACAGGUGGUUUUGCCAAUUACCUUUGGGACCAAAGAACACUACCGGACAGAAUACAUCCGGUUCGAGGUGUUGAAUUUCAAAACAUCACAACACACCAUGCUCGGAAGACCAGCAUUGGCUAAAUUCAUGGUCAUCCCACACUACGUGUACUUAGUACUCAAGAUGCCAGGAUCCAAGGGAGUAAUCUCCCUGUGCGGAGACUUGAAGAGGUUGUACAACUGCGACACAGAAGCCAUGGAGCUAGCAGCAAUUACUCAAGUACCAAACUUGAUGAUGCAAGUCUUCACUGCAUCCAAGAAGUUGUCUCCAUCAGUGCUCGAGAUUCUAGAAAAGAAGUCGGGGGCAACCAAGGGCAAGCUAGCAAGUGAACUAGACAUCAAAGCCUUUGACCUUAAGACUGGUGACAGCUUCAAGACAGCCCUGAUUGGCAUAGGGCUAGGUCCUAAAUAGGAAGGCGCGCUUGUCAGGUUCCUUCGGGCCAACCAAGACAUCUUCACGUGGAACCAACAGACAUGUCGUGGGUGCCCAGGAGUUGAUCGAGCACUCACUCAACAUGAAUCUAAUAGCUACACCAAAAAGGCAACACCUACGAUGAUUUGCCCAAGACAGAAGGGAAGCCAUCAAGAAAGAGCUGGCCAAACUACUCGCGGUGAGCUUCAUAAAAGAAGUCUAUCAUCUAGAGUGGCUCGCCAAUCCCAUCCUAGUGUGAAAGAAAAAUAACAAAUAGUGGAGGAUGUGUGUUGACUACACAGACCUCAACAAGCACUGUCUAAAGGAUCCCUUCGAGCUCCCUAGGAUUGAUCAAGUCAUUGACUCCAUAGCUGGAUGUGCCCUACUCUAUUUCCUCGAUUGAUACUUAGGGUAUCACCAAAUAGCUCUCAAGGAGGAAGACCACAUUAAGACCGCGUUCAUCACCCUAUACGGAGCUUUCUGCUACACAACAGUGUCUUUCAGGUUGAAGAACACAGGAGCUACUUAUCAACGGGCAGUCCAGGAGUGCUUCAAGAAGCACCUACACCGCAACAUGGAGGCGUACGUGGACGACGUGGUCAUAAAGACCAGAAAUCCCGACGACCUGAUUGCGGAUCUAGAAGAAACUUUUGCAAGUCUGCAAGAGUUCCGAUGGAAGCUCAACCCGACAAAUUGUGUCUUCUGCAUACCUUCCGGGAAACUACUCGGGUUCAUCAUUAGUCAUCGAGGCAUUGAAGCUAACCCCGAGAAGAUCUCCUCCAUCACCGAUAUGCAUGCCCCAUCAGGCAUCAAGGACAUCCAGAAGCUGACUGGAUACAUGACGGCCCUCAACAGAUUCAUCUCAAAGCCCCAACUAGUAUGAUGUGAUCCCUCCUCAAAUCCCCCACGGAUUCGACUUGAAUUUGUAGUUUUCCUAAAGACUUGAGUUCUUGGUAGGGUUUCAGUGUUCUCCAAAAUUCGUUAUGAAUACUUAAGCUUUUCGAAGUGAGCCUUUGGGAAUAACCUGGUAUGUUGUUAUAAGUUUAUGGUUCAAAUUUUGUAAUUUUUGGAGGUCGUUUGAUCAAGUUUUGAAUUGUUCCGACUUGUUCACGCAGACUGUUUUUGGAGCUGCGGAAUAUUCCAAAGAAUUUUCCGAAAAAUUCUGUAGGUGCGAAGAUUUUUUCGGAAAUUUCGUAGGUGUGGAUUCUCCAAAGGUUUGUGCAGAUUCUCCGGAAGUUGCGGAUUAUUCCGAAGAGUUUUGCGGAGUUUCCGUACUUUUGUGUUGGUUUUCCAAUCUCUUCUUCCGACACUUGUUUGGGUUUUCUUUCUCGCUUCCGUUAGUUUCUAAUUUGGUUCCUAGCACCAUUUCUAGAUCCAUUAGCUCUUGCAUAGCUAAGGGGACUUGAUAUUGCUAGAAGAGAGGUUUGUGGAUUGGUUUGAGACUAUAGCCGAGGUUAUUUGAAGAAAUUUGAAUUGGCUCCCAUUCACCACCCUUUGGUCGCCCGUUCCGAUCCUUCACCGUAGAAUCCUUGCUUUUGCUAUUUAUUUAGGUUUCAUCCGUUUCCAUUGGACCCAGAAUCCUUGCUUUUGCUGUGUAGGUUUCAUCUGGUUUAGUUUUCUGUUGGUACAUGGACAUAUGCUUGUACAAAAUCCUUGCUUUUGCUUAUCAUCUAUAAUCAUUGUUUGCACACCGAAGCAUUUUUUUAAACUUAGAUGCACUCUUGUACAGGAAAACAGAUCUUGGAGGAAUGCUGGUGAAAUAAGUAGGGAUGGAAUUUUGGGGCGAAGCAGCUAGAAGUUCCAGGGGAGGGUGAACUUGCAACCACAAGCCUAACAUCAUCUGGAUAUUCUAUCAGAUAGCAUCCACACAAAGAUACAUAGAAGUACGCAGCAAAGCGCCGCCAGCGACGUCAGCACGCCCUUGUGCCCCUGCAGAUAACGUCCAGAGGAGCCUGUCGGCAGCAACCUGUCGAGGUACUCGCUGACAGUGGUGUACUCGACGUCCGGGUAGAGCUCGCCGGCGGCCGCCCCCAGCGACGGCUCGAUCUUGAAGUUUGUCUCCCCCAGGAUGUACGCCGCGUGCCCGAUCGAGAGCGCGAUGCCCAGCGCGUGAGAAGCCUCUGCAGAAUCAUUUUUCCCCCCUUAACAUUUCACAGCAAGUAAAUACAAUGCAGAUGCUGUCUUCUCAGGAAGAACCAGAACCAGGCGUGUCCUACUGACCUCGGAUCAUCUUGAGGACGGCGUCCUCGGCGACGUACACCCGCAGGAACGUCCGGCCGGUCUUCUUCUCCCACAUCGACAGCAGCUCGUUGUGCGACAGCGUGUUGGCCGGCGGCUUGACGUACAGCAUCCGGCCCGCCGCGCGGGGGUCGGCGGCGGCCCGGACCGUGUAGGCACCGACGUCCUCCUCGGCCACGUACGACACCUUGGUGUCGCCGCCGCCGAGGACGACGGCCUCGUCGGCGGGGGGCGCCGGGGACAGCACCUGCCCGACGCUGGGCAGCGCGGCGCCGGCGAGGUACCCGCACAGCACGUAGGUGUGCGGGACGCCCGCGGCCUCCACGGCGCGCCGGACGGACGCCUUGCUGGCGUAGACGGUGGACCUCGCCGGCUCCACGGCGGCGGUGUGGUCCACGUCCGUCCAGAACUCCGACGGCAAGAACCUCUGCACGUAAGCAUUUACAAGCACGCCGGCCGCGAGCGAGCUUGCGGUCAACGAAUCACUGAAUCGAAGCAUCGAAGGCAGUGCAGUGAUGCGAGUAAACAAAGGUUGCUACCUUGACGCCGCCGGCGUCCUUGAUGGCGGCGAUGAGCCGGGUCUGGUCGGCGAUCUGCCGCGUCCCGAGCGCGGAGAUGACGACGUCGGCGGCCUUCAUGGGGCGCACCAGGCUGGUGUGGUCGUAGAGGUCGCCCUUGACGAGCGUCACGCCGGCGUCACGGAAGCUCCGGAGCAGCGCCGCCUUGGCCGGGUCGGAGGGGGCGGUGUCCCUGACGAGCGCGGCGGUGGGGUGGCCCAGCCGCGCGCUCGCCGCCACGAUGUGCCUGCCCAGGCGGCCCGUGCCGCCGAUCACCAGGAUCCUAGUCUCCUCAUUAGGGGACAUCUUGGUUCCUUUGCUUGUGAGUAGUGACCGAUCGAUCGAUUCGCGGCUCACCGAGAAGAGUGAGUGAGUUCGCUAGACUCGACGUGUGUGGCCGGUUUAAGAAGGGACCUGUCUGCCCGUUCUUAUCGUGAUCGGGAGUGACUCAUUAUUAGCCGAUUUCAAUGCGCCAACAUUGAUAUCGAUAUAGUUAACUACCACGCGAAACACGGGCAACAAUAUAGAAAUACAGCUUCGUUUCAAAAAAAAAAAAUAUAGAAGUACAGCAUAAAUCAACAGUUGAUGAUGUUCCCACUCCAUGGCUACGGUUCAAUUUGAGUGCUGUUGUCAGGAAAUUGACAAAUCUUCUUCUUCUUUAUGUAACUGUACAAUGCAAAUGGUUUUAUUUUUUUCUUCUUCUUGAUGGUGAAAUGGUUUCAGUCUGAAAUCCGUUUGAAAAUGAAUCCUCUAAUGCAUAUUUGGCUAAACUCUGUGGCUUCAGAUUAUGAAUCCAACUGCUUAAGAUGGUGUUUGGCAUCACUCCAAAAACCAGCUCUACUCCACCAGCUCCACACUUUUCCAGCUCCACUCCACCAACUCCAGAAAACUAUGAAGCUGCUGUACACAUUUGGUUGUUUAUAGUGCUCCAACUCCAAAAAUACAAGAAUUUGGUGGGAAAGUUCUAUUUUACCCAUGAUGGAUAGCUGGUUCUGUUUUUAGCAUUGUGGAGACUCCUUUAUUUAUUUUGACGUGCUGCAGUAAUUCGCUACAGGAAUUAUUUUUUAAAAAAAUGUCCAACCCGAUAAUGUUUUGCCAAAUGAAAAGUCACAACAAAUACGGUACAAAAUCAACCUUGCCAUUACAAACUACUUCCAAGGAAGAGAGUGCGGUGGCUAGCUCAUCACGAAAGACAUCCAUAGUUGGUGCGUUGAGUGCCGAAGUUGACCCAUCCGACGCCGCUUGUGAAACUGCAUAUUUGUUAUAUCUUUUCGGUACUGUAGGAACAAAAUUAGGAUCACGAUCAAACCGAGCAAAGUCUUCAUCUUCACCUCCAUGUUCACGAAUGAAAUUGUGAAGGACCAUGGUAGCCACAGCAAUCAUCUUUUGCUUGUACAUGGGAUAUGGUAGCAUCUUCCAAAGAAUUUGCUACUUCAUUUUUAAUAAUUCAAAAGGUCACUCAAUCACAUUGCAGAUAGAUGAGUGAAUCCGAUUGAACCUUUCCAUAUGAGUCUUAGGUUCGGUACCUUUAUGCCAUUCAGGUAAAUGAUACCUUUCACCCUUGUAAGGAGCGAGGUAGCCAGGAUGAUUAGGAUAUCCCGCAUCCACAACAUAAUAUUUGCCUAUAUUCAGAUAAAAAUAAUAUGAGUUAUGGAUUAAUGCUACAUGUUAAUCACAUUUGUAUGUUCAAAUUGAACACAUGUUACCUUGUGCAGGAUGUGGAAAAAAUCUUCAUCAACUCUGAGUGUAUUGUACAGCACACUUGUGUCAUGCAUAGUUCUAGGUUGGCCCAUGAAAAUAUAAGUGAAACGCAUGUCAAAGUCACAUACUGCUAGUACAUUUUGAGUGGCUACCCUAGUUUUUCCAAUAUACACUUGCUCAUAAUGUGAAAGAGUGACACGGAUAUGAGUGCCAUCAAGUGCACCAAUACAAUAUUUGAAAUGUGGAUAUGCACAUUUGUCAUAUCUUAUCCUUUUAUGGACCGUGGAGUAGUUGAAAUUUUUUGGUCUAAUGUAAUCUUUUGCCAUAACCAUCAAAGCAUUUAGAACCUCAUCAAAUUUCCUACUAAUAGUUUCACCUGAAUGCUUAAAUCUAUUUUGAGCUCUCCUAUUAGACUCGUUUCCAACACAUGUGUAUAGGAACAUAGCAAGCAUCUCAUAUGUGGUUAUGUGCAUAGAAGAUUGCAGCCCAUACCUUUUCAUCAUGUCAGAAUUUGCCACUUCAUCUAAUCUGUCAUGUACACUCAUUAUAUAAGAAGCAAAUCAUAGUACAACUGUUUAGCUUAUGCAUGUCAUGUACACUCAUUAACCAAAAAUGUAAAACCUAAUCCCUUACCACACCCUCCUACAUUACAGAAGUAUUUUGUGAGAUGCUCUAUUAAAAAAAUGAAGUAUUUUGUAUGAUUCAAUAUUCUAUUAUUAACCAUGAGAUGAAAGCAUCCAGUUACAUUAAUUUGCUACUUUCUUGAAUGAUCACAAUUCACUAUACAGAGUUUGUCAUCCACAAGCAACACAAGAAAGCAACACAAGAAAGUUUAACCGGUUGCUACCAAUUUCCAUUCACAUUCUGAAUUUGAAUAGGAUGCUCAGUUUGCAUUACCGUGUCAGGAGCAUUUCUUUUUUAUGCCUUCUUCAACCCUGUGUGUUGUGCAGCAGAGACGGCAACAUCUUGGGCGGUGGGCUUGCUGCCAAGCCCGGCCACAUCCUCACUGCCAAGCCCGGCGCCUGUAACAACUCUACCUAAAUUAAGUGCUUUAAUCCUAAACCAGUGUCAAUUAAACCCCUAAGCUACGAAGUGAAAUGACCUUUUUAAACCUAAGAAGCUCUCUUUUGGAGUUUGUUUUAAAGCUUGAAAUUCUAUAUACAAACUUAAGUUUCUGCCCAAAUAAGAGUUGUAAAACUUUUAAUUUCCCACAACUUUUGUUAAAGGCACCUUGUCUAAGUCGGAGUGGAAAGGAGUCAGAAACAGCAACCCAAGCCGGUUCUCCUGCAGGACCCUGAAAAUCUUUUAAGUCCUGGAAUUUGAGUUUUCCUCCAUCUUUGCAAGCUUUCAUCUCCCGUUUUCCUAUCUAAACUCGAGUCAGAGCCUUAAUAGAAGUUGUAGUACCUCAAGAGUGUUCCAGCUUUGUUACACUGACCCAGAUCCAAAUCGGGCCCGAACUUGUUCAAAAUCCCGGUCAAAGUGAGGUAAACCAGUCAACUCACCCCGGAUGCUUAAAAAUCCUAAGUCUGGAAUCCCAGAUUUUUGGCUAAUUUUGGCCGGAAAUAUCUUUGAAUCCUUUCACAACCUAAACCGACACCUUAAACAAAGUUUGAAGGAUUACCAGAGUUGAACAAGUUUGUUUAAGGGCGUUUCGGGUGUUGUGUUGAAAGAUUCGGAGAAGGAUCGCUCCAAAGCUGGUCUGGCUUGCAGCCCGAAGGGAGCCUCGACGCUCGCGCGCCCGAGCAUGUUCGCUCGCGCGCUGCGUGGCCGCCGGCCACCAGCAGCUCGCCGGCGCCCUAUCCCCAGCGCGACAGCGACCGGACAAGAGCCACGGUGCCCAACCCGCACCCGCGACAGGACGGAGCGAGCGAAGGGCUAGCCAAUCGUCGGCCGAGCGCAAGUCACCUUCCGUCUGCCACGCUCUGCUCCGCCAAUCCUGUUCCGCCCGUUCGCCGAGGAAGCUGAGAUGCCCCCGACAUCCCGCGUCUCCGCCCGCUCGCCCAACCCCCGCGGUAGCCUUUCCGCAUCGCCCGCCCGACAGACCGGAAGCCCCACACGCUCGCCGCCCAAGGCCAAUCGCCGCCGAAGACCACCCGGAGCUCCGCCUCCUCUGCCCAAUAGCGUCGUCGGCCAAUGGCCGCCUCGCUCAAGCACUCGCCGCUCCCGGCCUUAUCCUUUCCCCACCGGAGCCCCGCCUCGACCCUCCGCGCCACCCCGGGCCUAUAAAAGGGGACCCCCUCACCGGCAAUGCCACCCCUUGCCACCGCCCGCACCUGCGCCGCCGCUUUCUCCUCUGCGCCCUGCCUUCUCCUCUGAGCCACCGCUUUCUUUCCGCGCCGUCGCUGAGCUUCCGUGGAGCUCACCCCCUUGCGCCACCACCACACUCCGGCGACUUCGCCGCCACCCCAAGCCGCUUCAUCCGACACACCCGCCGCUGCUCCUCCGCGCGGUACUAGAGCUUGCUUGUGUCCACCAGAAGCACGCCGCCGCCGGACCACCGUCGAAGUCUCGCCGCCGCCCAAGCCUUCGUGCAUACAACCUUCCCGCCCCAGCCUGUUCCUGUUCGGCCCCAAGGCAUCGCCGGUAGACAUGGAGGUAAGCUACUUAACCUCCCUGUCUUUCCGUCCCGCCCGACCCCUGUCCUUGUUCGGUUCGUCCGACCCCUCUCCGUUCGGUUCGUCCGACCCCUUUGUUUUGGUUCGUCCGAACCCUUUGUUUCGGUUCGCCCGACCCCUUUUCUUUUCGUCUCGCCCGACCCUGCCAAGUUUCGCCGACCCUCUCUCCGCCUCGCCCGAGGGCUCGGUUGUAAUUCUUUUUCUUUGACCCGAGGGUAUCGGUGAAAUGUUUUCGGGGAUUCCUCUGUGUUGAGUCUGAGGACCUCGGUACGGUUUUCCUUAAACCUGAGGGUCAGACCCUAAGUUUUCCCCAAUCCGACCCUUCCAUCCUGCUCUCCACAUGCAGAAGUUGAACUCCCCCACCUUUCCUGUAGCUUUGCUACAAGUGUCCAUGUUAAAGCAUGAGAAUGUUGAAAUAACUAUCUAAAAUGUUUAACCCCUGCAUUGCAUUUCCGUGUAGAGUUGAAUCUCGCCAACGGGACGUACGAGCUUCAUCCAGCCCCGGAAGAAGACCCUGCCGAGGAACAACUGCACCCCUUCGAAGGAGAGCCCGAGCCAGCGCAAGACCCCGAGGACCCCCAAGCUUUUUCUGAAGGCAAGCCCCGGUGCAUGAACUCCCUGUUUUGCUUUCAUGCCAUUGAUUGAUUACUUGAUUGCGCAUUUACGUUUCGAGGAGUUGUAAUGGAACCUUAGAUGCAUAACUUAGUACCUUGUUUUGAAUACUAGUCUCUAAGGCCGAGUAGUUGCAUUGCUUAAUAGGUUUCGGUAAAAGUCGAGUGAUCUCCUGUCACUCGCGAGUUAUAGGAGUUGAAUGUUUCAGUUUUGUCGCAACUAUAAGGACGACGGACGGGGUCAGGCUUGUGUUCGAUGCUUGGUGGAUUGCCCCAUCUGUCUAAAUGAAAACGAACUAAGGUCGAAACAUGUCGGCGUUCGUGAUCAAGUGAUUGAAAGUACUAAUCUCAUACCUAGUAUGGGAUGGGGAAGCCUAGUACCUGAUUGAACUGGGGCGUGGCAUACCUUCCAGCUGUCCUUGGAACGUCGUUCCCAUGGUGCAUCAUGUGGGUGCAAGUGCGGUCACAGUGCAGCACUAGGCCGGGACUGUGGAGCAUUGCAUGCCAAAGGAAGUUGGCCCUGACACGUGCCUAAGGGAUCGAUGGGGACGGUUGACAAAUGAAGCAACCCUUCGUGGUGCGCGGAUGUCGUGAGAUUAGGUUUGCCAUGCAUGGUUAAUAAAUUCGAAUCGAUUCGUCUGCCUCUCACAGAUUGGGACUACUUGAUCGCUAUGCUGCACUGAGUAAGGAUGGAACAUGAUGAGGUUUUAAAUCUUGAUGUUUGAUAAGUAAUUGCCUGGAAACCAUGUUUGUUUAGUAUAAGUUGCUAAUUUAGAAUGGAUAAAGAACAUAGAACAUGAGCUAAAAGGUUGAAAGUAAGGACUAACUUUAGACGCUUUUGGCAAGAAAAACCCCAGAGCCAGAAAGCCUUGCAUGUUUAGGUCUCGGUCGUGUCCUUCCGACGGAUCAGUCUUGCUGAGUACUAGUUGCUCAGCCUUGUUGUGGCUAAUCUUUUUCAGGUAAUAUCAGUAGAUUUGGUGUUGGUACCACUUGGCCGACCUAGCUUCCUCCAGGCUGGACCGUCGAGUGGGAUCCUUCCUCGGACGGUGAAGGGAGAAAUUUUUGAUGUCAUGAUCGGCUCCGUCAUGAUGUCUUGUAUCGACGUUUAGCUUACGCUAGUUUUAAUUUGACCUCGAACCAUGCAAAAUUUCGGUUGAAGUUCCAAAACUCUGAUGUAAUAAAUUGUUGAACUAUGUUGUCAUGAUGGGAUGUUGUAAUCUCUGUGCUACUCACCUUCGCGUGAGCGAUGCUUCUCAAUCCUGUUUACGUGGUUUAUCGGAGGAAAUCCGACGGUCAACCAAGUUGACUUGCUUAAAGUGCAUAAUCGCAUGUCAGGCGACUUCAAUGCAUUUUAGUCAGGUUAAUUUGGGCGGUUCCGCCACAGCUGGCAUCAGAGCUCGAAGCACAGUACGGAGAACAAUAAACCUUAAAACUCUUUUUCUAACUAAAAUUUACAAGAAGUAAAAAUCAAGAAGCUCGUAAGUUCGCUAAGGAUGAGUAUAGUUCGAGGAGCCCUAGGGGAUUUUGGGAUUGUUUUUAAGGUGGCUAAUAGUUAUUGGUUAUCUUCUAACUUCCAGCACUUUUUGACACGUCUAUCAUACGUGUGCAUGAUUCCGCAUCGCGAGUAUGCGAAGGGUGAUGGGAAUUCAAUUCCAACGAGCCUAUCGUCACGGUUGUUCGCCCACGUUUGUUACACGUGUGCAUGAUUCCGCAUCGCGAGAAUGCGAAGGGUUAUAGGAUUCUAUUCAAAGGAACCUAUUUCCACGGUUGUUGCGCUGUCCAUGCAGCGUUAAACGCAUGGGUGCCGUUUCUAUAGCGAACGGUAAUGAUUGUGGACGCUUUCGUGAGUGCUGGCACGGAAGGUUCAAGCUGUGUUGUGUUUUUCUGCAGGUACACUAACAAAGGUUGCAUUCGAAAUGAUGCCUAGUAACUCGACUAGUUAUUAUAGUGAGGGUCGUAUUGUUGCCUUGCCACCGGCACUAACCACGUAAGUCCAAAGAUUUUUGGCAAUUAUUUUUGGUUGAGAGGACGACUAAGACGUGCAUGCAUUCAAACUCGAGUACGUCGUAAAACGUAAUGCACCGCAUUAAGGAUUGUCUAGCUGUCUUUUUCCGCCAUGAUAACUCUAGAAACUUUGUAUAAGCAAGUCGUGUUAAAACACUCAAGUAAAACUGCCACCAGGUACUAACUUUUGGGUUGAGAGUUGUGAUCAGUUGGUGACCCCCUGUUGGCUGUUAGCCCAAAGUGCACACCAGCGGAGUUUCUGCUGUUUCGACCACCCUAAGGACCUUUUCAGUGAGGAGCCCUUUAAGCAAAGUUUUUCAGAACUUAGUGAAGGACUUACUGGUAGAGUUUCAGCUUUGUUGAGUCUCUGGCUUGGAAGUUGUGUUCAGUUUAUCUUGACUCAGUCUAAAGAGUUCCAGCAGGUACACUUAAUGGGAAUCUGAGAUCAUCACCUCGUUAGGUUCUGUUCUAGCCCUACCUUUGAAUACCAAACUUGUUACACGCUAUCUAAAGAACCUGCUAGUAAAAUUUGAGAAGUUUUGGAGGAAUACUUGAUGAGUUAUGAGCUUUCCUCUAACUGCUAGAAAUCUAUUUGAUUUCCAAGUGUUAGCUCCGUUCUCACUUGACCUUUGGUUACAGAUGGCGCAGCCCGUGCACGUUGCAGUCGGCACGGAUGGCACCACCUACUCAUGGUGCCUUCACUACGAGGGUUUUCCAGCUGUGUUGUGGGACACUCUGCGCUCUUUCGGGUAUCAGUCGCCACCGGUUUAUGCGGGCCGUGCGUACCAGGACCACGGGAUUCCGCGGAGCCGCGUACAUGUGCGGGUAUCCCCACAUCCAGAUCAGCCACAGUGGCCACUGUUGGAGGUAGUGGCUGAGGGACACACGCUCCACGACGCCUGGGAGUUCGGAGCCUUGCAGACAUUGACCCAGUUCUGCCGGGCACACCCUCUUGAGAUCGUGCUAGACCCGAUUGGGUUGUUCCCUGCCCGGGAUACGAGGGACCCGGACUGGUUGGACCGUAUGGAGCAUAUGGACUUGCUCGGACUUAUGAAUCCUCAGCGCACGAUUUUUGUUUCAGCUCGCUGCCUGAAUGUGUUCUACAGGAUGGUUGAGCUGCAGAGCCGAGCAAUGGCCACGGUGAUUAGGAUGGCAGUGGCCAACCAGGUUGCGUUGUCUACCGUGCAGAGUGGCAUGGUGGACCAGUCGCUCGAGCUGGUACAGAAGGAUGUUCAGAUUGCUGAGAUGCAGGACAAGAUUACUAGUUUAGAGGAAGAGAUUGUAGACAUGGAGCACGAUAUGGAGAUCUUGGCUGACCAGUUCUAUGAUGUGAACAUGGAGCUGGCGAACGCCAAUGAGCACUUACAAGAACAUCAUGAUGAGCUAAAUGUCAUCCACGCCCUGGAGGUGCAGCUAGAUGAGCAGAUGGCCCAGGAGGAGGAGCCUGAGGAGAUCAAAGGCUUUUCGAGCAUGGACUAUGAGAAUGCCUCACCGCAGCCUCCAGUUGGUGACGCUCACUCACCGGCCCUUAGCUUUGCCUCCGUGGGCAACCUCGACGACUUCUAGUUAUGACAAACUAGGUUGAGCGGUUCUUUUGUCUUUGUUUGUACUCCUCGGCGACCUAUAUUUUUGGCCAGUGAUGUAAUAGGUUAGCCUUGAGUUGAGUACUCCUCCUGUAUGUAAGACCAGCAAUGAAAUGAUCUUAGUGAAAGCAGUUCCUUUUGUUUUCGCUCCCUUUGACUCUACUUCUGAUCUUUGUGACACACCGUGGAUGCCAAGUUGUGUGGGUUUUAGUGCUGUGAUCACACACCCGCCUCCUGUGGGCCUGUCCAAAGCUGGCCGACCCCGGGUCGCGAGGUCGGACGCGCCCGACCCCUCGCGGCAGGUCUCCGCCUCGCCCGACCCCGGGAUGACAGUCUCCGCCUCGUCCGACCCCAUGUUGGAAGGUCUUCGCCUCGCCCGACCCCGGCACCAGAGGUCGGAAUUUAGUGGGGCACCGAGGAUAAGGUUUUGCUCGCCCAAGGGUGUGUGCAGACCAACCAGGGAAACACCGGAUCUUGUGGACCCUACAAAACAUGGAUCCAAAUACCUUUCCGAUCGGUAACAAGGAUAAAAUGACGCUGCAGAAAACGGGCUAGUUGCUAGCUAAGAUGUGUGCACCUCCUUAUAAGGAUAUGUGUUGUGUUGCAAAAGUUGCAUCCGUGGAUUUAACACGUGCAUUCCCACAUUUUAUUGGGAAUACUUCUGAGGUUAUGGAGCUAAUGGAAAGGUGAAUCUUGCAGAUGGCGCAUCGCACACGCUCCGGCUUUGUUCCCAGUGGCAGCGAGGUGCCUCCCCCACCUCCGCCUCCGACCACCCUCGAGUCGAUCUUGGCAGCCCAAACCGAGCUGUUGAGGCACAUCGCUCAGGGGCAGCAGCAGCAGCCCCAAGGAGGAAGGGCCCAUCAUCAGCCACACGUUGCUCGUUAUGAGGAUUUUCUGGGGACCCAGCCUCCUCUGUUUCACAAGACGGAGGACCCACUUGACGCCGAUGCCUGGAUUCGCGCUAUCGAGUCCAAGUUCUCCCUUCUCACCGCAGUUCGCCCGGAUGAGAACAAGGUUCGGUUCGCUGCGCAGCAGUUGCGUGGUUCUGCUCUCCUGUGGUGGGAAAACUACCACGCCAUGCAGUCGGCCGACCACGUCGUUGCCUGGGAGGAAUUCAAGACAGCGUUCAGGGGUCAUCACAUCCCUGAGGGUCUUCUAGAGCGCAAGCUCAACGAGUUCCUGGUUCUCACCCAGGGAGGCCGCGAUGUCCUGCACUAUGCGCAGGCUUUCAACGACCUGUGUCGCUAUGCAGGCUAUCAUGCGGACUCCGAUGAAAAGAAGAGGGACCGUUUCCGCAGAGGCUUGAGUUUGGAGCUCAAGGAAAGGCUGAACCCUAUCAAAGUGGGUUCCUACAAUGAACUGGUGAACCUGGUAAUUUCCCAGGAAGAUUGCAUGAAGGCUCUCAAGGCCGACAUGAAGAGAAAGGCCCCAAUGCCGGCACCCAGCCCGCCUGCCCAGAAGUACAGAAUGGUUCCCCCACAAGCGCCUCGCAGGCCUGCACAGCCUGGGAGAUGGGUUGCUCGACCUCCACCGCAGGCAGCACCUCGUUUCCCAGGUUUCCAGCCACAAGGGCCCCGUCCUGCUCUCCCGAUGCCACUACGCCCGGUCCCUGGAAACCGCUGUUUCACUUGCGGGAACUCAGGACACUUCGCCAAGGAAUGCCCCCGCAACCAGAACCCGGUCAAAGCAAUACAUCAGGCAACAAGGGGAAGAAGCCAAAGGUGCAGGUCCGACAAGGCAGGCUGAACUUCACCACCCUUGCUGAACUUCCAGAGGGCGCACCAGUGAUGACAGGUACCUUUUCUAUCUGUGAUCAACCCAUCCUUAUUUUGUUUGAUUCAGGAGCAUCCCAUAGUUUCAUUGGGAUUAGAAUCAGUGCUAAGUGUGGGCUAGAUUUCUGUCACACAAAAGGCACCUACCUAAUCUCUACCCCGGGUGGAAAGGUAGCUUCACACCAAGUGAGCCGCAAAGUACCUAUCCAGUUAGGAAGGACCCUCCUUAAGGAAGACCUGCUUACCCUUGGGAUAGAAGGAAUAGAUGUUAUCUUGGGUAUGGAUUGGAUGACCCGACACCGAGUGACCCUAGAUAUCCCUGCCAGGGCAAUCCACAUAAAUUCACCCAAGUAUGGUAGCUCCACCAUACGCUUACCUCCCCGAGAGUGCCAACCUUCUUGUGCCUAUCCCGUGUCUGAAGCCCGUUUGGAAGAUAUCCCAGUGGUGUGCGAGUACCCGGAUGUGUUUCCAGAUGAUUUGCCGGGCAUGCCGCCUGAGAGAGACAUCGAGUUUGCCAUUGAGUUGCAACCAGGUACCGCCCCAAUCUCAAAGAGACCAUAUCGGAUGCCACCUGCCGAACUGGCAGAAAUGAAAACUCAGUUGCAUGAUUUGUUGGAAAGGGGUUUUAUUCGCUCAAGUACAUCACCUUGGGGUUGCUCUGCCUUGUUUGUGAAAAAGAAGGACGAUAGUCUGCGAAUGUGUGUCGACUACUGACCCCUCAAUGCGGUGACGAUAAAGAACAAGUACCCCCUACCUCGCAUUGAUGUUCUGUUCGACCAAUUAGCUGGAGCUAGAGUGUUUUCCAAAAUUGACCUCCGUUCUGGCUACCAUCAAAUUAGGAUCCACCCGUGUGACGUUCCAAAGACUGACUUCUCUACACGCUAUGGACUCUACGAGUACUUAGUCAUGUCGUUUGGGCUUACUAAUGCACCGGCUUAUUUCAUGUACCUCAUGAAUUCGGUGUUUAUGCCCGAACUCGACAAAUUCAUCGUGGUUUUCAUUGACGACAUCUUGGUGUACUCGAAGAAUGAACAAGAACAUGCAGAGCACCUACAUACUGUACUCCAACGCUUAAGAGACCACCAACUCUAUGCCAAGUUCUCCAAGUGUGAUUUUUGGCUGGACAGUGUUAAAUUCUUGGGGCACACCAUAUCCAGAGACGGUAUAGCAGUAGACCCAAGCAAGGUGCAAGAAGUAAUGGACUGGAAGCCGCCCGCUUCAGUUCAUCAGAUUCGAAGUUUUCUUGGUUUAGCUGGUUACUACCGUUGCUUCCUCCCUGACUUCUCAAAAAUAGCCAAGCCAAUGACGGAACUGCUGAAGAAAGGGAGUAAGUUUGUGUGGAGUGACAAAUGUGAAGAGGCUUUCCACACCUUGAGGCAACUAUUGACUUCGGCGCCAGUUUUAGCUCAGCCUGACACCACUAGGCCAUUUGAUGUGUAUUGCGAUGCCUCUGGCACUGGACUUGGUUGUGUUCUUAUGCAAGACAGCCGAGUCAUCACCUAUGCCUCGCGAGCAUUACAGCCACAUGAGUUGAACUACCCUACUCAUGAUCUUGAGUUAGCGGCAGUCGUUCAUGCUCUGAAAAUGUGGAGACAUUAUCUCAUGGGAACCCGAUGCAACAUCUAUACAGAUCACAAGAGUCUUAAGUAUAUAUUCACUCAAGCAGAUCUCAACAUGCGUCAACAGAGAUGGUUAGAAUUAAUCAAGGAUUAUGACCUAGAAGUGCAUUAUCACCCAGGAAAGGCCAACGUAGUUGCAGAUGCACUCAGCCGCAAGGUCCAUUGUAACUGCUUAUCGGCGGUCAAUUAUGCCGAGACCCUGUGUCACGAAAUGGCUAAACUCAACUUGGAAAUUGUUCCACACGGCACCUUGAGUCAUAUUUCUCUGGAGCCCGCCCUGCUUGACCAAAUAAUUCUAGCACAGCUAGAGGACCAAGAUGUAAACCUUAUCAAAGAGAAACUUGCACAGGAGGACGAAGGAUAUAAACAUUUCCGACGGGAUUGGAAAGGAGUAGUAUUUUAUGAAACUCGACUUGUAAUUCCAAAUGAUCCCGACCUUAAGAAACAAAUUUUGGACGAAGCACACCUGUCCAAGUUCUUGAUUCACCCCGGCAGUACCAAGAUGUAUCACGACCUCCGACAAAAUUUCUGGUGGAGUGGGAUGAAACCCGACAUUGCUCGAUACGUUUCAGAGUGCGAUACCUGUCAGCGAGUUAAGGCAAGCCACUUGAGGGUAGCUGGCCCCUUGCAGCCGCUGCCCAUUCCCUCGUGGAAAUGGGAAGACAUAAGCAUGGACUUUAUAGUCGGAUUACCCAAUACCUCCCGCAAGCAUGACUCCAUAUGGGUUAUAGUAGAGCGACUAACCAAAACCGCACAUUUCCUUCCAGUACACACCACCCACACCAUACAGAGAUAUGCAGAACUGUACCUUGAUCGGAUUGUUUCCUUGCAUGGUGUACCUAAAACGAUCAUCUCUGAUCGAGGUAGUCAGUUUGUAGCACGCUUUUGGGAACAGUUGCAGUUUUCACUUGACACGAAACUGAUCCGCAGUUCCACAUAUCACCCUCAGACCGAUGGGCAAACUGAAAGGGUUAAUCAGAUUUUGGAGGAUAUGUUGCGCGCCUGUGCUAUUCAUUAUGACAAGAACUGGGAUAAGUGUUUGCCAUUAGCGGAAUUCUCCUACAACAACAGUUACCAAGCUAGCCUAAAAAUGGCACCUUUCGAGGCCUUGUAUGGACGUAGAUGCUGAACCCCUCUGAGCUGGUCGCAACCCGGAGAGAGAACGGUGUAUGGACCUGACCUGGUCAUAGAGGCCGAAGAAAAAGUGAGAAUCAGCCGCGAAAAUCUCAAGGCCGCCCAAUCUCGACAGAAGAGCUAUGCCGAUCAGAGAAGGAGACCCAUCCAAUUUAAGGUUGGAGAUUUUGUAUACCUACGGGUUUCACCGACCAAAGGCGUACAACGUUUUGGAGUAAAGGGAAAGUUAGCUCCGCGCUAUAUUGGUCCCUACGAGAUCGUAGAGACGUGUGGACCCGUAGCAUACCGAGUACAGCUUCCAAAAAAGAUUGCAGCGAUACACGAUGUUUUCCAUGUCUCGCAACUCAAGAAGUGCAUCAGAAUUCCAACUGAAAUCAUUACCCCGGAAGAAUUGGAGAUUGAACCCGAUUUAUCAUAUAAGGAGUAUCCAGUUAAGAUCCUCGACCGGAAGGAAAGAUACACUCGUCGGCAAAGGGUCAAGAUGUACAAAAUUUAGUGGAGUCACCAUACGGAAGACGAAGAGACAUGGGAGACGGAAGAAUAUCUCAACGCUAACUUCCGCGGUUUUCUUUUAGAUCAAGGAGGUACGUUGCACCAGCCACACUAGUUCCUUCUGCACUUGAAUCUCGGGGCGAGAUUCCUUUAAGGGGGGUAGGCUGUAACAACUCUACCUAAAUUAAGUGCUUUAAUCCUAAACCAGUGUCAAUUAAACCCCUAAGCUACGAAGUGAAAUGACCUUUUUAAACCUAAGAAGCUCUCUUUUGGAGUUUGUUUUAAAGCUUGAAAUUCUAUAUACAAACUUAAGUUUCUGCCCAAAUAAGAGUUGUAAAACUUUUAAUUUCCCACAACUUUUGUUAAAGGCACCUUGUCUAAGUCGGAGUGGAAAGGAGUCAGAAACAGCAACCCAAGCCGGUUCUCCUGCAGGACCCUGAAAAUCUCUUAAGUCCUGGAAUUUGAGUUUUCCUCCAUCUUUGCAAGCUUUCAUCUCCUGUUUUCCUAUCUAAACUCGAGUCAGAGCCUUAAUAGAAGUUGUAGUACCUCAAGAGUGUUCCAGCUUUGUUACACUGACCCAGAUCCAAAUCGGGCCCGAACUUGUUCAAAAUCCCGGUCAAAGUGAGGUAAACCAGUCAACUCACCCCGGAUGCUUAAAAAUCCUAAGUCUGGAAUCCCAGAUUUUUGGCUAAUUUUGGACGGAAAUAUCUUUGAAUCCUUUCACAAUCUAAACCGACACCUUAAACAAAGUUUGAAGGAUUACCAGAGUCGAACAAGUUUGUUUAAGGGAGUUUCGGGUGUUGUGUUGAAAGAUUCGGAGAAGGAUCGCUCCAAAGCUGGUCUGGCUUGCAGCCCGAAGGGAGCCUCGAUGCCCGCGCGCCCGAGCAUGUUCGCUCGCGCGCCGCGUGGCCGCCGGCCACCAGCAGCUCGCCGGCGCCCUAUACCCAGCGCGACAGCGACCGGACGAGAGCCACGGUGCCCAACCCGCACCCGCGACAGGACGGAGCAAGCGCAGGGCUAGCCAAUCGCCGGCUGAGCGCAAGUCGCCUUCCGUCUGCCACGGCUCUGCUCCACCAAUCCUGUUCCGCCCGUUCGCCGAGGAAGCUGAGAUGCCCCCGACGUCCCGCGUCUCCGCCCGCUCGCCCAACCCCCGCGGUAGCCUUUCCGCCUCGCCCGCCCGACAGACCGGAAGCACCAGACGCUCGCCGCCCAAGGCCAAUCGCCACCGAAGACCACCCGGAGCUCCGCCUCCUCUGCCCAAUAGCGUCGUCGGCCAAUGGCCGCCUCGCUCGAGCACUCGCCGCUCCCGGCCUUAUCCUUUCCCCACCGGAGCCCCGCCUCGACCCUCCGCGCCACCCCGGGCCUAUAAAAGGGGACCCCCUCACCGGCAAUGCCACCCCUUGCCACCGCCCGCACCUGCGCCGCCGCUUUCUCCUCUGCGCCCUGCCUUCUCCUCUGAGCCACCGCUUUCUUUCCGCGCCGCGCUGAGCUUCUGUGGAGCUCACCCCCUUGCGCCACCACCACACUCCGGUGACUUCGCCGCCACCCCAAGCCGCUUCAUCCGACACACCCGCCGCUGCUCCUCCGCGCGGUACUAGAGCUUGCUUGUGUCCACCAGAAGCACACCGCCGCCGGACCACCGUCGAAGUCUCGCCACCGCCCAAGCCUUCGUGCGUACAACCUUCCCGCCCCAGCCUGCUCCUGUUCGGCCCCAAGGCAUCACCGGUAGACAUGGAGGUAAGCUACUUAACCUCCCUGUCUUUCCGUCCCGCCCGACCCCUAUCCUUGUUCGGUUCGUCCGACCCCUUUGUUUCGGUUCGUCCGAACCCUUUGUUUCGGUUCGCCCGACCCCUUUUCUUUUCGUCUCGCCCGACCCUGCCAAGUUUCGCCGACCCUCUCUCCGCCUCGCCCGAGGGCUCGGUUGUAAUUCUUUUUCUUUGACCCGAGGGUAUCGGUGAAAUGUUUUCGGGGAUUCCUCUGUGUUGAGUCUGAGGACCUCGGUACGGUUUUCCUUAAACCUGAGGGUCAGACCCUAAGUUUUCCCCAAUCCAACCCUUCCAUCCUACUCUCCACAUGCAGAAGUUGAACUCCCCCACCUUUCCUGUAGCUUUGCUACAAGUGUCCGUGUUAAAGCAUGGGAAUGUUGAAAUAACCAUCUAAAAUGUUUAACCCCUGCAUUGCAUUUCCGUGUAGAGUUGAAUCUCGCCGACGGGACGUACGAGCUUCAUCCAGCCCCGGAAGAAGACCCCGUCGAGGAACAACUGCACCCCUUCGAAGGACAGCCCGAGCCAGCGCAAGACCCCGAGGACCCCCAAGCUUUUUCUGAAGGCAAGCCCCGGUGCAUGAACUCCCUGUUUUGCUUUCAUGCCACUGAUUGAUUACUUGAUUGCGCAUUUACAUUUUGAGGACUUGUAAUGGAACCUUAGAUGCAUAACUUAGUACCUUGUUUUGAAUACUAGUCUCUAAGGCCGAGUAGUUGCAUUGCUUAAUAGGUCUCGGUAAAAGUCGAGUGAUCUCCUGUCACUCGCGAGUUAUAGGAGUUGAAUGUUUCAGUUUUGUCGCAACUAUAAGGACGACGGACGGGGUCAGGCUUGUGUUCGAUGCUUGGUGGAUUGCCCCGUCUGUCUAAAUGAAAACGAACUAAGGUCAAAACAUGUCGGCGUUCGUGAUCAAGUGAUUGAAAGUACUAAUCUCAUACCUAGCAUGAGAUGGGGAAGCCUAGUACCUGAUUGAAUUGGGGCGUGGCAUACCUUCCAGCUGUCCUUGGAACGUCGUUCCCAUGGUGCAUCAUGUGGGUGCAAGUGCGGUCACAGUGCAGCACUAGGCCGGGACUGUGGAGCAUUGCAUGCCAAAGGAAGUUGGCCCUGACACGUGCCUAAGAGAUCGAUGGGGACGGCUGACAAAUGAAGCGACCCUUCGUGGUGCGCGGAUGUCGUGAGAUUAGGUUUGCCAUGCAUGGUUAAUAAAUUCGAAUCGAUUCGUCUGCCUCUCACAGAUUGGGACUACUUGAUCGCUAUGCUGCACUGAGUAAGGAUGGAACAUGAUGAGGUUUUAAAUCUUGAUGUUUGAUAAGUAAUUGUCUGGAAACCAUGUUUGUUUAGUAUAAGUUGCUAAUUUAGAAUGGAUAAAGAACAUAGAACAUGAGCUAAAAGGUUGAAAGUAAGGACUAACUUUAGACGCUUUUGGCAAGAAAAACCCCAGAGCCAGAAAGCAUUGCAUGUUUAGGUCUCGGUCGUGUCCUUCCGACGGGUCAGUCUUGCUGAGUACUAGUUGCUCAGCCUUGUUGUGGCUAAUCUUUUUCAGUUAAUGUCAGUAGCUUUGGUGUUGGUACCACUUGGCCGACCCAGCUUCCUCCAGGCUGGACCGUCGAGUGGGAUCCUUCCUCGGACGGCGAAGGGAGGAAUUUUUGAUGUCAUGAUCGGAUCCGUCAUGAUGUCUUGUAUCAACGUUUAGCUUCCGCUAGUUUUAAUUUGACCUCGAACCAUGCAAAAUUUCGGUUGAAGUUCCAAAACUCUGAUGUAAUAAAUUGUUGAACUAUGUUGUCAUGAUGGGAUGUUGUAAUCUCUGUGCUACUCACCUUCGCGUGAGCGAUGCUUCUCGAUCCUGUUUACGUGGUUUAUCGGAGGAAAUCCGACGGUCGACCAAGUUGACUUGCUUAAAGUGCAUAAUCGCAUGUCAGGCGACUUCAAUGCAUUUUAGUCAGGUUAAUUUGGGCGGUUCCGCCACACUGAGACUACUCCAAAUUGACAAAGCCCGCUACACGCUCAGCGACCGGCUCCAGAUCCUCCAAAUACUGCGUGAACGCUUCAUCGCUACAAUCUCCGGUGAUACCGUAUGUGACCAACGUCAAGUUAGCGAUAGAAUACAGAAUUAUGAUCAACAAGAUACGAGUACAAGUACUCACCCUCCAAUUUUUGCUACAAGGACUUGUUGGGCGCCACCAUACGACUCCUCUCCACUUCAAAAUCAUGCCUUUUAAUUCGAAAGGACUCAAUGACAUUUUCAUACUUCUUCAGGAAGUCAGCAGUGCAGCGGUGCUCCUCAGUAAUGUCCUUCUCCAACUGCGCCACAGGGCGCGCAGCCUCACCCUGCUCUUGGACAACUUGGAUAUUCUUGAGAGAUUUUUCAUACAAAUCCUCCACAAUCAAACAAUUAGUACUCUUCACGAGUACAUAUGGUGCCAGGCUACAAAAUUAAGCACUCAAAUGCAGUACUAAGAACUCACCUGAGUAUAAGCCAUCAACUGUUGAUGCAAGUUCACAAAGUCAGAUAUCGGUGGCAGCUCAUCUAGGGGACUCUCAAAAAUUUCAACUUUCUGCGACAAUCCUGGAGCAUCGGCCACCACACUAGCCCUCACACUCGACGUUAGGAUUAGCUUCUGAGAAAAAGAAGCUCCAACCUCUGAAACAUUCUUUUCCGCUGCUUGCUCAAGCACAGAAGUUGUCACUACAAUCUCGGUUGCAGGGGGAGGAUUGUCAUUAACAACCUCGGAGGCUGGCAGCGCCAGACCCUCAAGUGAAUAGAUUACAUCUCGCAAUAUGGCGGCUGCAAGAGUCACUGCACCUGUGUCACCAGUAUGCGCUGGGUCUUCACUUAUCAAAUCGACAACAGGUGCCGCAGCAGAAUCCGCGCCCGAUGGAUUUUCAACCUGUUCUGCGCUCACUUCUUCGAGAACAAUAUCCUCGGAAGUUCUAAUAUCAAACACGAUUCAAGAUUAAAAAAGAGACUACUGAUCGUGAAGUCGGUAAUCAAACCAUUACAAUAGAGUACUUACUUGGCCGACCGGGGAGGAACUCGACGAUGUUUCUUCGCCACGGGGACUGGAUGUACACUCGGAGCUGGCUCACUAGCCGGUACGGGUGGCAACUCCUCGGUGUUUUUGCCAAGAUCUGAAAGAACCAACUCAGAGACAACGUACGCACGACUACUACCAGUACUCGCGUACUCACCGCUAGCUGGGACUUCAGGCAAAGUGGUGUCAGAAACUGCUUCGGGCAUUUUCACAAUUCCACUUAUGGUAGUCUCUAACGAGUCGCCCGCUUCACCACUCGCAACUUCAAGAACAACGGCUACUUGAGUGGUAGCCAUCUCGGGCAUCAUGGCUGCAUCUUCAGCGGAUGUCUCCAAAGAAAUCACACUACCAGCCGCAUCCUUAGCUAUCGCGACUACAUCAUCAGAAGUAGUCUCGCCAGCUCUGUACGCUGCAUUCGCGGCUUCCUCAAUGUCUUCAUCCAUAUCAUCAACAACCUGCAAACACAAACGUCAAAACAAGUCAAUUCGACUAGUCAAGGUAAUUACCGGCGGUGGAGCCUUGAACGUCUCCAAGUGCUUGCUGACAGAUCGCUUAUGCAAUACGGUCCGUCUCUUCUUUGGCAUUGGAGCCUGGACCUCUCCAUCACCAACAUCUCCCGCUGGAUGCUUCAAGGUAUCGGUUCUAAAUUUAUAUCCUUUGAGAACUCGAGACUGCAUAGGGAAACAUGAUCAGACAACUCGGACUCAGACGAUGCAAAAUCUGAACCGCCAAGCAUCUCAGAGUCCCCAUCCUCCUCCUCCUCCUCUGAGGGAUCAUCAGGCAAGCGCACGUAGUACACAGAUUUCACGUUCUUUGCACCAUCAGCAUCAGGGUGAGGAGGAGGAGAAAAGUAUAAAAGGACAUCCUCCUGCGUAAGGAAUUACUGGUUGGCAAACAUAACGACUAUUAAUUAUGGGUACUCAAAAGGAAAGCAAGUUACCUCUCUGGGUUGAUACCAUUUGUCAAACUCCUGAAUGGACUCAUCAACUUCGGGCACUCCUUGAAAAUUCUUCAAAAAUUUGCUCAACAAGUCUUCAACCGCUUCAUUAGAUAUAUCUUCAAUAGACAUCCAAGAUGGAUCAUCAAAGCCUGAGGACUCGUAGCCCCAAGUCUAGCGCAACUGCAAUGGUUGUUCUCUUCUCUUCAAGAAGCUGGCUGCUACAUUUAUCCCUGUCAGCCCUGCUUUCUUCAAUGUUGCUAUCAUCUGCAACAACUCAGCCACUUGAUGAUUGUCCUCAAUGCUAGGCUCUUCAAGCCACUUGCUCGAGUACUUCGGGCGGUACCCGGUAAUCACUGGCAUUGGAGGCUCAUGGUUCUCAAUAUAAAACCAGUUCUAUUUCUAGACACCAUGGGACGGCAGAGUCUCAUAUUCCAGAUACACUUCGGAGUCCCUUAGCUGAAACCCUGCGCCUCUGAGUACUGCCAUUCUAUCUUGACUAGGCUGGGGCUUGCAGCAGAAAAGCUUACAAAAUAAUUGAAAAUGGGGUUGUAUUCCCAAAUAUGCCUCACAAAGAUACACAAAGAUUGCAAUGUGCAGUAUCCCAUUGGGAUUCAGAUGAACAAGCUGAAUGUCGUAAAAGUUGAGGAUACCUCUGAAGAAAUCCGAUGUUGGAAUAGCAGGUCCUCUCUCAACAAAAUGAGCCCAAAUCACUGUCUCUUUUGGAUGGACCUCAAGGUUCUAGGCAUUGGCAUAGGCGCACCUCCAAUUCACGACAACCUCCUCCUGUAGCAAUUUUACAUCCACCAACUCUUGGAUUGCUUCCUUCUUCAUGGUGGACAUCUUCCAAGUGGAUGCUUGAUUUGGCAAAGCAGUCUGAUCGGUAGGCCCACAUUUGGGUGGAGGAAGCUGCGGCUGCUUCCCCUUCCUGGAAUCUUUCAUCGAUUCUUUUAUAGCUUUUCCCUUGGACUUGUCAGUCUUCUUCCCCAUCUUCACAUGCAUCACCAUGGGGCGUGUAAGAGGAGGAGGAGAAAACUACUAUAACACUUAAAGUUGCUUACUUCAGAUGAUGGUGGCGGCGGCGACGACGCAAGUGGCGGCGUUAGGGUUUUGUCAAGAUGGAGAAUGACAUAUGCGAAUGGCUGGAAGCAUAAACAAUGGAGGCUACCGGCCUUAUCUUUUAUAACAGCGCAACGGAUCUAAAACAGCUCCACGAUUCUAGGAACACAGCCGGUAAUCUCGCAACGGUCUGAUACUCUCAAGAUUUAUCUUGAUAUUGAAGUCCAACGGUCACGUUGAUCAUGAUUGACCCCUUCAUCACCUGGAAGUAAUCGAUCAAGUGCUCGAGGGCUGCAUACACCUCGCCUGUUGGAUAAAAAUUUCUUUUUCUUCAGGGAUUAAGGAAAGACGAAGCAAAUUCAGUUUGACCCUCAGCCUGAUUCUUCGAUUCAACCUAAGGCUCGGGGGCUACUCCAUAUGAAGUGCGAUUUUCGUCGCACUUCCAUAUUAAGGCUUGAAGACAAACUACUCAAAACCAAUGUCAGAAUGGGGCAGGAGUACCUUCCAGCCGCAUGAUAGCAUUCGAGUACUCGAAGACUAGCCACGACAGAAGUACUCAACGAGCACCAAAGACUAGUCGAGCAACGUCUGCUGAGUACUCGGAACUGUUUCAUUUGACUACAAAGUACUCGUGGUCUUGGCGACCAUACAUCCCCGAGCCCACCAGAAGAUCUGUACGGACCCACUCAAGGGGAUGUACUCGAGACGUAUCAGAACAUGAGGACUACGCUACAGGGCAAUGUAGACUACAUGGAACUUCUGAAGGACUAGUCGGAAUACAAGGAAACUACUCUGCCAAGUUAGAGUAGGACUCUGUAAUCUUGUCCGACUAGUACUCUUGUACCAAAGACUACCAUAUAACCCUGCUCCCCCGAUAUAUAAGGGCGGGCAGGGACCCCCUCAAAACAAGUUCAAUCGAAUACAAGCAUACAACACACAGGAUGUAGGGUAUUAUGCGAUCUAGCGGCCCGAACCUAUCUAAAUCGUGUCCCUGCGUCACCAUCGACUACUUCAUUUCAGCGACACCCACCAACCAAAACACUAUCUCGGGUACUCCCUUGAUAGGUUGCUGGGUUAAAACACCGAUAAAUACCUACCAACUCCAUGAGGAGGUCAGAAAAGGGGGUUUUUGGAGCACCUCUUGAGGUAUUCCAAAAAAACGUGGAUCUACCCCCUGCUCCACCUUUUUCCUGGAGCCGCAGUUGCUGGAGCUAGACGCGUUUGGCUGCGAAAUUUUUAGAGUUGGUGAAGUAAAGCAAUUUUUUCUGAAGUAAAGUGUUGUCAAACAGUAAGACCUACUGUACAUCGAUGCAAAAUUUACCCGAUCGCUUAUAACUUUCUAUCCCGCCAUUGCUGUUAUUAGUAGUAGUUUUUAACUAAUACUAGUAUGCCACAGUUACGUACGGCGUCAAAACGGACGGCAACAUCUCUCGGUGAUCCCAUCAACCCGCCCACGCCGCCACAGGGCCGCGCCCCGCACCGCAAGCUCGCGGGAUUCGGGCGCCGCGCGCCGUCCGUGCCCACGCAUGGGGAGCUCAGCAAGUUCUCCUACUCUGCCUGUCUGCCUGCUCUCCCGCCCGUUCGACGACAACGCCCCCGUGAACGGCUCGCUGGUUCUCGGCGACGGUGGCGGUGGCAAAAGCCGUCGGGAUGCAGUACGUCCCGGCCCUUUGGUCAAGAGCGCGGCCGGCGACAUGGCCCUGACCGGCGUGGUAGUGCAGGAAGGCCGUGCGGCUGCCGGAGCGGGCGUUCUCCGCCAAAUGCCUGCGGAGCGCGGGGGGCGCCAUCGUGGACUCCGGCACGACAUUCGCGUACCUGGACCCGAAGGUGUUCCAGGCGGAACUGCUCCUGCCUCCGCGCCCGUGCGCCCGACGUCAGACGCAGCGGCCUCCACGGGCACCGCGCCCUGGCGAGCGCCCCGAGCCACCUCCGGAGCAGGGGAGACCCCAGACACGGAACCUGCGCGACAAGCCGGCGUACCAGGUUCGGGUCGGCCGGCUGCUUGGCCGCUUAGGCUUGGGUUGGGUAUGCGCUCGACAUCGACGGUUUCAAUUUUCAAUGGUAUACAGAAAAUCUUCUCAUCGAUUAAGCAGUCUACAAGAAAUCACAAAACAAAGCAAUCGCUAGGCAGCAUAGCAUCAGGCAUCGUUAGCAACGUAAACAGCUCGUCCUCCGGCUGCUGUCCUGAGAAACAGGCAGCCAGAGAGACACGUCCACACAUCACUCGCGUCUCGUUCUUCAGAGGAACCUGUCGAGGUACUCGUCGACGGUGGUGUACUUGACGUCCGGGUACAGCUCGCUCGCGUCCACCCCCUUCGCCGGGUCGAUCUCGAAGCCGGCCUGCUCCCCCAUCACGUACGACGCGUGCCCGAUCGCCAGGAUGAUGUUCAGCGGCAUCGCCGACUCUGCACAUCCACGCAAUUAUUUGCCAUGUCAAUUAGCCAAACACACACGUUCCAAACGCUCCCACAGCUCCUCUCCCCGGCGGAGCCAAACGCACUGGCUGACCUUGGAUCUGCUUGAGCACGGCUUCCUCGGGGAUGUACACCCGCUCGAACGCCUUGCCGGUCUUCUUCUCCCACAGCGACAGGAGCUCGUUGUGCGACAGCGUGUUGGCCGGCGGCCUGACGUACAGCGUCCGGUUCUCGGCGCGCGGGUCGCCGGCGGCCAGCACCGUGUACGUCCCGAUGUCGCCUUCCUCCACGAACACGGCCUUGGCGUUGCCGUCGCCGAGGACGAUCGCCUUGUCCGUAGGCGCCGCCGGGGAGAGGAGCUGCCCGAUGGUCGGGAGCGCGUACCCCGCGAAGUACCCGGCCACGGCGUAGGUGUAGGGGAUCCCCGCGGCCUCGGUGGCGCGGCGGAUCGCCGCCUUGCCGGACAGGAUGGUCUUGGCCGGUUCCACGACGCCCGUCCGGUCCACGUCCAGGCCGAACUCCGAUGGGAAGAACCUCUGCACACACAACGACCAUCUAGCUAGUGAGAAUGCGUGUCCAGGGAUUGACAAAUGGAUGGACGGUGAGAACGAGAGCGAGGAGCCGAGGACCUUGACGUUGCCGGCCUCCUUGAUGGCGUCGAUGAGCCUGGUCUGGUCGGCGAUCUGCUGCGACCCGACGGUGGAGAUGACCACGUCGGCGGACUUGACGGCGCUCACCAGGCUGGCGUGGUCGUAGAGGUCGCCCUUGAGGAGCGUCACGCCGGCGUCCUGGAAGCUCUUGAGCAGCGCCGCCUUGGCCGGAUUGGACGGCGCCGUGUCCCUGACGAGCGCGAAGGUCGGGUGGCCCAGCCGCGCGCUCGCCGCCACGACGUGCCUGCCCAGGUACCCGGUGGCGCCGACCACCAGGAUCUUGCUCUUCUCCGACGCCAUCCUGUGUCACUACCCGACAGAACCUCAGAAACUCGCUUGGCGUCUGAUUGGCAUCCAGCGCCACUGUAUAUAAUGGUCUGAUCGAGUAUCACAUUCACAGCUGGUUCCAUCGAUAUUUUGUUUCGUCGACUGAUGGUUGUGGUGAAGCGUGAACCUGGUUGUGUUUCCGGACUUGGACAUUAUGGGCCGAAACCUUGGUGUCGUCAUUGUUCAAGGAUGACGACAUUUGUGUUUGGCCUACUUUUUCGGAAUUGCUAUAUUGUGCCCGAGUAUCUUGCUCUCUUCCACCCACUUCAAAACUUUUCUCUUCGCCCUAUCACCAAUUCUAGCGAGAUUUUCUGUCUCCUCCGCCUCCGUUGUGUUAGCGAUAUCGGGAUAUUUUUACAACACGGUUGGAAAUCUGGGGAUGAACAAAAAUUUAUGUAAGAAGAAAUAAAAAAGAGAAAUCGGUGCAUGAAGAGAAAUUUUAAAUUACCAUUGUGGGCUUGUGGACACGGACGGGGAGUGGAUGCUCUUUUUAAACUUGGAUGUGGUUAGAGUUGGACCAAUUUUAUGCCUAAAGCAGUGGUCAUUUUUUUCAUUUCUUUCUCUCCUCUGCACUGGGAAAUUAUUCCACUAACAAAGACAACAUUGAGUAGAGUUCAUCAACAAAAAUGGCAAAAUUUGAUAAUGUUUAGUAGUCAGGCGUCUUCAACUAAGGUAACUUCCCGUCAACUGUGGCCGAGUCCAUGGUCGGCAAAAGCAAAAUUUGGCCAGAUCCGCUCAGCCUAAUUUGGAAUUCUGGAUAGAGCUUGGGGGCUAAUGAUGAGUGAUGAUAAUGAAAUAAGCGUCAAAGAAAGGUUUUAGAUUGCUCAAUUCAAGAUCAAGUUCGUACUGUCGAGUCUUAUUAGCAUACACAUCAUCCCGACGAAUUGAUCUACUUGUAUACGAGUAGGAGUUCAUAACCGACUACGACAACAAAAGUGGUUCUCGAUCGGUAUAUGUACGCAUCAUGGGGCGAUGUACGAGACACAUAAGCUUUUGGGCUUUUGGGUUGCAUCUUGACCUAAAUACCAAAUUGUUUGUGCUCACGGUAAUAGAAAAAACUCUUAUACUCAAAUCAUGAGGCCUGAACCUGUAUAAAUCGCCCGCGUGCUAUUCCGGUUCUUGACGCAUCUUAAUAUUGAUCGUGAUCUUAUAUUGACACAUCAUUCCUUGUCGACUUAGAUCACCAAUCCUUGACAAUUUAAAUUACCAAAAAUGAUGAAAAUUACAAGGUGCAUAUUGUUCUCGUCUCGUCCUUCAGAGGAACCUGUUGAGGUACUCGUCGACGGUGGUGUACUUAACGUCCGGGUACAGCUCGCUUGCGUCCACCCCCUUGGCCGGGUCGAUCUCGAAGCCGGCCUCCUCCUCCCCCUUCACGUACGCCGCGUGCCCGAUCGCCAAGAUCAUGUUCAGCGGCAUCGCCGCCUCUUCAGCUGAAUGAAAUGAAUUGCAUAUUUUAAUUAACCACGCAUCCACAGUGAUAUAGAUUCAGAUGUUAUCCCCCGACAGUCCGACACCAUGAUCGAUCGAGCCAACAAGGCACUGACCUUCUUGGGUCUGCUUGAGCACGGCGUCCACGGGGAUGUACUCCCGCUGCAACGCCUUGCCGGUCUUCUUCUCCCACAGCGACAGAAGCUCGUCGCGCGACAGCGUGUUGGCCGGCGGCCUGAUGUGCAGCGUCUUGUUCUCGGCGCGCGGGUUGCCGGCGGCCAGCACCGUGUUCGUCGCGAUGUCCCCCUCGUCCACGAACGGCACUCUGGUGUCGCCGUCGCCGAGGAUGACGGCCUUGUCCUCUCCCUGCCCGAUCCCGAUGGAGGGGAGCGCGAGGGCUGCCAAGUACCCGGCGACGGCGUAGGUGUAGGGGAUGCCCACGGCCUCGGUGGCGCGGCGGACGGCGGCCUUGCCGGACAAGAGGGACUUGUGCGGCUCCACGUCCACGACGCCCGUCCGCGCCACGUCCAGGCCGAACUCCGCCGGGUCCUCAGGGGUGUUUGGAUACACCACCUAAAGUUUAGCAUGUGUCACAUCGGAUCUUUGGAUAGUAAUUAUGAGUAUUAAACAUAGUUUAAUUAUAAAACUAAUUGCACAGAUGGAGUCUAAUUCGCGAUAUGAAUCUAUUAAGGGCCUGUUUGGACGCGAGGUCAUAAAGUUUAUGACAUGUCACAUCGGAUGUUUAGAUACUGAUUAGAAGUAUUAAAUAUAAUCUAAUUACAAAACUAAUUACACAUAUGGAGUCUAAUUUGCGAGACGAAUCUAUUAAGCCUAAUUAGUCCAUGAUUUGACAAUGUGGUGCUACAGUAACCAUUUGCUAAUGAUGGAUUAAUUAGGCUUAAUAGAUUCGUCUCGCGAAUUAGUUUUAUAAUUAGCUCAUGUUUAGUCCUCCUAAUUAGCGUCCGAACAUCCGAUGUGACCCCUCCUAAAGUUUAGUACCUUGUAUCCAAACACCCCCUAAGCCUAAUUGGUCCAUGAUUUGACAAUAUGGUGCUAUAAUAACCAUUUGCUAAUGAUGGAUUAAUUAGGCUUAAUAGAUUCGUCUCACGAAUUAGCUCAGUAGUUCUGCAAUUAGUUUUAUAAUUAGCUCACAUUUAGUCCUCCUAAUUAGCAUCCGAACAUCCUAUGUGCUAAAGUUUAGCACCUAGUAUCUAAAUAUCACUCUUAGAGAUAAGUAUCCUAGGUUGUUUACGAACAGAAGUUAAGUAAGAAUGGAUUCUAUCCAUAAGGAUCCAAUCCGAGUUGUCUUAGUCAUGAAGUCAAAGAUUCCCGAUAUAAUUGAGGGAUAUGGACUCAUUGAAAAUAAAAAAGAAAGCAAUUAUAUUUCCCUCGAUCACUCUCCCUUUGUUCAAGCGCUGCAACCCCCCCCCCCCCCCCCCCCCCCCAACACACACACACACACCCACACACCACAAACUAGGACUGUAACAUGGUGGAGGAGCGAGCGUCGAUAAGUGGCGCGAGCAAGAGAUGGUGGCAGGCGGUGAUAGGGUUCACAGAGGAGGAAAAAGGCUGCACGCAAGAUCAGACGGCUAAUCUCAAAUAUCGGAAGUCUCUCUUCUUCUGGAAGAUCAUAGGAUCCGGAAGCCGACCGAUCAACCAGGAGAUUACUUAACAAAUGGACCGUCCAUUACAAAAGUCGUGGUACAUACCAAUGCAACAAACUGGAUCACGAAAGGGAUCGGAUCUUAUUGGCGUGGAAUUGACGGGACCUGGCCAGUGCAGGUACCCUCGAUCGAUCAGAGACACAUGGUACUAUCGCGCAUGCUGUGCUUCAGCAGUACAGGUGACAGUAGGCAAAGCACCAACAACCAACCACACGUCACGCGCGCCGUCUUCUUCAAAGGAACCUGUUGAGGUACUCAUCGACGGUGGUGUACUUGACGUCGGGGUACAGCUCGCUUGCGUCCACCCCCUUCGCCGGAUCGAUCUCGAAGCCUGCCUGCUCCCCCCUCACGUACGCCGCGUGCCCGAUCGCCAGGAUGAUGUUCAGCGGCAUCGGCGACUCUGCACCAGAAAGAAACAAUUGUUAACCACGCCAUCGAUUCCACGAUGAUCGAUCGAGGCAGCAAGGCACGUUCUGACCUUGGAUCUGCUUGAGCACGGCUUCCUCGGGGAUGUACACGCGCUCGAACGUCUUGCCGGUCUUCUUCUCCCACAGGUCCACGAGCUCGUUGUGCGACAGCGUGUUGGCCGGCGGCUUGAUGUACAGCGUCUUGUUCUCGGCGCGGGGGUCGUCGGCGGCGAGCACCGUGUACGUCCCGAUGUCGCCUUCCUCCACGAACACGGCCUUGGCGUUGCCGUCGCCGAGGAUGAGCACCUUGUCGGCGGGGGGUCCCUGGGCGAGCAGCUGCCCGACGCUGGGCAGCGCGUAUCCCGCGAAGUACCCGGCCACGGCGAAGGUGUAGGGGAUGCCGGACGCCUCGGUGGCGCGCCGGAUCGCCACCUUGCCGGACAGGAUGGUCUUGCCCGGCUCCACGAUGCCCGUUCUGUCCACGUCCAGCCCGAACUCCGACGGGAAGAACCUCUGCAUAUCCAUCUCAUUUAGCUUUUUAUCUAGUGACAACGAGCAUGCCGGAAGAAAGACAUUGAUGGCGGCAUUCAUGAGAAGGCGCUCAAGCAAGAACAAAUUAAAGAAAAAGGAAGGACCUUGACAUUGCCGGCCUCCUUGAUGGCGUCGAUGAGCCUGGUCUGGUCGGCGAUCUGCAUCGACCCCAGCGUGGAGAUGACCACGUCGGCGGCCUUGACGGCGCUCACCAGGCUGGCCUGGUCGUAGAGGUCGCCCUUGAGGAGCGUCACGCCGGCGUCCUGGAAGCUCUUGAUCAGCGCCGCCUUGGCCGGGUCGGACGGCGCCGUGUCCCUGACGAGCGCGAGGGUCGGGUGGCCCAGCCGCGCGCUCGCCGCGACGACGUGCCGGCCCAGGUACCCGGUGGCGCCGACCACCAGGAUCUUGCUCUUCUCCGACGCCAUCCUGAUUGCUACUUACUGACGAGUGAGCUUGCUAUCAACGAGCUGAUCGGCCUGCCAAGUACUCGCUCAGUCUGCGCUGCAAAUCUCGUCUGCCGUUGGAUUGCCAUCAGACUCCACGAUAUAUAGUGGGGGAGUAGCAACGGGUUCCAUAUACUCGCAUAGUCGCAUCGGUGGUUGCGGCCCAUAGCGAUUAGGUUGGCUUUCUUUUCUGAUUGAUUAGGACACGACGCCUAAAAAAGUCAUGCUACCUCCAUAUAAUCAUGGACGAUUAUUGAUGCAGGCAACACUAGCUAGUGUUUGCCCUGUCAUGCACUCCCUUUCGAUUUUCAGGUUAGGCAAAUGGGGAAUAGGCCACCGUAUGUUAGGCAAGAGCAGUCCCAACCCUCCUCCGAUUAGGAUGGUUUCUAUAGUAUUAAUUGUGCAGCUACAUAGAAUCUUUUGCUUAUGUGAUUAUAUAUUAAAUAAGAGAGAAUUGGAAGAACAAGAAACUGGGUCUCAUGCAAGACUCAGUAUCAGCACGAGAACCUAAAUCCUAGACAGUGUUAAAUUUGCAUUGGAAGAAGAUGGUGUCUUCAUAAUUGAUGAGGAAUUGAGAGGAGAGAUGAUGAAUUAAUUAAGGAUCCACACUAAGAAAUCAUAGGUUGUAGAAUGUAAUUUCUAAAGUGAUGUCUUACUUAUGUGGCAGUAUAGACACACAGAUAUCAUGGGUUGGGACUACCCUAAGCAUAACCUGUCUCCAACUUCUAAUUGAGAGCAUAUCGACAUGCACCAGCACCAAUAUAUUUCUAGUUAUACAUUUUAUGCUCACAUUCAUUGUAUAUACAGUCCUUUUAAUUACUCCCUUGCUGUGUAAUGAAACUGAGAAAGAGAUAAGAUAAAUAAUAGCCUGAUUUGUUGGUGUCCAAAAUUUACCAUACUAAAAUUUGAGUAGACCAAAAUAUAGGGCAUGUUAUAUCAAAACCUAGGCAAGAAUUUUAGAAUAGGACUUAAUUGAUUGCCAACCAAGCGAAUGCCAAAAUUUAUGGACUCGCUCUAGUUUGGCAGGGCAGAUUUUGGGAGCCAACCAAUCGGUCGUCAAUGUUGGUACCGUGUUCUACUCAUCAUAAAGAAAAAUGAGCUUUACCGGUGGUAAAUGCUUCAUUUCGGGAACUUUCUAGCGGUAAUACCCGGACUAGCUUCUAGAAGGCACGCAUGCUAACGUGUCGUGACAAAAGCCGGGGAGCUAAUAAAAUAUCGAGGCCAAUCCCUUUCAAAUCAGACAUUUUAUAGUCAGUUUGUUGGUAGCACCAUCAUCAGGCAUCAGCUCGCACUGCCGGGUGCCUGAUUGCUUGGCCCACCCCCACUACUGGCUGUGUGUGAUGAUUGGUGGAUACGUUGUUCUCUGGCGUUGCCAGUGAACCCACCACUCGAGAGGGUACAGGCAAACCUUAUUCACAUCUAAAUUUAAAUAAUUAAUAUUCAUUUUUUACUCUCUCCGAGGUGGAUAAUUAACUUUGUUAUAUAUAUAUAUAUAUAUAUAUAUAUAUAUAUAUAUAUAUAUAUAUAUCCAAUUGAUUAAUUGUACCUUAUUCUAUUCAUUUCUAAUGAGUAUAUAAUUUUCUACCCACACCCUCCUCAUUUGAAGUAGGUGUGGAUUUGGGGAGAGGGAAGCGGCACGUCUAGCUGCUAGUGCACCCGGAUAGUGACGUGAAUUGUUUUUUUUCCGAUCUUUUUUAAUUUUGGUCUUAAGAAAGAUUUUUAAUUUUAAUUACCAGUUCAAGUACACUUUCACACCCCGCACCCGGACGUGGUUGAUUUCUCGUCCUGGCGUCCCCGAUGAACCUGGCCAAGUUCCCGGCCAAGUGGUUCAGUCGACAUGUUCGUUGAACCAAAGACUGGCCGUCCUGGAACUUGCGAUUGAGAUCGAGUACAAAGGUCCAUCGCAAGCCUGCAGAUCGGUCGGAUCGUGGGUCAUUUUCGGCUUAGGAUCGGAAUCGACCGAUCAUCACUCGGUAACUAGCUAGAGUCACGAUCUCGCGCCAAUAAGCAUCUGUGCGUAGAUUCUUUGGCCAUUGGUGUCUCACCUAACGCCGUCGACAGUGUGACGACGGUGGAGGUUCGUAGAUUCUUUUUCACACCUGAUUCUUUUCUUUUUCAGUAGUAAUUUGCGCGCGCUUGGGCGCGCGUAGAGCUUACGACUUCUAUUGAUAAGCAUAAACUAUUAUUGGAAUAUAAAAAAAUAUUUAAAAUAAAAAAGACACAUUUGGUUAAGCUACAUCUUAAGUGUAUCGUUCAUUUAUCACGCGGAAAUUGGAAACUUCAGAAAUCAAAAUCCACAAGAGUCGUUGGUUUUAGUUUUUUUUUACUAAACACAUAAACCAAGAUUUUACAUAGUAAGCAAACAACGGUAUGGAGCGAAACUUUCGCAUCUACAUAAGCAAUUCAGAUCCACCAAACCAGAAGAAAAAAAGUGCAAUGGCGAUGUCCAGAAGCUCAGGAGACGAGAGGAGGCAACAGCCGGCAAAGGAGGAGGCUAGGCCGAUCGGCCUGACCUCCCCAUGCCUAUCGGCACCACCCCCUCCUUUGGCCGCCACCUUCACCCUUCACAUGGAAGCCAAGAGGUGCGAGUGGAGUCCGAAAACUCCGCCAAGGACCGCUCGUAAUGCUCGCAUCACGUUGGAGGCAAGACGCCAUCUGGAAAGCUCGCAGAUCGCAAGUUCAUCGUCCUCUCAAGUGAUGAUGAAGCAUAUAAGAAGAAGAAGGAGAUUGUUGUCGCUCCCACAAGGCGUUCAGCAAGGUUCCUCGGGAUCAAGCGCAAGAGCUAUGUGAAGAACACGUCCGAGUACUCGCCGGCUGACUAUGGAGGUGAUAGCGAUUGGGAGGACGAUAUGAGCCCCAGAUCGUGGGGUGCUGCAGGCCAUGAUGAUGAAGAAGAUGACAACACGUACUGGGAUUGGGGUGAAGAUAAGAAGAAGAGCAAGGAGCAAGAUGGCUACCAUCAAGAUAAGGGCAAAAAAAAAAGAUCUCGAAGACGACGAGCCAAAACCAGAGGAGCAUGAACUAGACGAGCAUUAUCAUACGUGUUGUACCGCUUGUAAGAAGAACAUCCAUUACCUCUUCAACACUAUCGGCGACAUCAUGGAAGCCUUGUAAGGUCUGGAUCAGAAGGUAGAAGACAAUGAUCGUUGUCAGGAGGAUGACUUCAAGUUCUUGUAGAGGAACAUGAGAAAGCUCUUCGGGAUAUGUGGCAACAAGAGGAAGAAUAGAGCUCAUGACGAAGGAAGCAGCAACCAUCCGGUAUGCAAGCAGUGCGGGUAGCGUCACUAGUGUGUUUGCAAGCGCCUUUCCCUUUGUACUUCAUGUGGCUACGAUGAGGACGUCAUAGAUUUUAAGCGUGGGGUGGGGGGAGAUCAUCACUUGUACAAGUUUUUGGAUCUAGUUUGGUCGAGUCGAGUCGUGUGAGAGUCUAAAUUAGUGUUUUUAUUUUAAUUAAAAGUAGAUAAAGUAGUAGUCUUCUUAAGCUUCUGGGAAGACUUAGGACUAGAUCGCAACUUUAGCGUCUUUGUGAGAAGAAGCAUGAAUAAAAUUUGAGGAUGGUGCGAGUGUUUUUAGUGUCUACCUUAGCUUGCUUGUCUUUAUUUUGUCUGUGCAACUUUGUAUCAUGAGCAUUAUCCUGAAUUCUAAAUCUCUGUUGUGGAAUUGAGUAAUCGGUUUGUUUAUACAAUACCCAUGCUUUAUGAUGAUCAAGUGCUUUGGUUUUGAUUAUGCUUUAUGAGUAAGACUUGAAUUGGAGGUGACUCAAAAUUUUAUUGCUUAUCUAAAACCUCUGUAAAAACAAGAUUGAUCAAGAUCUUUUAACCAGAUUGAGAGUUAUUAUUUAUGCUACCCAAUGCCUUGAAAGAUUUAUUUGUACCACCAAAAGCAAGAUUUGACGCUUUGAAUUGAGUUAGGAUCGUUCUCUCUUGGUUUGCUUUAAUUCUGAGCACCGAUCAUAUCCUUUUUACCAUCUCUGAUUGCUAGGCUCGUCAAUAUUCAGUAAUGAGAUUUCUUCACUGGAACAAUCAUAUUUUCUACUGAAUUCCUAAACCUGAAUCAUAAAUUUCCCAAUUUUAUUACCUAUUCCUUGAACACAACCCAAUAUACACAGAUCUGUUUUAUUUCUGGUCAAGUUUUAUGAAAAAUAAGGAAAGAUACAAGAUAAGGAAGCUUCACCAGAAAGAUAAGCCAAAGGGGAGGAAAGGAGAGGCUAGGCCGAUCGGCCUGGUCCCCUCCAGGCCAAUCAACAUGGGGCUCCUUUGCCUCGGUUCACGCGUAGAAAAAUUGUGGAAAGCCUCUGGAAGGAUCUAAAACUAAUUUUUAUGGUGUGGUGUUUAGAGGAGGUUCGGAGAAAGAGAUGAAAAAUGAAAGAAAGAAAGAAAGGAAAGAAAGAGAAAACAUAUUGAGAAAAAGAAAAUGAAAUAAUAGUGAAAAGGAAGAAAGAAAUAAAGGAGGAGUUUUUACUGUCAUGAAGAUCAAGAGAAGUGCAAAGAAAUAUGACAUUAUUUUUGGAACGGAUUUUCAUUCCAACCAUGUGCAAUCCGAUGAUGAGGACAUCGCUUGUGCCUCAGAGUCACUAUUUUAUUUGCCUUUGCACAUGUCCACCAUUCUAUAUCUUCUCAUCCUUGAAAACCUCAUAUUAUAUGGAUAUUCUUUUGAUCAUUGGCUCAGAAGGUAGGCAACCGUUAGAGAGUUUUCUUAAUUCUAUAUUACAAGUGUUGAUUCUAGCUAGCCAUACCCAAGCUCCACCGUAUAAUUGAGUGACCUUUUGAGAGACGAGAGCUUGCAAAUAAGUAGGAUAGCCACCACUCAUUUGAGCCACAUGUAAGUACCUGGAAAAGAAUUCUUGUUUCAAUUUUAUUGCAGGGAGAUGGUUUUAUGAUGAAAGAAAAACCCUCCAAAGAAAGUAAGAAAGUAAGUGUAGUUGAUUCCUAAAGUUACUUGGUUCUGAAUAAUAGCUGUGGGAGAAUCUUUGCUUAGAUAAAUCUUUGAACACCCAUACUUUGAUUAUCUUCGCUGCUCCUCUGAUAUUUUGUUUGGAGGCUAGGUACUUGACUCCUUGCUCAGGUUUAGUUCAAAAUCUUUGUUCAAUCCUGCUGGAGAAGUUUAUAGUCGCAUGACUUGAUCGAGGAUGAGCAAGAGCUAAGCGUGGGGGCAUUGUUGACGCUCGUUAUUGACACACUUUUAGUGCUAUUUAACUAGUGUUUUCAUGCUUAUUCUUAUACUAACCUACCACUUGGCACCUGAAAUAACCCCAUUAUUGCAUGUGUUGUAUUUUGAACCAUAAAGUAUUUUGGCAGGAAAUACGACAUAAUCAAGGGGGUUUGUAUAAAGAUCUUAAUGGAUAUUUGGACAUGGGUCGUCAAGGGAAGCCAGUAUGAGGAAGGAGAGGGCUAGAAGGGCCAGGAAGCCCCCAGGCCGAUCGGCUUGGGACCCUCUAGGCCGAUUGGCCUGACCCAUUGCAGCGCCCGAUUGACCUCCCGUUUCUUUAGCGUGAAGUCUACGAUGAUCUCUAGGUUUUUUUCAUGACAUUGAUCCAGAGCCGCCGCCUAUUGGACACUAUAAAUAUCCCCUCAUGGACUUCAAGAAAGAGGAGUUAGAAAGAAGAGGAAAUCACCACAUAAACACCAUCCACCGCCGCUACAAGUAGGAAAAACGGAGAGAAGAUUGGAUUCAGAGGAGGCCACGCGAAGAGGAGCACCAGGGGAGGAGGAAACCCCCUUAGCCGAUCGGCUCAGAGGUGGCCAGGUCGAUCGGCCUGGGUCUUCCCUUCCCCCGUUCAUCAUCAUCUUCGGACAGGUUGAUCUACAGGGCAUCCUUUACCCCAAAAUUUGUCAACAUGUGUAAGAUCAUGGGGUAAUACAUUUGUUUGUCCUCGGGGUUGUAUGGAGAUCUUGAUUCGUAAUCGCCGAACCUUUGGUUAAGACCUAUUUUGUUAUCAAUCAAUCUUGAUAAUGCUCUUUCAUGUAAAGGCUAGCCAACCCUACUUUGGGUUGCUUAUUUUCUUACCUAGAAUAAUCAUCUUGAUGUGUUCUUAUGUUCCGAUAGUUGAGUAUUCCGGUGUAGUGACAGUAUUGCGGGUGAGAAAGUUUUGGGCAUGGUUCACAAUCACUCACGAUAACACCUAGAUCUAAUUCAUUCAUGCAUGACGAUUGCAUCUACAAGUGAUCCUAGAUCCCUAGGACAAGCAUUUAAUCUAUCUUGUUCACAACCUUUACUCUCUCCAUCUUAAUCUAGAUUGCUUAGUUCUUUUGUUAGCAUAAUCAUAUCCUAUAUAAAGACCUUUUGAUUACAUCGAUUAGUGCUUAGUUAAGCACGCAAAUCCCUUUUUCUGUGGAUUGAUAAACCUUGGGGGAAUCUCUAAGGGAAAAACUACAAUUUGGCAUGCUAACUGUCGUCAACAUCUGGGAGCACCGGUUCUACCGGUAUGAUAAGCCGGUCUGACCGGUCCAUGCAGCAUGUGGCUGUGGGCUGCUAUCAAGAGAAGUACAAUAUCAUCCACAUCAAGGUUCCUCGUCUCUCCAAUAUAUUUGACAAGGUAUGCUUUGCAAGUAAUUCCUAAUCAGAUCAUAUAUCUUCAGUUAAUUCAUCUAUUAGUGAUUCUAUCACAAAUAAUUCCAAGAGAUCGAUUAAGGAUAGUAAUUUACUUGCUAGCUAGUAGUAGUAUGCCUUCAGAUUGUCUUAGCCAAUGCAUUGUGAAAGUUAGAAAGGCUGAUCAUAGUAAUACUUUAGCAUUUAAAUUUUCUCCAUCGUCAUUUCCAAAGUUUUUCUCUACAUGGUUUGCUUAUGGUCAUUCUAGAUUUAAAAGCAAAAGAUCAAAACUGAGAGUCAUCAUGAAAUCCUAUGCUAACAUAGUGAUAAGCUCUAAAGCAUCGGGUAUGAGAAGCACAAGGAGAGGUAUAGCUGAAUGGAUCGGUGAGAAAUUUGGAACAUUUGCUUGCUUGGCCUUAAAGCUUUCACCACGUUGACUACAAUUAGUCUUGAUUGCAAAGGCUCAUUAAAUUGGUUAGAGUCAACUGGUUCAUCUAAAGAUCCAAACUUAAUUGCCAAAGAGGAAGAUUUGAAGCUCCCAAGUGAUGAGAAGGACAUCGUCCAUGACUUGCAAGUUCAAGCAAUUAUCACGGACGAUGAGCCUAUCAAAAUCCUAGAAGUUACUUGGGGGGCACAAACGGAUUUUUCUCCAUCAAAUCAAGAACCUAUUGCUCCUGUUGUGCUAAGCGAACAAGUCAUACCGGUUUGGCAAACAGGUCUGACCAGUUCGGCCAAUCAAGUCAGACCGAUGUCCCAAACCGGUCCGACCAGUUCUAGUCUGAAGGAUUUAGAGAUGUCAAAAAUCUGAACAUCCUGUGCUGAAUGGAGGUAAAGACCAUGUUAAGCACAAUGGUAAAAAGCUGAAGCUCACAUUUGAUGAACUUCUGGCUAAAUAUCAAAAAGGUAAUGAGGCCAAGCGUGCUAAUCGGUCAAGUCAUGUUAAACCAUCAGGAUUAUCUCCUAAACUUAAUUCUGAGAAUUGGAAUUGGCAAAGGAAAUUUUUUUAUUCAAUGGCAUCAUAUCCUCCUUUUGGGCCAUCAAUGCUAGUUUCAUAUGCUCCACAUCCCACUAGUUUUCAUCCUUACUCAUCAUGGGGUGAAAUGAUCCAUGGGCACAUACUCCUUCAUAUUUUAGACCAUAUCAUGUAGAGUAUGCAGCUCCAAGAGAACCAUCAUGUGCAAGGCAACCAUAUGUUGAAAAUGAUUGUCUUGAGCAAAAGGACCGGUCUAGUGUUCAAAAGAAGAAAAGGGUUGUCAAGCAAGUUUAUCGAGUGCAAAGAAAUGGUCGCAAAGAUAAGAGUUCAUAUCUGAAUUCAAUUAGUGAAAAGUCGAUUAAUCUGUUAAGCACUUCGGUUACUAAUGGCAAAGGAAAGAAAAUAUCAGCCGUUGAUCCUCAAAGUGCCAAAUCUGAACAAAAGGAGUUGACAAAUUCAAAAAUCAAGGGAAAAUCGCUGUUGUCCAAAGCUGAAGCAAAGCCAAGCCAUCCACUUAGUUUAUCAAAUUGGCAGAAGAAGAAGAAGAAGUUACAGAAGCUUAGUGCUCAAGAGCUGAGAAAAAGGAAUAUGGCAUGGGCUCCUAAAAGAAGCAUUCAGAUUCAAAACAAGGAUGAUGCUCAAGCAAAAGGUGUAGAACAAUUGAAGAAGAAGAAAAGAUACGAAAGACGAUCUUCAAAACUGAGGUUUGCACCAAAUCAUUAAAAUUAUUGGUCAUUACCUCAUCCACUUGCUUUACAAAUGUCAUAUAUGCCUAUGUCUUGGAAUUCAUCCUUGGAUAUGAUUGGUCAUCCCUCACACUCUUAUUUUGAUCCUUGGUCAUAUGGGUCUUUAUAUCACAGAGGGUUAUCACCAAGUUGCUAUGCAUAUUGAUUAAAUUGCAAUAAAUCUUGCCAUUAAUUUUCAAAAGCCAAAAUAUUUAGUUCCUAGAGAUGGUUUAAAUUCUUGAAUUUAUAUAUCUCUCUACACUUUUAUUUCGGUUGCGCAUACUCUUAUGGAUUAAUUCAUUAUGGAUGAUAUUUUAUUAUCAUCCUUGGCAACACAUACGGGCGAUGAAUACCUUUGGUCAUCAUCCUAAAGUGAUAGCCUCUCGAUGAGAGAUCAUUUAUGACUUUGUUGAUGGCUUAAAUGCUCGGGGGCAAGAUAUUAGCAAAAGGAGUAAUUUAUCAUCAUGGAGUUUGUAUUUUUUAAAUCGGCUUGCAAAGUGUUUUUAAAAUAUUGGUGCUAUGUUUAUUUCACCAAAUUGUGUUGUUUUGAGACCUUUAGCUGGUUGGAGUGUUUAGCAUCAAUAAUCAAGCCAAAUAUGAAAUUUUUCUAUUCAGGCUAGAGAUUUUGGAAUCCAUGGGUGGAAAGCAUGCAAAAAUAUCUAAUGACUUGUUGCUGGAGGUGCAGCAGGCAUUUAUGUUUAAAUGAGCCACUAGAUGUUUUUCUUGAUAUAUAUCUAGAGGAUCAUCUCAACUUUAUAAUGAGUCAUGUAUCUAGGCAUAAAAAUUUAGGAUUAGCACUCUGGAACAAUGAACAUCAGGUCACAGUGUCCAAAAAGACAUUUUCAUAAGAAAAGACCGAUGUUUAGCAAUGCCAGGGGCACAUCCUGGACAGACCGGUUUGACCAGAAUCCCAAACCGGUUUGACUGGUAUGGCUACUACUUUGGCUGUUGAAGUUUCAGAACUUGGUGAAGCCAAGGUUAGUAGCUGAUGGAGAAAGUUUGUUGUUAGCUAUUUGCAUAAUCCAAGAUACAUUGAAAGACAAGUCGAAAACAAACAAGAGGGGUUCAAGAGCAAUCUGGCCAUCAUCAAUUCAAAGGUAAUUGUGUCAUGUUCACCUUUUGGACUGAUUACUCACCUUAUUUUAUUUAUGGUCAAAAUAACUUGUGGAUGCCAUAUUGAAUUAGUUUAUCUUUCUCCAUUCUUAAUUUGAGAGAUAUUGCAAAGAUCAAUUGACAUUAUAGCAAUUUAGCCGCUUUAUGCAUCCACAAUAUCUUACAGGUGUGAGAAAGACUUUGAAUUAGUAUUUCAAGAAUCUGGGCAUCAUAGGAGUUUGCUAUCUGAAUUUAGGCAAACCGGUGAGACUAGUUUUACCAUUGUGUAGAUCUUGUCGAGGUGAUUGAACUGCAUAUGUAGAAUAUCCAAUUGAACUGCAUAUGUAGAAUAUCCAAUUUGGAGUUCAGAUGGGAGAGUUACGGCUCUAGCAAGAUUCAGCCCUGUGCAGACCAGUCAGAUUGGUUUGGAUGGGCGAUCUAACCGAUUUGGCCAGCUUAAUCCAAGUUAUAAGUUGUAUUUUGAGACGGGAUUUAUGUAACCUUCAACACCUACUAGGGCAAGACCUCCCCACCCUAUAAAUAUAAAGGACCACGGCUGAUCGAGGACAACCCAAUCGAAUCAAUCUACUAUUUACUUUUAUCUCCUAAACCCUAAUCCUCUUCCAACCUCCAUGUUGUUUGUCCACUGAUCUCCACGACCAGAGAUGGUGUCCUAAACUUGCUGGUUGACCUAGGGCACGCCGACGACAUCCACGCCCUGACGGGGUCCCUCCCAGGUGAGAGUUUCGAUGAUCUUUGCUAGUUUGCUCAUAAAUUAGUCGUUCUUCGUCACGUAAGUGCGUUGGUUAUCCCUUUGUUGAUUUGCUUGUAAACCUCGCCGUCCUCCAUCAUGUAAGCGUGGUAGUUAUUCUCUCGAACAAUCAACUCAGUCUAAACCCUAGGAAACCGGUCUAACCGGAUUGCUGGACCGGUUUGACCGGUCUGGGUGGCAUACUGUCGUUCGGUCUGUUCGAGACCCGCAUGCUAGUACUUUUAAAUUUGCGGCAACAAAAAUACUUUGGGACGAAGCACAUGCAACUCUCGUAUGGGAGUAGAUUCAUGAUUGAAAUGCGAACCUAAUCAGUGUUGCAAAUGUUAAUCCUUCUAUUUAAGUAUAAGUAAAUAUCCCAAUUUUCGUCAUUAUGGCUGGGAUCAAUGAGGGGUUCUUUUAGGAGUGUAGCGCAGCAAAGUGAACAAGAAAAGACAUAAAGCAAAAAAAGCAAAUUACUUUAUCAAUGUUGCAAAUGUUUUUUUACCACUAUUUUUUAUAUAAUAUUUUUAUUUCAGACCUAUUUAAUUUGCUCAAGGGGAAAUCGAAUCUCGACCUACUGGAUAUGCUACUCAGGUACUUAUCUAACCACUAGGUUAGAUAUUAUUUCGCAAUCUUCCAAAUGUUAAACCUCCUAUCUUACUAUUACUAAUUGGAGGCUCCUUUUGAAGCCUUCAGGUGAAGCCACCUAGAAUUUCUAGGUGGACACUUUAGAAAAAGAAAGAAAUCCUAGAAAUUCUCAUAAAAAAGCAAAACAUCCAACCAUCGAUCGAUAGAUUCAAAUAAUCAUAGCCAUUGGAUCUAUUAUAUUUUCUAAAAAAUCACCCACAUAUACCAUUAUGCAAAUAGCCUAAAGUAACCCUCUAAAUCUAUAUAUAAAUUACCCACCUCUACCAUUAUAUAAAACAAACUAAAGUAACUCCCUAAUCUUCAUCAAAAUUACCCACUUAUGUCAUUAUAAACAAUAUUUAAAAUAACCCCCUAAUUUGCAACCGAAUUGCCCAACACUAUUACUUCAAAACUUAAAGUAACCCGUUAAAUUUGCAUCUAUAUUACCCACACAUGCCAUUAUUAAAAAUAACAUGAUAACCCUACGUUUGAAUCAAAUAAGCUUAAUUAAAAAUAUACAUCAAUAUAUAAUUCUAAAUCGUCUAUAUCUUGCACUAUUGGUAUACGAUAUAAUAAUUAAGGUCUAUAUGCAUGAUGUGUGUCACCAUUUAUAAGGAUAUAAAGUGAUGGGAAUAUAGAUUUCUAUGCUAAAAUUGUAUCUCAAACUUAGGGUUCAUUAAACAAAUUCAAGCGCAUACCUGCGAUCCAAAAGUGAAAAAUUAAAGAUUAUAAAUAUGGAUAAAAAUAUUAUAGAGUAAUUACUAACUAAAAUAUAUCACAAUUGGAUGAAGAUAUUAAGUAUUUAUCUACAUAAGUAUUGUGUUCGAAUAUUUAACAAACGAGAGGUAGCCUAUGGUAAUAGUUCUGUAGCAAUGUAGUCUCAUUUCUUUUUCCAUUGGAGACUCCGCAUUAGUUCCCACGAGACAAGCUAGAAAAAAGAGAGAAAUUCUCAUAAAAAUUAAAAACAUCAAACGCCAAUCGUGUAAACUCUAAUAAUCAUAGCCAUUGAUCUAUUAUAUUUUUUAAAAAGUUACCCACCACUGUCAUUGUGAAAAUAUUCAAAAAUAAGCUCUAAACCUAUAUCUAAAUUACCGAGCUCAGCUAUUAUAAAACAUAAUCUAAAGUAACCUCAUAAUCUUCAUCCAAUUUACUAAUAUAUAUCAUUAUAAAACAUAACUUAAAAUACCAUUCUAAAAUUUUUAUCUAUGUCACCCACGUAUGUCGUUAUUAAAAAUAACCUAAAGUAAACAUCUAAAUCUUAAUCUAAUUAUCUUCAUGUGCAUCAUACAAAAAUAUCAAAAAAUAAACAAAUAUAUGUGUUGGCGCUAGAAAUCGGUCAACCGAACCCCAGCGACCGACACACGACCCGGGAGAAUCUGCUUAGCUCCUGUUCGGGUGAAUGCCCUGGUGCGGUUCGCGCGGCGUGCCAGCCAAUCUGACCUGUUGAUUGGCAAGGAAUAACACGUGUCAAAUUCAGUAACCACGAUCGGCUAAGUUUCCGAUCGAGAUAGCUUAUCGGCAGAUCGGCCGAUUUACUGUGAUGAUGAAAUCGGCUAUAAGACAGCACGAUCCCCGUAGCUUCGUAAACAGAUAAAUACUGAAGCAAUCGGUACAAAGCUUAUGAAAACAGUACUAGGAAAAGAUCUAAUCGGCAACGAAUGGAUCUGACUACAGAAAGCAACGAAAGCCGAUACUACCGAUUCCUAGCAGGAUAACUGAUGAUAAAAACUAGAAAAACAGGUAAAAACCUAUGAAUCUAAUUGAUAUCGAUAACUGAUGAAUAAAUCUAAACGAAACGACAGCGAUGCGCCAGAAGUUAAAGCUUAGAUAUUACUCGAUAAACGGAACUUACAGAAUCGGCCGGAGAUCAAGAUGAUGCAGCCCUGCCAACCCGCACGAACUCGUGAGAAGGAAAAGUAAUAGCGAAGUCGCCUGCUUGACAGUAAGUACGAAGAAUAAAGUAACUUGUUGUAUUGAUUGAUUGUUGUGUUUACAGAUUUACAAAGGUAGCUAUUUAUAGCCCCGUACACAUAAUCUUCUUAACCGACUAGAACUCUAUCUCUAAUUCAAACAGAAAACAAACAUCUACCAGCACAAUCCGUGCUAAACCAACUACCCCACACUUCGUGGGCUGAACUCCACCUUAUCCCUCCAUUUUUCCAAGCCCAUACAGGCCCACCUUAAUCCACCUUCCUGAUCGGCCGAUUUCUUAUCAGCAAAGGAUUGCCGAUUGGGAACUCGGCGUAUUCACUCUGAAGCGAGUAAAAGCCACUUGACCGAUUCCGCACUGUAGCACCUUUUGGCCGAUUCCCAUCCGAACCCCUUCAAUCUCUUUCUUCUUUGGCGCCGAUUCUACUGAUGACGAAAUCCGGCGUCAACACAUGCCCCCCAAUUUCGGAGUAAAACAUAAUCUUUUACUUCUAAAUUCUCUAAUAACCUCUCCUCCGAAACGGCCGCAGUGAAAAUAUCCUUCUGUUUCGCGGUCUCCCGGCUGAUCAUUGCAAUUUUUUGAAACGGGCGCCCACGACAGCCAAUACCCCGAAAAACUCGAUGCGCCGGCGCGGUGAAAAUUCCAUCUUUACCCUUUCUUCAGGCACCCUAUAAAUACCAUUUCACCGCAACUCAUCUUCAAGCUCACAUCUCUUUUCCAGCGCGCGCGCCUCCUUCCUUUCAAUCUUGCCAUCGAAGUCUUCCAGUUUUCAGCUCCAAUCACUUCUUCCCCUUUUCCCUUCAAUGGCGACUCCUUCCGGCAAUUCCCCAGCACGCGAUGCUCCAGGGACAAUGCCCCCGGUGGAGGUAGCGACGGUCGUCACUUCUUCAACAGAUACAAGGGCUUCAUCAGAAAUUCCAAUGGCGGUCCCCAUAACAGCCCCAUCAUCUGUGCCAACAUCGGCGACCACGCCGAUUACUCAGAACUUUAUCCCGGAGGUAAGUACCGAAUCCCCUCCUUAUCGGCAAUAUUUUAGAUCUACUCCUUACAUUCCUAUGCCCCUUUUCCUUUUUAGGCGGUUAGAGAUAGAAUUACUAUUCACCUCACGGACAGUCCUGGCCUUGUUUGCCUUGGUCCCAUGGGAAACCCAGAUCCGGCGAUUCUUAUAGAUUCGGAAACUGACCGGAUACCUUUCAAACGGUCCGAUAUGAACUUAAAUCAAUGGGCAAGUACUUUUAGAUCCUGGCCGAAUGAAACCCCAGGUUGGAGAGAAUGGUACCAACGGGUGGCCGCAUCAAGGAGCGUCUCAUGGGAUGAGCUUAAAAUCGGCCAAUGCAUCAACCUUUCUUUGUCGCAAAUGGAGAAAAAUGAGCCGCUAGUGAUGGCAGCUUCCUAUUUUUGGUCUGAUGCCCUUAAUGCAUUUUUAUUUGGACAUGGUCCUAUGACCCCCACUCUGGCCGAUGUGGUCCUCUUGACUGGCUUAGACGUAUCCUCUCCUGACACGCCUUUCCAACUUCUAACCGUUCCUUCGCAUCGGCUGGACACAAGAGGAAUCGGCGGCUGGAAGGGCUUUAUUAGUGAUAACAAGAAGAUCGGUACUGUUGAUAACAGGGAGCACACCGCUUUCCUGAUGAUGUGGCUGGAAAAACACCUUUUCUGUGGAAGAGCCGCCGGCCCAACAACCAACACCCAAUCUUUAGCCGAGGCACUGUCCAAAGGAAGUCACAUUCCUCUCGGGAAACAUCUUCUGGGUGCCGUGUACCACAUGCUCCACCAAAUCGGCACAAAACUUUCCAAGGGAGAACCAAUCGGCAACCCAGGUGGGCCUUGGUGGUUUGUUAAUCUAUGGUUGAACCUCUAUAUGAGCAGGAUUACCCGGCAGCCAGUAGACCAUAUGAUGUUCCCCAAUAUUGAAUCAGCGGAAGACCCUACCGAGCGUCGCCGAUGCAUGUCUUAUGGCGAAGCAGCGUCAGCUUUUCCGGGUUGUGCAUAUUCUGCUACAAAAGUAGCCGAGUACUUUCGGUGCUUCUACAACGGAUUCAAUGAGGACGCUACUAUCUGGUUCCCAUACCAGCGAGACAUCCCAGUCUUUGAGCUCCCCUCCUGUUUUGACUCGACUUCUGGCCGGUUUGAUGAGGGUCUUUAUGAAGAAUUGAUCAAACCAGGACUUUUACCGGCCAACUUCUUCUCGGGGAAAAAUGCCCCCACAUAUGAGUUCUACAACCCAUCUACUGCUGCUCGACAAUUCGGCAUGGGUCAAUUGCCGAUACGGGUGUAUUUUGCCGGCCGAAUCAAGUUCAGAGAAGCGCUUAAAACCGGCCUGGAUUAUUGUCGGUUGCGAGACCGAAUUCCGGAUUCCAGUACGAUUAAUUUGAAUGAAUGGCUAUUAUAUCCAUUUGCAAUCCAGCCUUUCAAGCUUUGGUGGGCUGAAUGGAAGCAAUUCUUAUUCUGCAACUCAGCAUCGGCAUACUGCAACCUCCUAGACCCAGCCAACAUUGAUCCCAACGCCGAGGUAUUUCCGAUUACCGAUUUUUAUUCCUCUCAACAUAGUUGGGCACUAAUGAUUUCACUGUCUUUUUAGAUCGAGAGUCAAGCCCCUCCAACACACAGCCGCAGUGGUCGGCUAAUGGAGAGCUAUCCGUACACCACUUAUCCUCUUAUCGGCUACGAUGCUCCGUCAGUUGACAUGAUUGCUGGCCGAUCGAAGAAGGUUCACAAGAAGGUCGUCAAGAAAACCAGUCGCCGAGUCCGGGCUCGUACGGCAUCAGCGGACCCUCCUGUACCCGCAUCGGCAGAAGUCUUGACUGCACCGUUCCCGGCCACACAAAGUGCUGAUACUCAAGCCAUUACGCAAGCCGGAGCGGCUGCCGCCUCACUAUUGCUGGAAGCUUUACAAGUGAGUUCAAGCUUUAUCACUUCUGAUUUGUCAACUCGGUAUUAAUUCUUGUUCACUUUGUGCUUCUUAGGGCUCUUCUAUGGAAAUAUCACAGUCAGUGACAGCUCGACCGGAUGCCAACACGCCCCUGCCUUCAUCCAUUGAGGUACGGUACCUGUCUUAUGGACUCCCUUUGGGUAUUUGCAUAACAUAUUUAACCGAUCCCUCGAUGCAGACCAUCGGCACACCAAGCGUUUCUCGACAACCGAUUCCUUCCCAGGGAGCCGGUCCGAGCACCGUGCCGAUUGUCGUAGAGUCUUCUUCAUCGGAUGAACCCAUGACUCAGGCCACUGAACAAGACACAACGGCUCUACAAGCGCAGCAUGAGGAAAUCCGUUUUAAGAUGGUAAAUUCUUGAACCAGCCUCACCAGCCGAUUUACUCUGUUCCCCUGCCGAUUUACCCUUUUUCUUUAUUCUUUUCAGGAACAGGACUCUCCCAACAACAGUCUCUUCUCUUUCGCAGUCGCUCUCUCUGAUGAUGAGGAGACUUCUUCUCGCCAAGUGGCCUUAAGCUCCGUCCCUGACGACGUCCGGGCUAAGCUUACCAAUAUCCGAUCCCUCCUCCAAGGGGAUAUCGGCCGAUUGGUAGAGGAUGCUUCGCCGAUUCGGCAACUUUUUAGUGACGUCAGCGGACGAGUACCAGAGGAAGCGGAAGAGGCGUUGGCACCGGCGGCUUUUAUUGAGUCCAUGAGGAUUCCCGUUUUUAGGGCCCUUCGUCAUAUGGCCGACCGCGCGAAACUGGCCAAGAUCCGUGAAGAUGAAAAUGCUUUCAAGCACCAGGCUCAAGAAGCGAAUCGGCGGAUCCAUGUCUUGGAAGAUUCACGGCCGGCGAUCAUUAGUGAAAUAGAUCGCCUCAAACGACGGAGAGCGGACCUUGCCAAAGAGAUGGAACAAGUGACCAAGGCCAUCAGCGCCGAAGAGAGCAGACUUCAAGAAUUACCUUCGGCUAUCGCCGAUUUGACACGGGAGAGGCAGCGUCUUGCUCAGGAGGCUCUGAGACUCCACCGCACCGCAUCGGAAGUUCCUGGAUCGGCAGAAGAAGACCAACGGGUUCUUGACUCCGCCGAUCAGAUCCGGCGUCGGGCCAUCACGGCUAUCGAUACCCUUUUGGGUGAUCUGUAAAACACCGACCGUUUUGUAUGAACACUUACUGCCGUCUUUGACUGACCUUUCGUGAUGCCUUCUAUUUACUGCCUCCCUUAUUACCGAUGGGAUGUGGCCUCAACAAAUUUCACUGUAUUUCCCCAUAAAUAUCGACCCCGACGCUUCCCCCCGAUAACAUCGAUUUGGCUCCCAUCUCAUUUUUCCUCUUCCUCUCAUCGGCGUAACCACUUUGUUAUGGCUUCGUCAUCGUCCUCUUCCGUCAACCAGGUGACGCUUCGCCUUCUCCUUCCAGAUCUUAGGAAAUGAAUGCGCCAACUUAUUUUCUCUCUGUUUCAGCCUCAACGCCUUAGUUCGGAGCUUGUGCGCGCUAUCGAGCGCCUACAUUCUGAGGACCCUCUGACCCCGGAGGACAAAGUUCUGAUUUUAGCUCAUCGGGCGGAGCUCCAAGACCAUAUCACCGCAGAUGCUCGAGUAGUCCUGGACGCCGUGGUGAACGAACACCGCCAUAUGUCCCGAGCCACGAGGGGUCAUCGCCGCAACGUUCCUGGUGGUGACAUCACUUCGUCGACCUGCACGAUCCUGGAUUUCCUGGAAAGGAACGGCAACUCGCAGCUUCCUGCCGAUAGGGCUCGUCCGCUUCUUCGGAACCUGCGGCCUUCCACUGAUGGGGUCCGCAUGCUUCCUCGGCCCGUCAUUCUGGCGGCGGCGGAGGCCUCGCGCCUUCCCGUAGAUCUCCCCCGUCAAGUCGAAGCGGAGAGCUCAAUGAAGGCCAUAGAAGAAGAAUACGUUCGACUCAUGAUAGAGUUAGGUCGGGCUGAGAGGGAGCGUAAGAAAAAGAAUAAUUAGUUGCUGUAUUUUUUAUUCUAAGGGCGACUUAGUGUUUUGUCGGCCAUGUAAUCGGUCGCCCGUACCGAACGAAUGUAAUCGGCCCGAAUAAAUGUAAUCGGCCAUGAUAAAUAUAAUCGGCCGUUCCGGUCGAUUUCAUAUGUGUCUUGAAACCGAGUCGUGUCGGUCAUUUUUGACUGUGUUUAUCCCUUUAGGCCCCGACCCAUAUACUCGGGUAGUAUCUUUUUAAGUAUCUCCCAUUCAGAGCCCUAGUGAAUUCUUCUCCCUCUGUUGUUUCCAAAAUAUACGCAUUCCCUGGAGCGCAUCUGCCGAUUUUAUACGGCCCUUCCCAGGUAGGAGACCAUUUGCCGAAUUUAGGAUCUUUCGACCCGAUCGGUAGUACCAACUUCCAUACCAAAUCUCCAGGGGAGAACUGUUUGACUUUGACCUUUUUAUCGUACCACCUGGCUACUCUCUCUUUAUUUUCUUCGAUGCUUAUUAGAGCUCUCAGUCGUUGGCCGGCCAAGUCAUCAAGUUCUUCCUUCAUCAGAGCCGAGUAGUCAUCGGCCGACAACUGAUCCUGAAGUGAAAUGCGCCUUGAUCCUGCCCUUGACUCCCAUGGAAGUACUGCAUCGUGAUCGUAUACCAACUGAUAGGGGGAUAACUUGGUUGCCCCAUGACAGGCCAUUCUGUAUGCCCACAGGGCUUCGGUCAAACAUAGGUGCCAUUUCUUCGGGCAUUCUUCAAUCUUCCUUUUGAUCAACUUGAUUAUUCCUUUGUUGGAGGAUUCUGCUUGCCCAUUGGCUUGAGCGUAAUACGGAGAAGAAUUUAGCAAUUUGAUGCCCAUAUCGGUCGUGAAUUCCUCAAAUUCUCCCGAUGUGAACAUUGUUCCUUGAUCGGUUGUUAUAGUUUGAGGGAUACCGAAUCGGUAGACGAUGUGAUCCCUUACGAAAUCGGCCAUGAUAGCCGACGUCACGGUCCUUAGUGGGAUUGCCUCCACCCAUUUGGUGAAAUAAUCAGUGGCAACCAGGAUAAACUUGUGCCCCUUGCUUGAUGGUGGAUAAAUUUGGCCGAUGAGGUCUAUUCCCCACCCUCUAAACGGCCAUGGUUUGAUGAUGGGAUUCAUGGCCGAUGCGGGUGCACGCUGGAUAUUCCCAAACUUUUGACAUUCCUGACACCCCUUAUAAUAUUUGAAACAAUCCUCGAGGAUCGUAGGCCAAUAGUACCCGUUGUUUCUGAUCAUCCACUUCAUCUUGUGUGCUGAUUGGUGAGCUCCGCAUACCCCUUCAUGGAUUUCUCCCAUCAGAGUCUUGGCUUCUUCUGUCCCAAGGCAUUUAAGAAGAACACCAUCGAUCGUUCGGUAGAACAGAUCAUCUUCGAGCAACACGUACUUGGUAGCAUGAAAACGCACUCGUCGCUCAACCUUUUUGGACGGAUCUUUUAGGUAAUCGGCAAUUUCCUUACGCCAAUCAUCAGCUGCAAGCUCUAAGGCCAUGGCGCCCGGAAUCGGCCGAUACCCAGAUGCGUGUUGAGCGAGCUUGUUUGCUUCCUCGUUGUCGUCUCUUGGGACGUGCUCGAUUACUGCCGAUCUGAAUUCUUUCAAAAGCUGUAAGCAAUCUUCGUGAUGGAUUCGCAAUAUGUCAUCUUUGCACUCAGCUCUUCCGGUUAGUUGAUCCACAAUCAGCAUCGAAUCUCCGAAGACCUCAACAGAAUCGGCCUUGACUUCCCUCAAUAAUCGUAAGCCUUUUACAGCUCUGUAUUCUGCUUGAUUGUUUGUGGCGGCGUUUUCUAUCGGCAGAGAAAAAUCAUAUCUUGCCCCCCGAGGCGAUAUGAGGACGAUGCCGAUUCCCGAUCCGACUCCGCAUGAGGACCCAUCAAAAAAUAACUGCCAAGGCGCUAGUUCCAAGAAGGCGAUCUCCGGCCCACAGUGCUGUGCGACGAAAUCGGCCAUGACUUGGCCUUUGACGGCUUUUGCCGAUUCGUAACGCAGAUCAAAUUCUGAUAAAGCUAAAAUCCAUUUACCGAUUCGUCCUUUCAAUAUCGGCAAUGACAGCAUGUAUUUUACCACAUCAUCUUUGCAUACGACUAUACAUUCUGCCGACAGUAGAUAGUGUCUGAGUUUGGUGCACGAGAAGUAAAGACACAAACACAAACGCUCUACUGGAGGAUAUCUUGUUUCGGCAUCCAGGAGUCUUCUACUAACGUAAUAAAUCACCCGUUCUUUGCCUUCAAACUCUUGGACUAGAGCCGACCCAAUAGCUUUUUCAUCGGCUGAUAAAUAUAGUUUAAACGGCUUACCCGUUUGAGGGGGAACCAGGACUGGGGGUGAGACCAAGUAUCGCUUGAUAUCCUCUAACGCCUUGCGUUGUUCUUCUCCCCAUAUAAAUUCCUGGUCUGGCUUCAACUUCAGAAGUGGUGUGAACGCCUGAAUCCGUCCAGAUAGAUUAGAUAUAAACCUUCUGAUGAAGUUUACCUUGCCGAUUAGAGACUGUAAUUCAGUUUUGUUCUGUGGAGCGACGACUUUGUUGAUGGCUGCUAUGGUCUUCUGAUUGACUUCAAUGCCUCGUUCGUGCACCAUGAAUCCUAGGAACUGUCCGGCGGAGACGCCGAAAGCGCAUUUGUUGGGAUUCAUCUUAAGACCAUGUUUCUUGGUACACUCUAGGACCUUUCGCAAAUCGGCUAGGUGUUCCUCGUGGCUUUUGGAUUUGACCACAACGUCGUCGAUGUAGAUCUCCACCAGGAGGCCGAUGAGUUUGUGGAAAAUAUAGUUCAUGGUCCUCUGAUACGUAGCGCCAGCAUUCUUCAAACCGAAAGUCAUCACCACCCACUCGAAUAGACCAAGAUGGCCUGGACAUCUGAAAGCCGUUUUGGGUAUGUCCUCUUCGGCCAUAAGUAUUUGAUUGUAUCCGGCGUUCCCAUCCAUGAAGCUAAUAAUUUUGUGCCCCGCGGCAGCGUCGAUCAGUACAUCGGCCGUAGGCAUGGGGUAACCAUCCAUCGGUGUGGCCUGAUUGAGAUUUCUGAAAUCAACGCAGACGCGCAGCUUCCCGUUUUUCUUGUACACCGGUACGAUAUUAGAAAUCCACUCGGCAUAACGACAUUGCCGAAUAAAUUUUGCUUCAAUUAGCCGAGUUAUUUCGGCUUUUAUGUCUGGUAAAAUUUUAGGAUUGCAUCGCCGUGCGGGUUGUUGGUACGGCCGAUACCCUGGCUUUAUGGGUAGCCGAUGUUCAACAAUAGACCGAUCUAAUCCGGGCAUCUCGUGAUACUCCCAAGCAAAACAAUCCUUGAAUUCUCUUAAUAAAUUUGUCAAUUUACACUUGUACUCCGGAUCUAAAGUUGCACUAAUAAAAGUCGGCCUUGGUUUGGUCCCGUCACCUAAAUCUACCAUCUCCAAUGAAUCGGCCGACGUGAAUCCGUGUCCCAGCUUCCCGUCUUCUCGGGCGAACUGAUCCAUUUAUUGCGCUUCUUCGGAGCCGACUGCUCGGAUCGGCUGUAGGCCAAAAUCGGUGACCUUUAGGAAAUCGGUUUCCCACGCCCUACCUGAUAUGCACCUAACGGUUUCGCAGCUCCACUGCUGUGCGUCGGCUGCUGCGAUGCUGUACGCGGAGUCGGCUUUGACCACCUCGAUGUUAUCACCGACCCAUUGCACAAGGCAUUGAUGCAUAGUUGACGGGAUGCAGCAGUUUGCGUGUAUCCAGUCUCGGCCAAGAAGCAUAUUAUAGGACCCUUUGCCAUUGAUGACGAAAAAUGUGGUAGGAAGGGUCUUACUGCCGAUAGUGAGGUCGACGCAGAGAGCACCGCGAGCGUUUGACACCUUGCCUUCGAAGUCCUUGAGCAUCAUGUCCGUCCUGGUCAGGUCGUCGUCGCUCUUUCCCAGCUUUCGGAGUACGGCAUACGGCAUGAUAUUGACGGCAGCUCCCCCGUCGACCAUCAAUCUGGUGAGGGGGCGACCGUCAACAUGCCCUUUAAGGAACAGUGCCUUCAUAUGUUGACGUUCGUCGUCUUCGGGCUUUUCGAACGUGGCCAUCAUUGGUUCUAAAACCAAUCGUGCUGUUCGUUCCUCUAUCGCCGACACGUCCUGUUGAUCGGCAGGGGUCAUGAAUUCCAUCGGCAAUAUGAAAACCAUACCGAUUUCGGCUGCCGAUUCAUCGCCCACCGACUCAUCGUUGCCGUUGUUGUUUCCUUUGGGGCGCCAUACCCGAGGCCUUCCUUCCUUCUUGUCCAUCGCGCUCUCUUCUUCUUGCUGCUCCCAUUGGCGAAGGCGUUGGACUCUUCGUUUUUGUGAUUUGGUUAAACCAUCGGGACACCACCUGGGGUUUAUUGGCCUCCCUUCUUUCCUGGCGCGUUCCCAUUCUGGCUCGCGUCCUAACGGGUUCUCGUCUGUUACCCGAGCAUCGGCCAUGUCUUGGAGCCGACUGUGAACGCUGGCUUUGCUAUUUGAUUGAUCGUGUCGGUCGGUCCUGCCCCCCUGCCUAUUAUGGCUUCCACUUUCUGACCGGUCAUAUCGGUCACUUCUGCCCCCCAGCCGAUCACGCAUGGAAGGGCGCUGAUCAUCUGGGUUGCGCCGAUUCCUGCUGAUCGAUUCUGGCCUCCCAUCUCUGGAGCGAGACCUGGUGAACGGCCGAUUGCUUCGAUAGGGACCGUUACACUCUGGGCAAGUAUCGGCCGAUGGUAGUCUGAGGUUAUUUUCCCAACAAUGGAUGAAGAAUGGGCAUCUCCAGUGUUCCUCGUGCCGCCGCAUCGCUUCCUCUCGGGACCUCGAACGUUCAUGUUGGCGUUGGUACUUUUGGAGCAGGAACUGGGAAGUAAUGCGUGGUCCUUCUGACUCACCAUCAUCGGUCUCCAUUCGUCGUUUUCCCUUGACAUCCUCAGACGUGACUUGAUUUCUGGGAUCGACGGCACCACUCCUUUUUGCCGAUUCGGAUGUCAGCACUUUUGUCUGGGGGGGAUUUUUACCCGUAUCCACCAUGUUGGUAGGAAAAGGAUGCUGAUCAAUCUUCAUUGGUUUGGCCGGUUUUGCCGGCACUUCAAAUUUAAGUCUGCCCUGCUCAAUGGCCGACUGUAUUUGUUGCCUGAAGAUUUUGCACUCGUUGGUAUCGUGUGACGUGGCAUUGUGCCACUUGCAAUACUUCAUCUUCUUCAAUUGUUCGGCAGAAGGUAUCGUGUGGUAAGGCGAGAGUUUAAUCUGCCCUUCCUGGAGUAGAAGAUCGAAGAUUUUGUCCGCUUUAGUUGUAUCGAAACCAAAUGCUUCCGGCUCCUUCUUGCCGAACGGGCAAGAUAUCGGCUUCUUUCCCUUAAUCCACUCUGCAAGUCCGAUGUCGGCAUCUUCCUCAUCCUCUACUUCUUCCAAGAAUGCCACUUUCUUCUGGAAAUUCCUUCUUGGAUCAAAUGUACGCACCUCUUGCCCGGACAAUCGGUGUACGAUCUGGCUCAGGCUCUCGAACUCUUGUGAAGCAUAUUUUUCUUUAAUGUGUGGCAGCAGGCCUUGAAAAGCUAUAUCGGCCAACUGUGCAUCGGUUAGAGCCAGGGAGUAGCAUUUGUUUCUGAUUUCCCGAAACCUCUGUAUGUACGAGGGUAUCGGCUCAUCACUUCGUUGCCGGAGGCUAGUCAAAUCAGACAGCUUCAUUUCAUGGACUCCAGCAUAGAAGUAUUUGUGGAACUGCCUUUCUAGAUCGGCCCAUGUGAUAAUCGAGUUUGGUGGCAAAGUGGUGAACCAUUGGAAGGCCGAUCCAGACAAAGAUGACGAGAACAACCGUACCCGUAAUGCAUCUUGAGUAGCUGCCUCUCCGCAUUGGAUGAUGAAUCUAUUCACAUGUUCCACAGUAGAGGUAUCAUCCAUCCCCGAAAAUUUGGUAAAAUCAGGAACUUUGUACCGAUGGGGAAACGGCAACAAGUCAUACGUAGAUGGAUAUGGCGUCCUGUAGGUAUAAGUUUGUACUUUCGGCUUCAGGCCGAAUUGUUCUUGCAUUACCUCCGCGAUUUGCGCCGUCCAAUCCGGUUGUUGUUGGGGAAUAAUUGGCGGUGGAAUCGGCACAUGUGGAUAAAUCGGAGGUUGAAUAAAAGGAGGUUGAUGAAAAGGUGGUAUCUGAGUAUAAGCCGGCGGUGUAGUAAAGGACGGCUGCUUGUAGGCGCCACUCGUUUCAUCAUAUAGCGUGAGCUCUGACGUCUUGUUGACCUCCGGAGCGAUAGGCUGGUAUGGUGGUAUGAUCGGCCGUGUGGCCGUUUGUGAGGGUGUCUGGAACGGAGGAUUUCCUUGGCUGACCGAUUGAUUCAAACCGGUCGUAUUUAAGGGUGCCCCCCAGGGUAAAGGGAUGACUGGAGGGAGUGGUGCAGUGGACGGCUGGAUGGGGCCGUAUCCCAAAGGAGUUGAUGACGUGGAAGCACCGGACCCUCCGACAGAGGAUUGGAUCGGCUGUGAAGUCUGAUAAGCCUGAUUUGGUGGAAUCGGCUGAAAAUACGUAGGCCCCCUGUACCCCUGUGGUAUACCUCCGGCGAAGGAGUUGACAACAGCAUUGUGCACCAUGUUUGAAAGUACCGGGGAUUGGUUGAUGAAGGCGUGAUGAAGAGAUUGUUGAAUCAUAUCGGACAUUUUGUCCGAAUCUUCUGAAAUCGUGAUCUGGCGGGGAGUAGGGAAAGGAGACUUUUUAACAGUUUCCCCGCUCCUGGAACGACUGAAGGAUUUCAAGCAAGUUUUCCAGACUUGCUCCAAAUACUGAUUCAGAUCUUCUUUUUGGUCGUCCUUUAGAUCUGCUUCCGUCACUUCGAUGACGUUAUCUUCGGAGACUUCAGCAGCUUUCGACAUUGCGGCGGUUGUAAUGGUCCCACUGGGCGUGCCAAAAGUGUGUUGGCGCUAGAAAUCGGUCAACCGAACCCCAGCGACCGACACACGACCCGGGAGAAUCUGCUUAGCUCCUGUUCGGGUGAAUGCCCUGGUGCGGUUCGCGCGGCGUGCCAGCCAAUCUGACCUGUUGAUUGGCAAGGAAUAACACGUGUCAAAUUCAGUAACCACGAUCGGCUAAGUUUCCGAUCGAGAUAGCUUAUCGGCAGAUCGGCCGAUUUACUGUGAUGAUGAAAUCGGCUAUAAGACAGCACGAUCCCCGUAGCUUCGUAAACAGAUAAAUACUGAAGCAAUCGGUACAAAGCUUAUGAAAACAGUACUAGGAAAAGAUCUAAUCGGCAACGAAUGGAUCUGACUACAGAAAGCAACGAAAGCCGAUACUACCGAUUCCUAGCAGGAUAACUGAUGAUAAAAACUAGAAAAACAGGUAAAAACCUAUGAAUCUAAUUGAUAUCGAUAACUGAUGAAUAAAUCUAAACGAAACGACAGCGAUGCGCCAGAAGUUAAAGCUUAGAUAUUACUCGAUAAACGGAACUUACAGAAUCGGCCGGAUAUCAAGAUGAUGCAGCCCUGCCAACCCGCACGAACUCGUGAGAAGGAAAAGUAAUGGCGAAGUCGCCUGCUUGACAGUAAGUACGAAGAAUAAAGUAACUUGUUGUAUUGAUUGAUUGUUGUGUUUACAGAUUUACAAAGGUAGCUAUUUAUAGCCCCGUACACAUAAUCUUCUUAACCGACUAGAACUCUAUCUCUAAUUCAAACAGAAAACAAACAUCUACCAGCACAAUCCGUGCUAAACCAACUACCCCACACUUCGUGGGCUGAACUCCACCUUAUCCCUCCAUUUUUCCAAGCCCAUACAGGCCCACCUUAAUCCACCUUCCUGAUCGGCCGAUUUCUUAUCAGCAAAGGAUUGCCGAUUGGGAACCCGGCGUAUUCACUCUGAAGCGAGUAAAAGCCACUUGACCGAUUCCGCACUGUAGCACCUUUUGGCCGAUUCCCAUCCGAACCCCUUCAAUCUCUUUCUUCUUUGGCGCCGAUUCUACUGAUGACGAAAUCCGGCGUCAACAAUAUGAUUCCAAAUUACCUAUUUAUGUCAUUGUUAAUAUAAAAAUACUAAGUUAAAGUAUAUACAUAUGAUGAGUGCCACCAUUUAGACCAUUUAUGCAUAUACAUGCGAAAUCGAUGAAAAACAUUGAUUUGUAUGCUAAACAUAAUGUAUGGAGGAUUGGAGGUGUGAUACAAAAUGGAAAAAGUAUGAAUAUGGAUGAAAAAGUGCAUAGAGUAAUUAUUAAUUAAAAAUCAAUCACGACUGGACAAAGAUAGGUAUAUAAGUAUUAUGUUGAAGUAUUGAAAAAAUAAGAGAGCAGUAGGUAAACAAUUUUGAUUAUUAGCUAAGAGUUUAAUUUCUAAAUAAUUUUCAAUAAAAUAGCUUCUAAAAAUAUUAGCCCGUGCGGGAGCACGGGUUGAUGAACUAGUUAAAAUAAAAGAGAAUAGCUCAUUUUUCCUCAUUAUUAUCACCCUAUGUUGAUUCAGAGCGAGUUGCUAAGCUCUUGAGAUGACUUCGUAGAGCCUCUCAAUUGACAGAGGCAUCGCAUCUGUUCAUCCGUGUACAUAUAUAUAUGCAACUCACAGUCACAGCACAGCAUACAUGUAACCGGUGACUACCGACGCAUGAUCAGUUGAUCCCUGCGCACUCUCGGUCAAGACCUGCGAAAGCGCGUAUCAAACGACUCAGAGCCACCUGUUGAGGUACUCGUCGACCGUGGUGUACUUGACGUCGGGGUACAGCUCGCUUGCGUCCACCCCUGACGAUGGGUCGAUCUCGAACUCGUGUUCCCCCUUGAUGUGCACCGCGUGCCCGAUUGACAGUAGGAUGCUGUUCAGCGGGAUUGGAUCUUCUGCAGAAUUCAUAACCCCAUUCAUAUCAUAUAACAGUUCAUCUUCCACAGUUAUAUACAUACAAAAAACUAGUCUAUAGCCGGAGGAAUCCGGUCAGGUGGCAAGCAAGGUGUCUGACCUUGGAUCUGCUUGAGCACGGCGUCCUCGUCGAGAUGCACCCGCUCGAACGCCCUGCCGGUCUUCCUCUCCCAGACCGCCAGGAGCUCGUUGUGCGACAGCGUGUUGGCCGGCGGCCUGAUGUACAGCGUCCUGUUCUCGGCGCGCGGGUCGUCGGCGGCCAUCACCGUGUACGUCCCGAUGUCCCCCUCGUCGACGUAGGACACCUUGCUGCCGCCUUCCCCGAGGACGACGGCGGGCUUGUCGACGGGGGGUGACUGGGACAGGACCUGCCCGAUGCCGGGCAGCCCGUAGCCGAAGAAGUAGCCCGUCCACGCGUACGUGUAGGGGACGCCGGCGGCCUCGACGGCGCGGCGGACCGCCGCCUUGGGGUUGAUGAUCAGGGACCUGAUCGGCUCCACGGCGCCCGAGCGGUCGGCGUCCAGGCCGAACUCCGAUGGGAAGAACCUCUGCAUAUGUAGUGUACACAUAGCCGUGUGUAUGAAGAAUCCAUCGAUCAGACUAACAACAAACUAAGAUGUUGCUAGAAGUUAGUGUGGUUGAUUUCUCUUUAUCACCGUCGAAAACACUGAAUUUCGCCAAAUCAUCUGAAAUUUUGGGGAAUUUUCGUAUUUUCCGAGGGAUGAAUGAUAUCUUCCAUCCAAUACCCAAAAAAAAGUGUGAAAUUUUAAACCCUGAAUACGUCCGCAAGAACACACCGCUAGCGAAUUUUCCAAUCGACGUACCUUGACGUUGCCGGUCUCCUUGAUGGCGUUGAUGAGCCUGGUCUGGUCGGCGAUCUGCCGUACCCCGACCGUGGAGAUGACCACGUCCGCGGCCUUGACGGCGCUCACCAAGCUGGCGUGGUCGCCCAGGUCGCCCUUGAGGAGCGUGACGCCGGCGUCCUGGAAGCUCUUGAGCAGCGCCGCCUUGGCCGCGUCGGAGGGCGCCGUGUCCCUGACGAGCGCCAAGGUCGGGUGCCCCAGCCGCGCGCUCGCCGCGACGACGUGCCUGCCCAGGUACCCCGUGGCGCCGACCACCAGGAUCUUACUCUUCUCCGACGCCAUCCUGGCUCGUGAACUGGAUGCCUCGAUUGGUUAAUGGCAGUCGUGGUCUGGCGAGGUGGAGCCGUGGAGGAAGAAGAUUGCAGGAGCGAGAGUGCGAGACUGGUCACCUCACUUGUGGCAGUCUUGCUCUGCGUCACUCGUGGCUUCGUGAGAUCAGAUGGCGACAGACAGAGCAGGCCAGUGCAGGCCCAGGGCGAAUGCCUGCGAUUUUUUUUUAUUGACGCCUUCAUUUUUCUGUACUUGUCGUUUUUCUAGUGCGCCUGGACCGCUAGACGGUAGUCUUGUAGAGGCGAAGGUCGUUUUCUGCUCAUGAAGUCAUGGGUGAUUAGUUGAUGUUUACGACAGCAGGACAUAAGAUGCCCGUCAAUUUGACUGUCCAAAAGGUCAGCUAAUAAUUCCGACCAAGGGGUUCAGUAUUUUGUUUGGUCAAAGGAGUUGAAGGAGUUCAAGGUUUUAGCUUUUAACUGAUGGGAGCAUCCGUUAGUUAGAGCAAGUACGUUGGUGUCGUCUAAUAGGUGGUCUCAUGCAUUGACACGUAAUCUUGAGACGAUUCAACAGGCAACCCGUACAAUGGGUUGUCCUAUAAGUUGUCUGGUAGUGGUAUAUAAUUCCUUAAUUUGUGCAUAAGAAAAAUAAAAUAUUAUGAGUUGCAUGGCAACAAUAACUCGUACAAUGGUUGUUAAGUUGUCUCGUAGUCCUACAAUUUAGCUCAUGAGGUGGUUGUUUCGCGAAGCAACGACCUCUUUCUCUCUCCUCGCUCUUCUCCUCCACAUCAUCAAAAAUCCUACGUGGCACUGCAUGAGAUGACCUAUAAGACCGUUGACGUGUAGCAAUGUACUUGCCCUUAGGCCCUCCUCUAGUCCAUGGACUAAAGUUUAAUCCAUUAACUAAAUUUUAGUCACACCCUUGUUCGGUUCCAUGGACUAAAAUGGACUGAAGUCCAUAAAUGCUGUUAAACAAAGAUCCUUUUACCCUUCUUCCCUACUCCUUGGUACCCCUACGCCUACUCAUUCCUGGCACAAAACCAACCCAAAGCGUCCGAUUUAGAAGCGGCCGGAGCCGGAGAUGUGGGCCGUCGCUGGAUCUGCGGGUGCCUUCUCCUCCAUCCCCGUGGCCGGCAGCAUCGUCCCCCAAUCAAUCCGGCCCCCGACGAGCUACCACCACCACCGAUGAUGGCAGGCGAGCACAGCAAUCAGCAGCGGCUGGGGUCGCCACCGGUGGUGGCACGCUCCUCAACCCAUCGCGGUCGGGCCCCACCAUUAUCUGCACCUAAUCUAUUCGGGGGCGACAGCGGCGACUGGCGAUGGCGUCCGCUCUCUCCUCCUCUGCUGUUGUGGGGUGCUGCGCUGGAAGGGAGGGCGGCGGGUGGUGACAGGCGGCGGGAUGGAGGGUGGCGGGUGGUGACGGCGGUGGGUGGGAGGGAGGCCGGGUGGGAGGGAGGCGGUAGGCGGCGACAGGUGACAAGAGGGAGGGCAGCGGGCGGGAGGGACGGCGGCGGGCGGUGACGGCGACGGGCGGGAGGGAGGCCAGGUGGGAGGGAGGCGGCGGGCGGGAGGGAGUUGGGUGGGAGGGGCCAGUAAAUGAGGGGUAGGGGUGUCCCUAACACUCUUUAGUCCAUUUUAGUCCAGUUUUGUGGACUAAAGGACUAAAGGCUUUAGUCCUACUUUUAGUCCAAGUGUUUGGGUGUUUAGUCCAACUAAAGUGCACAUUUUAGUCCAAAUUUUAGUUCAUGGUGGGAACCAAACACCUGAACAUACUAGAAUCUGUUAAACUAACAACUCACUGGCUGCAGCGUAUAUAGACAAUCACAAUACCUUAGUUUUCUCACACACUUUCAGUAAAAUCAAUAGUAGUUCAGCAGGCAAGAAUAAGCGUGUGUUUGGAUUGAGGGUCGAAGUAGGUUGGGAUAGGUUCGACCUACUUUGACCCAUGUGUUAGUUGGAAAGUCAUGUGGGUUGGGUCGAACCUAGUAGGGAAUAUUCCUUGUAGAUGCGGGUUCGUCUCGUCCGCCCAGAACGUGCGGACCGCGUCGACCCACUUUGUUCCCCUCGCAUGCCGUCUGACUCCAUUCGUGGGGAUGGGCUCCAAGUGUGGUGGGCUACCGUGCAGACGCAGUGUGGAGGCGAAUCCAGCGGAGCAAGACCGUGCGGGCCCCGUGGCAUGGAAGCGUCGGCCGGCGGAGGAAGGGCCACCCCAGGGAGCUCCGUCGCCGACCGCCCUAGGGAAGCUCCGUGGCCAGCCGUCCCAGGGAGCUUCACCGCCGGCCGGCUGAGGGUUCCGCCCAGGGGAGCUUCGCUCGCUAGCUGGGGCUGGGAGACAGGCGACGGCGGUCGGAGCGAUAGGGAGAGGGUAGGUGAGUGGUGGGCGGCACAACGCAGGGGAAGAGGCUGGCCAGGGCUAAGCGAUGGGCGAGCGGCGAGGAGAGGCUUGGGCGUAGGGAGGCUUCGGGUGCUUGACUGCUUGGCCCAACUAGAGGAAGAAGAUAAGGUGCUGGAAAAAAAUAAAGAAUGACAGAUGGGACCCACAUCUGACAGGUGGGAUCUGCUAGUAACCGAUGCUAACGGUGUUAAAGAGGACAUCUUCCAUCCCUCUCAACCCCUCCAACCAAACAAAAAAUUGGAACGGACCCAUCCCUCCAAACCAAACAAGAUAUAGGAUGAACCCAACCCAGAAAAGUGGGUUGGACCCAAUCUAUUCCAUUUCAUCCUAAAACCAAACACACGCCAAGAUGGUGACUUGAUCAUUUGGAACCACAGUUCAGAAGUCAAGAGUGACAGUGACUUGUGGCAUUGCAGAAUAGUACUCCAUCCGUCCUAAAUUGCAGGUCGUUUUGGCUUUUCUAAUUGCAUAGGUGUUUGUAUGCACCUAAAUAUAGUGUAUGUCUAGAUGCAUACAAACAUCUAUAAACUAAAAAAUUCAAAAUGACCUACAAUUUGAAAUGGAGGGAAUAUGUAUUACUGGUUUCUUUAAUUUUUGAGUGUAACAACAGAGUGAACCUCAGAAAACAAAGCACAAGCACUCCAUCUCAGCCUUCUCAGGUUGAGUAGAUCCAUCGGCUGGAAACUGAUCCUAAUUGGCGUUACAAAUGUCAAUUCUCCUUUUACGGGAUAACUGAAUAAUCCACAUUUGCACACUAUCUUGAGACUUUUUUAACCUAUUGCUUGAUGUAUACAUAUCAACGUAUGUACGUAUAUGAGAAAAUAAAUCUCGAUUUCGACAUGAGUCCUAGCUAGUGCAAUUGAAAAAAAAUAUGGGAAGUGCUAGCGCCCGGACAUCCGAUAAUUUUUUUUAUCGGACGCUCCGUCGCAACAUUAAAAAAUAACUAUCAAAACAUCAAAACUAAAUACUUGCAACAACAAGGAUUGCAACACCUUUAUGUGCAUGAAACAUCACAAACCGCUUCGUGCAACAUUCAAAACAGACAUAUUGCAAUAAAAAAAAGUAUCUCUUACAGCAUUGCAACAACGUAAAGAAGAAGAGACCGAAACAAAGAAAACAACUAUAUGCAACAUCAUGAACAAGUUGGUGCAACAUCCGAUUGCUGGCAAAUCAGACUAUUGCAAAACAGAUGAAACAUCAAAAGCCACCGUUGCAACAUCCAAAAAUAACCAUUGCAACACCAUGAGGUACCUAUUGCAACACUCAGAUCCACGACAAACAGCCUGCCCGUUGUCGGCCGAAGGAGAGGAGAUGCUGCCGGAUCUGAGGAGGCUGCCGCCGGCAGGGGAGGGUCAGGGGCUUGCUCAGAUCUCGCCGGGGUCGGGAAGAGGGCCACUGGAUCCGAGGGCGUUGGGCGCUCCCGGUGGGUUGAGGACGCCAGAGUGGGGGGAGGGGCGCCGCCUGGGUGGGGGACGAGUCCGCCGGGGUGGAAGAGCGCGACGCCGUUGAGGUGGGGAGGAGGACGCCGGCAUGGGGCGCGGGUGGGGGACGAGGCCGCCGGGUGGGGGAGCGCGACGCCGUCGAGGUGGGCAAGGAGGACGCCGGUGUGGGGCACGGGUGGGAGAUAAGGCCGCCGGAGUGGAGGAGGAGGACACCGGGGUGGAAGGUUGAAGAAGAAAGAGGAUGGGGAAGAAAAAGAACUGUGGGAAUGGAUAGGAAGCGGAAGGGAGCGGAACAACGUCCGACACGUCCGGACGCUCGGACGGUAGCGUUUCCGAAAAAAAUAUAUAGCAUCUCUUUAUUCCACGCUUGAGCCCAAUAAAGUUUUCGUGCGAAGGGAAGAAUUGAAUUGUAAGUGACAUGUGCACGUUUCCUCACCAAAGGUCCACAAAAGUAGCUAGGUACCUCGAUCACACACAGACAGCACCCUGAACGCAUGAUCAUCUCCAUAUCAAAGACCGUACACAUCCAUUACAAUCAGAGCAACCUGUUGAGAUAGUCAUCGACGGUGGUGUACUUCACGUCUGGGUAGAGCUCGCUCGCGUCCACCCCUGACGAUGGAUCGACCUCCAGCUUGCUCUGCUCCCCCUGGAUGUGCGUCGCGUGCCCGAUCGACAGUAUGAAGUUCAGUGGAAACGAAGCCUCUGCGGCCGAUCGAAUCGUCAACCACUCAUAUAGGAGUAACACAUAUCAGUUCAAAUUUCAGCACAGAGAAGUGAGAAGCCAUGUUGUUCUAGAAAGAAAGCUUCUUAUUACCUGGGUUCUCCUUGAGCACGGCGUCCUCGGCGACGUGCACCCGCUCGAACGCCCUGCCGGUCUUCCCCUCCCACAUCGGCAGGAGCUCGUCGUGCGACAGCGUGUUGGCCGGCGGCCUGAUGUGCAGCGUCCUGUUCUCGGCGCGGGGGUCGCUGGCGGCGAGCACCGUGUAUGCCGCGAUGUCCGCCUCGUCCACGAACACCACCCCCGUGUCGCCGUCGCCGAGGACGAGGGCCUUGUCGACCGGGGGUGACUGGGACAGGACCUGCCCGAUGCUGGGCAGCCCGUAGCCGAAGAAUUAGCCGGCCAGCACGUGGGGACGCCCGCGGCCUCGACGGCGCGGCGGAUCGCCGCCUUGCUCGCGUUGAUGAGGGACCUCGUCGGCUCCACCGCGUCCGAGCGGUCGGCGUCCAGGCCGAACUCCGACGGGAAGAACCUCUGCGUCUGUGUACGAUCCGAUCGAUCAGACGAGCAGCAAACAUUCAUCUAGCGAAUUUUCCGGCAGGGUCGAUGCGUGUACCUUGACGUUGCCGGCCUCCUUGAUGGCGGCGGCGAGCUUGGUCUGGUCGGGGAUCUGCAUGAUUCCGACCGUGGAGAUGACCACGUCCGCGAGCUUGACGGCGCUUACCAGGCCGGCGUGGUCGUCCAGGUCGCCCUUGAGGAGCGUGACGCCGGCGUCCUGGAAGCUCUUGAGCAGCGCCGCCUUGGCCGCGUCGGACGGCGCCGUGUCCCUGACGAGCGCCAAGGUCGGGUGGCCCAGCCGCGCGCUCGCCGCGACGACGUGCCAGCCCAGGUACCCCGUGCCGCCGACCACCAGGAUCCUGCUCUUCUCGGCAGCCAUGUCGAUCCAUGCUUUGGACACUGAUCGCCCGGCUGCGACGCAGUGUCCCAAACUGGCCUUGUAUAUUCUUCCUCAGUACUCACUGUGUCGGAUAGAAGUUGAAAUAUGCUUGCACAUCGCCUUCGCAGCGUCACUCGUGAGAUCAAAUGGCCAGGCAGCGUCACUCGUGAGGUCAAAGGGCAACAAAGCAAGCCAAUGCAGCGAGCGCCGGCAAUUUUUGUUUUAUUGUAUAUCCCCACUUGAAAUUAUCUAUUCUACCCACUCCAGUCACUGAUAUAAAACGGUUUAGGAAACUUGCAUAGCGCGGUUGAUCAUCGAUUUGCGUAAAAGUUUGUUAUCGUAAACAGAAAGUUUUAUAUGUUAUGAAAUUGCAUUUUAGGAUGAAUCUUGUAGCAUCAAACUUGGGGUAUUUUUAAGUAUUCAUGAUGAAAGCUAAGCAAAACAUACUUAUUUGUGUGAUCGGAUAAAGUAGUAGUUUCAAGUACCUGGUUAGAGAUUGUGAAAAACAGUUUGUAAAUCUUAGAUUGUGGAAAGUCGAGGCUUCAAAAGCUGGCAGUUGUUUGGCAAAAUGGAUUGUAGCUUAUGAUCAUUUUCUUUUCUCUUACUUACAUGUGAGCACAAAUGACACGUUGGGUGAAUAUUUGUGCCAUACUCUAACAAAAGCUGGGGGGGGGGGGGGGGGGGGGGGGGGGGGGAGGGAAUAUAUUAUUGGAUUGCACAAUCCUAUCUAUUGCGCAUUCUAGAAUUAAAUUUUGGUCAUUUUCGUUUAUGUUAGGGCUUAUAAACAAAGCCUUUAGUGGACCUGGACGCCAAACUGGCAAACUGCCAUAGUGCCCUGCCGUCCGGAAUUAACUGCCAUCCUUUCCGGCCAAGUGGAACACAGAAACACGCCCAAGUUCAGGUCAGCAAUUAAGGCGCUUGUGUGAUCAUAGACUUAUUGGUAGUUAGGGCACGUUUGGAUUGCGCCAAUGUCUUCUUUGCCAAAGCGAGGGCUUAUUUGGUGCAGGAAUUCGCCGUCAUCAUUUUGCCGUUGUGAAAUAAAAUUAGCCAUCGAUAAUGGCCUAAUAAACUUCCAUUAAAGAUUGACUUUUUUCCAUUUGAAAUAUGUAGGCGGAGUAUUUGGUUUCAAAACAUAGGUCGUUUUAAUCUUGUAUGAAGUCAAAUUUCUCUAACUGCAUUUAGAAAUAUAUAUAUAUAUAUAUAUAUAUAUAUAUAUUGACAUUUACAAUACUAAAUAAGUGCACUAUCAAGAUAUAUUUCAUUGUGGAUUUAAUUAAACAAAUUUAAAGUUGUAGAUGUUGAUGCAUUAUUAUAAAAAUGGUGAAAUAGAUAAGUAUGAAUAAUUGGGAAUGCAGGGAGUAUUCGACUUGAGCCUAUUAUAGUACUUGAAUUUAUAUUCUGCUUGGAUUUUAAUUGAGAUCAUGAAUGUGAUGCAAUUUUAAAUGGUGGUGAAUAAUGAAUGAGGUACCUACGAACAACUCGGUUGGUUAGGUUCCUUGUGGAGGAACAUGUUCACGUGAGUUCAAUUCUUCGAUUCAACAUGACUACUCGUAUUUUUAUGAAUUUAUAUUAGAAACUAACGGUUGUUCUUUCUCUUUCAAUACUAGAAGACAUGACCGUGGACACUGUCAUGGUGACUUCGUCAUGAUCUAAAUUCUUGGAGGUACUCAAAAUGAUAGGUUUGUCUGCAUGUAUUCUCUAUAAGUGUGCUCAAGAUGUUAAAUUUGAAGUAUUUGUAUGCAUAGUAAUAAGUUCAGGUUUAACCUAUUUAGUCCAUAGGAAGCUCUUGGUGGGGUGCGCGGGAUACUAUUGCUUGUUGGAUUCUGUACACUCACGGCUAGUUGGAAAUUUGAAUUAGUGCAUUAGCUAGAAGCUUGAGUGAUGAAAAUUUUUGAGGCACCGGAGAACUAGGUGGAUUUAAAAUUUGGCGGAUCUUUUCCAACUCUUAGUUUCCACUCAUUCAUUUAAGGUCUCUUAUCACCUGGUUACAUUCAUAGCCAUAUUCUAAGGUCAAAAGAAAGCUUUGCAAUAUGAUAAACAUAUUUAUGUGACCCAUUGUGUCUUCACAUAUCUCUUCACCUCUUUAGUACUUCCAAAAGCCAUCCAUGUCCAUGGUGCCCAUAGACUCCAGGGUUGCAGACACCAUAGACGAUAUAUCCAUGGCAUUGGUCUGGUGAAGGCUCAUCCCAACAUCUUUCUGAGACAAGAUCGAUGAAGCCUCGCUCUGCGGUGCAGCCAUGAAGGUGCUGGCACUUGCUGUUCCUAUGCCCAACUGGUGGGAGAAGGGCAUCGGUGGCGGAACGGCCAUCAUGUUCCCAAACAAAGCACUGUUCAUCUGAAGCAUGUCGUUGCCCGUGCCUGCAGUAAUAGGUGGAAUCACGGGUGACAACGACGAGGAGCUCACACCAGCAAUGGAGUAGUAGGACCCCACCGGGUCCAUGGUGAAGUUCGGUAGCAUAGGAAGUUGCAGCGGUGGGGGCAUGGGGAUGCUGCGUUGAUCAAUCCCACUAUCGACAAUAGCAUGAUUGUAUGGAGGUGGUGUAGGUGCCUUCUUUAUCCCUGUGGCCUUGCGGAACACACGACAAACCACCCACUCAUCCUGUGUAAAUUUCAAAUAUAAACCAGCGGAGAAAUUAGGUUAGGGUAAGCAAAAUAAGUAGUAUUGAUGCAUGUAUGCUAGUGCUACCGUCGCCUCGGAAGCUGAAGAUGAUUUCAUGGUGGUGGAGGUUGAGCUGGAUGAAGGGUGGGGGGACUUGUUGUUGCCUUCGAGCCUAUACUCGUGCAUGACCCAAGUGGUCUUUUGGCCCCUAGGGGCCCGUCCUGUGUAGAAGACGAGCGUCUUCUUCAUACCAAUGAGUACCCCUGUCAUGGCCCUGUAAAUCUCCUUAUCCUUGCCCGUGGCCUUCCAAUAACCGCCCUCUGUGGCACGGUUCAUCCUCAACCCCGUCCGAUACUUACGGUCCUUCUCGUAAAAGAAGUACCAUUCCUUUUCUCCUGUCUUCGCCUUGCCUGUACCAUGUAAUUCAAGGACUCAAUUCGCAACUCAUAAGCUUGUGUCAAUGGACCAAAUAAGAAGUACAGGUGUAAGCAAGCAUACCAGGGAGUUCACAUGGCUCGGUCCUUUUAAGGUCAACCUCUCCGAUGGCGAUGCAGGUGAAGCUCCUUUGCUCCACCUUGGGCUUAAGGUAGAAGGUGACGAUCUCUUCAUCGCUUGGGUAGAAGCGGAACCCCGGAGGCAACUCAAGGUCGUCGCCAACUCCUAUCCCAUGUGGUUGUUGGUGCUGGUCUCCCGUGGUUCCUUGAUCCUUAAGUGAUCAGAAUCACCAGUAUAUAAGCUAACCAAUCGACUAUACAAAGCAAAAUGAAUCUAUAUAGUACUGAAAAAAGAGUAGUAAACCAUACAUGUGCAAACAGUACUCCUUGAUCCGCCAUUCAGUCUCGAUCUGUCAAAACAGAGAUUGAGGCUGAGUUAUUGUGGUGCAAUUAGCUGGGGACUGUGGCAGCUUAAAUAGGCAGGAGGCGUGCGUGACAGCGUGAACAAGGAACUUGCAGCAGAAGCCUCUCUCCCACUCCCUGCUUUUACGGUGAUGUCAGUUUCUACUGGCAAUCGGCGUUUUCCCCUUUCCAUCUGUGCGACGCUUAUCCUCGCGUACCAUACGGUCCCUUUUGCACCGGGCUAGGUCUGCUGGCGACAGGUAUCCAGCAUCUCGAAGCUCUCUGGUUGCGUACCUACUGUGAUCCUCCUCCGGUUUGCCUGCCUCGGUUUGCGAUUUUAGUGAGGUAUGCAUUGCCAAUGCAUGCGAUCUCCGACCAUCGGUUUGCAUUAGUGUUAAAGCUGUAAUGCACAGCCAAGGGCCGGCCACUUGUCAUUAUGCGCGUGCUUUAGCAUGUGUUCAGGGUCUGCAAGGCCUUUGUGAUGCAAAGUAGACAGGCCAACACGAGUUUCUUGUUGUUCUUACAUCGGUUGUGGGCAUCCAUUUGGAAUAAGGCUAGUGACAAGUUGUCAUGAUGGGUAAGCAAUCAUUCCAACUGUCUUGCCGUUCAGUAUUAGAUGUAAAGAGUGUGUGGUGUGUUGGUCCUAUAUCAUUUGGUGCGUGAUUGUUGUUGUUGUUGUUGUGUAUCUAGGCAGUCGAUGCAUCUAUCUGUUGAAUAAUGUUCCGCUUGUGUCUAUCAUCACAUAGAAACCGAGCAUAUAUCGGUGUCAAACUGAGGUCCUCUUUGGCACGGCUUAUUUCGGCUUUGGCUUCAUCUAUUUCACGCAAAUCGAGAUACUGUAGCGUGAAGCCGUUUUGUAAGCCGGGACUAAAAUGAACUAGAAGCCAGAUAAAGCCAGUUUUUUUGACUUCACCGGUGAAGCUGUUUUGGGAUAAGCCGUGCCAAGGGGGUCUGAGUGUUGGAUAGUUGUCAAACUGGCAGGUGUCCCUCUUGCACCGGGCUAGGUCUGCGUGCCAGUUCUGGUAACCAUGGGUAGUUUGCCUAUUAGUAUUGAGCUAGGUUGGGCAAUCGGCGGCUACUCUUGAUUUGUGCAUCCAUAUAUGAGAUUUACUUUCCUUUUUUUCUAUUUUCACCGCCUAUGUGUGCUUUCUAGGCCGAGUGAAAUGGCACGAAGAUGCUAGAUUUACAAUUAAACGUAAAAGUUGUGGUCAUUCACAGUUUGUACAGUUAGGCGUGCACCAUUUAGCCCAUAAAACAUAAGGCAUGAGAAGCAGAUUAAGCCCAAGAUCGGUCGAGCCUCAGCCCAAUUUUGUUCAAGGGCUCCACUGACUUUUUGCGUGGCCAGACCCGCCCACCCCCCCACACCCCCCCCCCCCCCCCCCCCCCCCCCCCCCCACACACACACACACACCAUGCGGCGGGCCCCAGUGGCAGAAACAGCGUUUCUGCCCGCGCCCCCUCGCCGAAAUAUUUGAACGAAGCAAACAGAAAUUCCCCAUUCCCCAAAUCCGAACCCGUCUCCGGCGAGCCCAUCCCUUCGCCGCCUCAGACGCAAUGGGAGCGGAGAUGGAGCGGUCCAUCUUGUCUCUGUGCGCGUCCCUCUCGUCGGUGCUCGACCACGCCGACUCCUCCUCCCGCGAGCUCGCCGACGUCGUCUCCCGCCGCCCCAUCCACCUCGGUAACCACCACGCGCACCUCCCCUCCUUCCCAUACCCGUAUCCGGGGAUCCAGCGCUCCUACUCACGGCGGCGGGACUCGCAGAGUCGACGACGACCGCGUUCCUGCAGAAGCUGGACCGGCUGACGGAAGCGGCGAACGAGGACCUCGCGCACCUCGACUCCAUGACCUUCGGUGCUGUCUCCUUCGAGGAGCUCCUCGGCCACUGCGGCGAGGCGCUCAACGUCUACGCGCGCCACGCCGACGCCAUCGAGUCCCGCCUCGCCUCCUUCGGCUACGAGCCACCCAGUAACAGCGCUGAUCCCAUCGACUUCACUUCGUUUCCCAAGCUCUGCACUAUUUGUUUCGCGAUGUUGAGAACCGAUGUUGGUGCGCUCACGCAGAGGUGGAGCCUGAGGUGGAUACGGAGGUGCAAGAUGGUGAUAUCGGGAAGCUUGGGGACCCUGCGAGUGGCUGCUUCGGUGUGUCCAGUUCAUUGCUGAGGUCCAGUAAGGGGCGGUUCCGCGAUGACGAAGACCCACUGUAUCCUUCUCUUUGGUUUCAUUUGUUUGGAAAACUAUAGUUUCAGGGUGUCGCAUUCAUUUGUUUGGAAAACUAUAGUUUCAAGUGUUGCAUAUGAUAAAAAAAAAUUCGAACUAAUUGAAGGAGUAGCUGCUAGAUUCCAUCCCUAGGAGUUGUUUUGAGUUAUUUCUUUACUACUAAAUUACUAAUUAGAUUUGGUGAGUCACUGAAGAGUCUUGGGUUUUCGGAUGCUUGUCUAGCCACUCUUUCCUCUGAAGGUAUGCAAGGAAAUAUUUUGGUUGUCCCAGCUGGUUAAUUGCAUUAUGCUUGAAUUAGUAUUUCCUGUCAGAUGCUAAUUUUUGGUUUGAACAAUGAUACUUUUUUGGGAUUUUGCAGUCACGGAUAAUGGUGAAAACCUAAAGGAGCUUUACAAAGAUCCUGAAAGGUAAUAGAAAGAAUUACAUUCAUAUAUCUAGUAUAGUAUCUAUAGUUAUCUGCUUUCAGGUUUCCCUGCUGUUCUUUGUUUACAUCUAAUAUUUCUUUACUUAUUUUAAUCUUAUCUUAUAAUGAUGCAAUUUAUUUAUUUAAUGCUCUAUACUGUUCAGUGCUGAUGAGGGUAAAAAGAUCAUGAAGGAAGCUGAACUUAUAGCUCCCCAAAGUAAAAGAGAUAAUCAAGGUGAUCAGCAUGAAUGUCUUGGACAUUUUAAAGACAGGUCAAAUCUUACUCAUUCUGAAUUUUUUUUCCGCUGUUGAUUCCAUGAAGGUAAUUCUUUCAAAGAAAUGAUAAGGGCAUCAAAGGAGGAGUAUGAGCAACUUCCUCCUUACAUGAAGAGUCUAGCAUCAUGGGAGGUCUGAAUUUCUUUAUAACUACUUAACUUUUGUAAUUUUACCCAUAGUCCUUUAUGUGGAUACCGAUGGUUGCAAAAUCACAGCACAUAAUUCUUGAAAUUAGUAUAUUAUUUUACUUCUAAGAAAAUCAAUUGAAGACAAAUACUCUGCAACAUCUUCACUUCCUAUUUCCUCCAAGUUGUUGAUUUUAUUUUUCUGUCGUUGCAUUCUUGAUCAUGAAUGGACCUGUGGUUUUGUAACUCAUGAGCCAUGAAGAUAGUUAUGUUAUCCUAGAUUCCUAGUACCUCAAAGCAAUUUACUAUAUGAUAGCUUCGUCAUCCUAGACUCCUAGUCAUCUACCUCAAAGCAAUUUACUGUGAUGAUUUUUUCCGCUUUCUAUUGCAUCAGGAAUUGCAGGAGGGAAUAUCAAAACUAAAUUCAUACUUCGGUAGUGACGAAGCCAAGGGAAGCGUUUCGUUGAAUCAAGAUGAUGUUGGAGCAAUAGGGUUGGGUAUGUGCAGUUACUUUUCUUAGCCGAUUGAUUUGAAAGAUAUCAAAUGUUAUAGCACUCCGAACAAAAUCUUUUUGUCAGAUUGCUGCUCCAUUGACACAUGCUCUUGAUGAAUUUUCUGUUGUGGCUAACAUCUUUGUGGUGUUUCCAUUCUGCAUUUGUUCCCUCUAGGGCGCAAAGGAAGAGCCUGCUUGCUUAUGCUGCUCCGGCUGAAUCAAUUAACUAUGGAGGCAGUUGAUGGAUCUACCUUUUACACCCUACGCAAGAACAACUCGUAGUCUAUUUUUGGAACUCUGGGAGGUGCAUCGAAUUUGAAUAGUCGAUACUUGAUAGCCUGAUACUAAUAUAAGAGUGUUGUGUAUUAAGUUCUGGUUCAAAUCUUGUGUGUUGUUAAUGCAUACUCAAACUCAGUUGAAAAGGUGAAUUUGAUUGCACGAGCAGAAGCUCUUUGCUCGUGUUAUGUUUACUCUCUUUCUGCAUGCUUGUAUGACAAACAACAUAUGUGGCGGACUAACAUGGUCUUCGAUUUGGCACGGAUUCGUCGAUCCGACGAUAAGGCAUCCAGCGGCCCCGCGGCCUUUGCCAGGUCGAGCUAGAUUUUAUUCCCGCUGCCAAACGCGUAACCUUGCCGGGAACAAUAACGGCACUUGUUUCGUUUGGCCAAAAAGAACAAGGCAAGGUUCUAACUCAACGCAGACCAUAGUUUAUUCACGCUUUCAUUAACAAUAGCAGUUCAGCCAGCAAGACACUGACUCAUCUUGCCAUCACAGAAACGAACAGUGACUUGCGCUGGCUAAUGAUGCGCGUAGCAUACAUACAGCAACAUUCAUCCACACGUGAAGAAUGGUGGGAGGGUCGAAUGCACCAAUCUCGUAACUGAUUAAGGAAGGUGGCCGAGGUAUCAUCAACGGUUGUGUAGACGACAUCAGGAGGUGGCCUCCACACCAACCGCUGGAUCGAUGUCGAAGUUGCUCUGGUCACCCCUGGCGAAGAUUGAGAGCGCGAGGGACAGCAGUAUGUUCAGUGGAAACACAGCCUCUGCAUGAACAGAACAGGCAUCAAUCAUAAGAAAUUAAGAAGUCUCUAGACUGAUGUGUGCAUCAUAGGGCACGCAGGCAGGUAGAAGGUGUGCAGAUGAGAUGGGUGAAUCAAAUUCAAAUGCCCCAUGUGAGCAGUCAGCACCUUCGAUCCACUUCAGAAUUUCCUCCUCUGGGAGAUGCACCUUCUGCAAGGUCCUGCCGGCCUUCUUUUCCCACAUCGAAAUGAGCUCAUUGUGGGACACCACAUUCGUGGGCCGCCUCAUGUACAGGAUCUUGUUCAGGGUCCUCGCAUCAUCAACCACCCUCAUUGUGUAGGUGGCGAUGUCAUCUUUGAACACAAACACAGCUGCAUCAACAUGUGUGCAUCAACAAUCCAGGCAGCAUUGAUAUAUCUGCUCAUUCUAUAGGGAAAAAGGAUACAUCGGUACGCAACUCAUUGGUUCUUAGUUACCUUUGGCAUCACCAUCUCCUAGGAUGGUGAUCUUGCUGGCAGGAGGGCCAGCACCGAUGGCCGUGACAUCGCCGAUGCUUGGGAGGUAGGUCUCUGCGAAGCUGUUGCAGCUGACAUAGGUGUGAGGUAUCCCCUCUGCCUCGAUCACCCGCCGGAAGUUGGCUUUCAAAGCACAUAGUGACACCGCUGGAUCCACCGUGUGGAGUCGGUCCACAUCGGAGCCGAACUCAGAUGGCACAGACCUCUGUACAACAAAGUCUUCAGUGUUUGCAGAGAUCAAUAUAAUACAAAUAAAGGAAGAAACUCCAUUAAAAGUUUAAAACUGACCUUAACACUGCCUGCCUCCUUGAUUGCAGCAACGAUCCUUGUUUGCUCGGCAACCUGAUGAGGCCCCACUGCCGAGAUGACAAUAUCGGCACACUUGAUGGCCUUUACCAGGCUCUCAUGGUCAAACAGAUCUCCCUAGCAUACACAUGUGGGAAAGGUAUGACUCUCAAAAUGAGCAUGAUGUCAGAGCAUCCUUGUGACAGAUAGUGAAUUGGGCAACUCUUAAUGCCCUAAUAAUGUAUAGGAUGCAUCAGGUUUAUUAAAAUCCACUGAAGGAGUCUGUCCGAUAAUAUUUCCAUUGCCAGUUGGCAAUUGAAGGAUCUUGAAUUGACAUGUUGGGACAGCACACCACAUCGGAGGUUAAGAUUAUUCAGAGUAGUUAAGAGUUAAGACUUAUUUUUUUAAAAAAAAUAAGUGCUCAACUUUCAGCAAACAGGGGAACAAAGUAUAUCUAAUACUAGCCCAUUGGAGAUGAUGAUGCAUUGAUGAUUAUUGGUACCUUGAGGAGAGAAGCACCGGAAUUAACCCAACUAUUGAGGAGCUGCACCUUAAUUAUGUCAGAUGGUGCAAAUUCCUUGAUGAGGAUGGCAGUUGGGUGGCCGAGGUGGACACUUGCAGCAACUAUAUGCUUGCCAAUGUCGCCUGCGCCACCAAUGACGAGGACCCUGCUCUUCUCCAUGUCCAUAUCCUCCUUUGGUUCCAUACUCCAGCUCUGAAUUUGAGGGCUUGACCACAUUAUGUAUGCUACAGGAGCUCUUUAGCUGUGGUCUCAGGUUAGGAGAGGUCGUGAAGUUGUGCGAUCAUGUCAAGCUAACCAUUUUCUUACUUCAAAAGAAUCCUUCAGAAAGAAAUGACUAAUAAGUUUCAACAACCCCCACCAAACGUUUACAUUCCCAUUGUCCCUCCAAAUCAUCUUCUUAACUGACUAUUAACAUCGCAACAGAGAUUCAUAGACAUGCCAAUGAUUCUUCUUCAUCCCUGAUUUUCAUCUGCAAAACUGUACGCUGAACCAUGGUGAUUAUCUCAAAACAAUAGUAACAGUAUAAACUAUACCCUGCCAAGUAAGAAAAGAAGAAACCGUACAAAUAGAAAACUCCCUGUCAGCAAGGAGUCUGUUCAGUCAAACUCUGUCCAUUGUAAUUUUCUGUUAAGACAAUAACAGUGAGCCAAGAUUGCCUAUGUUCAAUAAGGAAGAAAGCUACAUUUGCCUCAAUCCAGAUAGCCUUAUAUAUAUGACCACAAUAGCUUCUGCCAAUGACACAAAUUGGCAAAGAGGAGGCUGCACAGACAUUCCAUUUUGACACAAAUAAGAUCACAUGAAUGCAGAAUAGAGUAUGCAAAAUCAUCAAUGUUUAAUACAGUUAAAAUCUCCAUGAUUUAAUACAGCAAUGAGAAGCCAAAAGUACAUUUCAAGUAAAACACACUAAAAUCUCCAUGAUUUAAUAAUACAGUUAAGAGCAUAAGCAACAAUCUUGGUAGACACUACUUCAAAUCGAAAAAGCAUGCACCAUUACAAAUACACAAACUCUAAAGUUGAUUAACAGGUGAAAUUAUUUUAUUUUCUAACCUAAAGAACAUCAGUUCAUACUUAAAAAAUAAAUCAUUUGAGACACAAGAACUGUCAGCAUGACGUUGCUGCCAAGGAAAUCACACAAGAAAACUGCAUGUUUUGUUUACUGUAACGAAACUAUGACACAGAUCUGACAAGCCUCUAGGGACAGAGCACCUCAGAUGCAACCAUAAUAAUCAGUAAGGCAAUGGAAGAAUGGAUCAGAGUUUGUGUAAGGCUCCUACUAAAACUUUCAGAAUUUAUACUCAUAACACAAAAUGGUCAAUUCAAAAGAGAGCAAAUUUACAUCAAAUUGCAACUACCGUAUCUACAAAUAUAGCCAGCAGCAUAAUUCUUCCAGCUUCAAAAUCUGAAAUUAGCAGUCAAUAAAAACAUAAAGAAAUGUUUCAGUUUGCACAUUAUCUAGAAUUCUCAUAUCCUGUUUUCUUUAGAUACCAUCAACAUUUCUCAUAACACAUUGUAACACUAAAUUGAGAGCAUUUCAAGUGACAUUAAAUAUGGAAAUAUCAUUGCUAGAAUCGAAUCGCCAUGGCAUAUGAAUCGGAUGUUACAUAACAAAACUGUGGAGUCUAGCACAGUGGCAAAAAGAGCCCAACCUCACCAACCAAAUGGAGGCCUAAAAUACAACAGCAAGAACAACCUCACCAGUCACAAAAUUCCCGUACAUCUCCAAUCAGUAAGGAUUCCCCUAACUAAUCUUAGGAUUACUUCCGUUGCUUCUUCUUUGUAUGCUCUACUUGCUCCAGAGCAUUAUCGUCAUUGUCACCUCUCCCCCUCUUCUUUUUCCUCUUCUUCUCACUGUCCGGACCACCAUCACUGACCAUUUUCUCCUCCUGCUUCACAUCCUUGAAGUUGACUUCCUCCUCUUCAUGCUUCUUUUUCUUCCUUUUCUUCUCCCCACCAGCAACAUUUUGUUCUAACCCACCAUCGUUGACAAUUUUUCCGCCCACUUUAUUCACAUCCCUCGCUUCAUCUUCUAGUUUUACACGACCCUUCUCCUUUUUCUUCUUGCUCUUCUUCUCACUCAACAAUUCUUCGUCCACUAAAUCAGGCUCCUGCUUCACAUGGACGAUGAUUUCCUUAUUUGAAUGUUUCUCCUUCUUCCUCUUCUCGCUGCCGAUUCCUGCUGAAGAGGGAAUGUGCGAUUCAACGCCAGCAGCAGCUAUGCCCUGCUGCCGAUCCUCUUUAUUCUUCUUCUUCUUGCUCUUCUUCUCACCGGUGGCAACAUCUGGCUCCACCUCCGCGGCGGAAUCGCGCUGGGAACCACCGGUUGGAACAGCCAUGUCCCCUUUCCUCUCCCGGUCUUGGUGCUUUAUCUCGCCCUCAUAGUCAUGGGCCUGGAGAUUGGCGGCGCCCUGCUGCUGAUUACCGCGGAGCCCGCGGCGGAAGAGCUCGUGCUCCCUGGUGGCCUCGGUGGCGGUGCUGAGGUAAGUGGCGCAGUCGGCGGAGGGGAGGUCGGAGGCGGCGGAGUUGUAGAAGAGGUCGAGGAUGCGGAAGGCCUUGGAGAGGGAGCAGGGCUUGGAGGAGACGACGGCGCCUGUGAUCGCCCUCAUCGCCCCCGCCGCCGGCUAGUGAGCUGAGCUGCGCUUUGGGGGUGGGGGUGGGGUUAGGGUUUUAGGAGGAGAACGGGGGAGAGGAGGAGACGAGAGAUUCUAUGAUGGGCUAAAAAGCGUGCCGGGCCAGCCCAGUAGUUAGCCAUAGCGGGCCCAAUGUUAGCACUUGCAUAUUGUGCCCAGCAUCCACUUUAUAAUUUUUUCUGAAAGACACUACUGUAUUAGUAUUACUAUUGAUUUGAUUCGAUUGCUCCAUGUCGAUGAACCUGCAAAUUGAUGUGAUCGCUCGAUUCACAUUUGAUUCCAACUUUACCCUGCGAAUCACGAUUUGUAAAUAAUUGUUCUUUUGCUUAGGUUUUUCUGACUUAAAAAUCUGCUUACUUAGUACUAGUUACGCACCAUUCAGCACUUGUUAUUACGAACUCAGAUCCAUGUACAUGCAUACAUCAUACAUAACGAUGGGCACUGAGCAGGCUCGAGCACUCUGUUUGAAUGCACGCCAAUGGUUGAUUUCCCAAGUUGAUCAGUGAUAGCCAUGGGCAAACUGGAAGCUCAGAUCAUUUCUUUCGCACAGCAGCAGAGGCAGAGCCACUCUUGCCUCCGGCUUCGUCGCCGCCGUCCCCCUUCUUCUUGGCCUUGGUGUACAGCUUGAGGUGCACCCCCGGGUCGCCGCCGUUGCAGGAGCUCUGCAGCAGCAGCGAGUUGUUGAUCACCUGCACGUUGCUGUUCACGAACGCCGUCAGCCCCCUGCUCCCGCCCUGCUCCUUCCCGCCAGCGACGCUGCCGUCGAGCUUCUGGCCGCGGCGCUCCUUCCCGGCCGCCGAGUCCGCCUUGCCGUCGGCCACGGCGGCGCCGUCUAUUUUCAUGGACGCGCCCUUGUUCUCGCCGGCCAGCGUGAUGACGGUCGUCCCUGCCGCGGCCGAGGCAGGGCGCCCGUGGCCGCCGCCGGACGACGGUGCCGAGGCGCUGAGCUUGUGCACCAUGUCCGCGACGCCCUCCUUGAGCUCCUUGUGUAGCUUGCUGCCGUGCUCGCCGGCUACCUCUUUGCCUUUGUGCUUCUUCUCCUUCUCUUUUUCCUUCUCAUUGUGCUCCUUCUCCUUCUUGUCCUUCUCUUUUUCUUUUUCCUUCUCCUUUUCCUUCGUCUCUUUAUCUUUCUCCUUCUCCUUCUCUUUAUCUUUUCCCUUCUCCUUCUCUCCCUCCUUGCCUUUUUCUUUCUCUACGGCCUUGCUGUGUGUCUUGGAGUCUGCAGGCGGUUCAUGGAUGAUUUUCUCCUGCGGGAUGGUAAUGUCUUUUUGCUUAGGAACUUCAUGGGCAAUAGGAUGAGGAGUGGCAGCUGGCUUGGGCUCCUUGGCAACAGGUACAGGAGC
Molecule: long non-coding RNA, 109082 nt
Filed under: Setaria viridis
Lineage: Eukaryota; Viridiplantae; Streptophyta; Magnoliopsida; Poales; Poaceae
Description: long non-coding RNA (SVIR_LNC005198)
Source: RNAcentral